GGCGGAGUCGGGUAGACGGCUCGUGCUGCUUUCUUUCCUUCACUGUAGCUAUUCAUUCAUUUGGAUGCGGUCGUAGUCGUAGCGCGAUUAUUAUUCUUGGUUGUAGAAAGGAGGAGAAUGAAGGAGGACCAGGUAUGUGGUUAGUAGGUGGCCAACUAGAUAUAUAUCUGGGUUCUCAUUCGUGUGAAUGGUGUAUUAUAUUUAUAUUGUUGCAGUUUAUUAUGUGUAUUGUAUCUAUUUAUCAUCUGUCACUUUGUCCUUGUGUGUAAAGGAAGGAACAAACAUAGGCAUGGAUGAAUUUUAUCUUUUCUUUUGGCAGAUCUUUAACGGAUGGCUACUGAAUUUUGUUAGCAACCUAUAAACUGUUUACGGCCAACAGUUCCCCCCUUAGGGAUGUUGUAUGUAUAAAUACUGCACGGCUCGUCCCACUGUAUUCUCAUCUGUGCAUUCUCUCUCGUUCGCCCUCUCGAUCUCUCCCCCUCUAUCUUUGCAUCAUCGCCAAUGGCGCUGCCGGUGAGCCCACGCGCCAAGGAGAAGAUGCUGCUCCGCAAUGAUGACCUUGCGCCAAGCAGCGACGAGGAGGAUCCCUAUGCGCCACCGGACUUGGUCGCGCCUGACCCUCCCACCGAGGAGUGGUUUUGGAGUCAGUUUGACCUCGCUCUGUGGAAGAUGUUGCCACUGGCUGAAAAAGCCAGGCGUGUGGCGGCCAUGAAGGCGGACGAGAAGAAGCGCGAGGAGGAAGAGGCGGCUAAGGCCGCCAGGAAGGUGGAGGAGAUGGAGCUCUGGCGGGAGGCGCGUUGGCAUGCGCAGGAGGUUGAUGAAGGCGGCUGCUUCAACGCCAAGAGGGCCAGAGGCGCUUCGCGCCUCCUUGCUGCAUGGAGGUGGGCGGAUCGCGUCGAGAAGGCCAUCAACGAAGAGCUCACCUACGCGCUGUCUACAAUGGCCAGGGCGGAGGCCUACGCCCGCCGGGAAGCCGCCGAUGCACAUGUUGUGGAGUGUGAGGCGGAGGAGGUCAGCUCCCUCCGCGCUGGGAAGCCGGUGCGCACCAGGGAGUCUGUGGCCAGACGCAGGGAAAGGGCCCUCAUGAGGGACUAUUGAUUUUUAGUUAAUUUAUUACUUGUCUUUGAAUUUAAUAUAUUUGUAGUACAACAAUUAUCAUCACACGUAUAUGUGUGUGAUGAUAUAUAUUAUGUAAUGAACUGGAUUGUGGAGUAUUAUUGAUGAAUUUCUAUCUUAUUUACCUACUUGAUGUCUCAUUUUUUUUAGUAAAACUACCUAUUAUGAGCAUAUAUUUAUACCAACGUCAAUCACACACGUUUUCGAAGAGUUGACUAUUUGCGAUUUGGGCUACAAAAACACAUGAGGUGGCGUGAUCUGUACAGACGUUCUCUGCAAAAUAGAUGUUUGUGAAACUUCAAACAUCACAUACAAUUGCUUUCUAGUAAUCGUGUGAAUUGUAUCGCACACGGAGUAACUACUGAAGUCGUAUGUGACGUGUUGUUAUCAUCACACACAAGUCCAUAACUCGACCCCAACCAGUUUUAGCCCACGAUCUCUCAAAACUGAUCGCGUGCAAUGGAUUAAGCCAUUGCAUACAUUUUAUUUUGAAGAACAAUCUAAGGAUUUGGCCAUGGAAGGAUAAUUGAAGAAGGGGGCAACAUGAGCGUCGAAGAAGUUGGCAACAUGAGCAGUGCCAUUUUACAUAGAGUUGACACUUUGAAACUGGAAAUGAUGCGGAUUAAUCACAAGAUGGCAAACAUCUCUAGUUAUCAAGACGUGAUGGAUCCUAAUGAUCUUUGUAUUGGUGUUGUUUGUGCUUGUGGGUUUUGUCUCUCAUAAGUGGUGUUAGUUAUCAACAGUACCUUAUAAGUGUCACACGUUAAUGACAAUUAGUUGAUCUUGUGGAAAGAAUUGUUGUAUCUUAUCAACACUUCCGAUUAGUAGUUGAUGUUGUGGCCAUUGUUCUCAGUUAUUUUUUCCAUGUGUAAAUGAUGGUCUGCCACUGUUAGUUUGUGCAUAUAAUUAGGGGCAAACCUAAGUGAUAAUUGGCUCCUCUUCUUCCUUAGAAACAUCAUUAGAUGAAAUGUCCUGAUGCUCAUUAGCUGCCACUUUCAUCAUUUGAUGAAUCAACAUGUAUGGCUCUUGAAGUUGUCCUCUCGUGCAACAUAGGGGAAAGUCGAGCCUCUUUAAUCGGAAGUCCAUCUUUGUUAUAACCAUCUUCUCCUUAAUGUGAACAACUAAUUGUCACAAACAUGCAACUUACUUUUGUUCUUCUGAUGUCUUUCCUUUUUGCCAUGCUUUUUGGGUGGGGGUUUAACUAGUGGACCAUUCAUCUUUUCCUAAUCUCUCUCAUCUUUGUAGGGUAAGAUGGUAUGCUCAUAUGCCUUGCAAAAUGUUGCAAUGCUAUAACAUUUGUCCACUAGAUCAGGCUCAAGUAUUUCAUCUUUGCAGCAAGUAACACCAUGAUGGUAUCCUUUCCGUUUAUCUCUCUAAGUCCAUCGGUGUUGACUUGUAGAGCAGGAAUACAAUCACACACCUUCAUCAUUGCCUGUUUCUCAUAACAUAUUUCCUCUAUUAGAUUAUCGGCACUUGAUGGUGACCAUGCCAUCUUGUCAGAAUGACCGAACCAAAUACCCUUUCCCGCGAAAUAUGACAUGUUUCUACCAGACCCCACAAAAAAUCCCCCACGAAGUAACUGAACACAGAAAUACGGGCCAUGCGGAUCCGCGCAGUGUGCAUGCAACACAUCAAUUCCACAUCCAUAAGUACCGAGUCGUUAGCAGUAAACAGAAAAGCGCAAAGUUGAGGUCCUAUUCCAAACCCUGGCGUGUAACCCCAAUUUUUGGCAUUCCACAUGCCCAAACUAGCAGGACUAAGGCGAUGCGAUCCCAAUGCCCCAAGGGAAUAACAAGAUUUCAAACUUAAAAAAGGAUGGAUUCUGGGACACUUACCAAAUUCGGGCGAGCGGUGGUGUGCGCUCCGGGCGGUGAACAUAUGGACCAUCGGAAACCAACGUUCGUUUCACCCCGCCUUCCUUGGACGGACACUAGUUCUCCAAGCAACCUCCCGACUCAUCCUCAUUUCCUCGGCCGCUCAGAAUCAUCGAGCAUGUUCAACAACGGCGAAAAUGAAUUUUGAGGAGAAUUCGAGAUUGUCGGCGGGUGAAUUUCACAUCGGAUCGGAGUAGAAGAAAGUUUUGUUGGUUGCGGCGAGUGGUGACACACCCUCACACACAUAGAAGAGAAGAGAGGGGAAGGCCAGAGGAGGGCCGGCAGAAGCAAACAAAGAGGAGGGGAUUGAGUUUGGAUUCAUAUCACAACACAUCUUGGGUCCCUCCCGGUUUCCUCCUCUGUCUUCGUCCCGGACAAAACCACAGCGAACCAACCUCUCCUCCUCCUUCCUCCGGCGGAUCUCAUCUUCUCAUCCCACCAAGACCACCGAGAUCUCGUCUUCACAUCCAAGCGGCGCGAGCAAGGGAGGAGACGCGCUCGCUCGCUCCACCGUCAGCAACCAAGCCAGGUACGCCCGCACUCGGCCCCCUUGAAGAUCUGAGCUUUUGCCAGGGGACUCGGAGCUCAGAUCGGAUCGGAUCCGCCGCCAACCCGGACCGGACCGGAGCGGACCGGAUCUUGUUUCUUUCUUUCCUUCUUUUCUUUCUUUCUCCAAGAUCCCGAUCCCCACCGCCCUAAUUCCAUACCCGAUCCCUCUGACCACGAUCCCGUCCGUCCAUCGGCUGUGUCCUGUCCAGGCAAAGGGCGGCGAUGACGUUCGACAAGGUGGAGGAGCUCCGGCCGGGCACCUACGGCCACAACCUGCAGCUCCGGGUGCUCAGCGCCAAGCCCGUCGUGCUCCACAGGCCGCAGGGCGGCCGGGCCGGCGGCAACAUGCGCAUCGCCGAGUGCAUCGUCGGCGACGACACCGGCGUCGUCGUAUUCACCGCACGCAACGAGCAAGGUAGCCCCUCCCAGAUCCGUCCACUCGCCUCCGUUUUCCUUCUUCCUCUUCUUUCGCCCGAUUGAUUCACUUGAAGAAAUUUACUACGGCAUGCUUCUUCUUUCGCCUGAUUGAUUGAUUGAUAAUACGAGUACAUAAUCGGCAUCUUAUCUGUCAGAAAUUCUACUAGUUCAGGCAGAGCAUUUAACGGCACAGGAUGGGCGCUCAUCGGUGCUAUAAUGACACACUGGCUAAUCUUGAAAUCGUGAUGCUCUGCUGCUGCUGCUGCUGCUGCAUACAUGUUUCAGCCCAGAUAGCCUGCUGCUCAUGUUCACUCAUUGCUGGCUUCUUAACUUAAUUACCCUGUUUCUUCUUUUGCCUGCUAAAUUGCACAGUCGACAAACGUUUGACCCCUUGUAAUCAGGGUUUAGCUUGCUCAGGCUUUCCAGAAUUAGCCCACUUCUGAUCAUACCCCCUGUAUUAAUAUAUCGUGCAUUCAUCGCUUGGCUUGAUGAUGUAAUCAUGGUUUUACUUUCUGGGUUUGCAAAACUUCCUGGACCCGGGCCGGUUUCCGGUGGUGACCUGCCUCUCUGGAUUGCAAUAAAUUUGUUUUUCUUUACCUUGAGCCGGUUUCCAAUCUAUCUUGUUAAGAAAUUCUGCUAGUUCCGACAGGCCCGGCACUUCAACUAACUCGCACUAUAAUCACUGCAUGGCAUUUGUGGAAUGAUGUUUAAGUUGAAAUCAUGAUACUCUCUGCUGCAUGUAUGUUUCAGUCCAAACAUCCUAUCAAUGACCCCUCAUUGCUUGCUGGCUUAACUUGAUUACUAGUAUAUUGAUCAACUGGCCUGACUGGAAUUUAUCGUGCGUUUUCUUGCUCCAGUGGACAUCAUGAAGCCCGGGGCGGUCGUGGAGGCGAGGAAGGCGAGGGUGGACAUGUACAAGGGGUCGAUGCGCCUGGCGGUGGACAAGUGGGGGACGCUCAAGGCUGCUGAGAGCCCCGCGGACUUCAAGGUGAAGGAGGACAACAACGUGUCCUUGGUCGAGUUUGAGCUCAUCACCGUGAUGCAGUGAUUGAAGAGGGCUCCUCCUCCUCGCCUAGGAGGAGGAGGCAGAGGAGGCUCAGCAGCUGCUAGGCUGAGCACAAAGCAAUAAACCGGCCAAAAUCAUGGCUCUUGUUCUUCACCCCCCCUUCCCCCUCUCUCUGUUUACUGUUUAUUUGCUGGAAGUUUUGCUAGUCCUGCUACCUUUGGAUUAACUGUCAUUAGUAAUACUAUAUAUGUUUGUGAGGAGUUGCAUCCAGAUUGUUGUGAGUGAGUCCUGCUAUAUCCCUUUGUGUUAGACCUGGUAUAUCAAUUAACUGAUUAUGUUAAGCACUGGUGACAUAUAUCUACUACGGAAGUCCUUCACGGACGACAUUUUGCUGAACGACAUGCGCACCGAUGGCUUGCCCAUGGAUGGUACGACAUGACAUGCCGCGCGCUUGCCCAUGGAUGGUACGACAUGACAUGCCGCGCGCUUGCCCAUGGAUGGUACGACAUGACAUGCCGCGCAUCUUUCGGUUGGCAACUGUCGUCCGUGUAGCAGCGCUCUAUGUCUAUGAGCUUAGUGAAGUGAUGUUUUGCUUGCCUGAAUGUUGAGUGCUAACUGAUCAUGAUGAUGAUGAUAAUGAUAAUGAUUUUGUAGUGCAAUGUUGAUGUCUUGUUAAGGUGAUGGAUCAGCAGGCAGGCAGUUGGCACAAUCACCUUUUUGCUGGGUGGGGGGUGGGGUGGACACUAGGCAGGGGCCACCUCAGGACACCACACCACUAUGUUGUGUUGUUUGUGGUCUGGUCUUUGUUCUUGUGAUAGUUAUGGGACAGUCAAAGAAGAGAGGAGCAUGCAAUGGUGGCUGUCUGUUGUUGCAGUGGUUGCAUUGUUGUGCUGUCCUGCUGUCUUUGCUAGCUGGUAAUAAUUGCAAUGUGUUGUGCUUGUGAUUGGGCCACCCACAUCAUCACCAUCAUCAUCUUGAUUUAUCUUGUUGGAUGUGGAUAAUGUAAAGUGACAACAAGAUGAGCCAUAAUGCCGCGGUGGGCGGUACCACGGUGUUUUGUGCAGUACACCAAAAAAAUCACAGUGGUAGUGAUAUAGCUUUUGAUUGCUGAGCUACGGUGAGCCCUCCAUUUUUUUGACGGAAAAAGAAGAGAAUGAAAUGGUGGUAAUAUAUGCACAUAUAACUAUAAUUUUAUGUAAAUCCAAAAUAGUAAUGUUGAGAUAUAAUUUUAUUUUGCCAGACCAUAUUUGUCUUCAUGUAGCCUACAUGUGUUUAAAAAAAAAACUAUAAACCCAUCAACUCUUCCUCCGCUGCAACUCUAGUUUGUAAAGAUCCAAUAUAAUAUCACAUGCAUCUUUAUAGUGUUCUGGGUUUGGUUUAUAGGACAUAUUUUUCCCCUUUGUUUUCUAUACUACGUUUCCCAAUACAUUCCUUGUAAUGUUACAUUUAUUUCCUCGGAAAAAAAGUUAGGUCAUUUAGGGUGUUGUGUCUAGUCGAACCUCUAUGACGUUGUAUGGGUCAUGCCUUGCCGGCGUUGUAGCAUCAUUCUUGUUCGAGAUCGAAAGUGAAAUCUAUGUAUUGAUUGAUGGUUACAGGCGCUACUUAUACCAUCUGGAGAGACACGAGCGAAGGGAGGCGUCGGUUCCAGAGGGUAGGAGCGAAAGGCGUCUGUGCGGGACAAACCACACGACGGUUUGGGCAAGGGGAGAUUUCCCCCUAAUUAUAAAUUGUAAUUAAUUCUAACACUCCCCCUAAUCUACACUUGACCAUGUAGAAUCAUCUUCACAAUUGUCCGGGAAGCUCUAUCAUCUUAAAAAGAUUCUCCUCCAAAAGUUCUUCAUAAAAUCUUUGAUGAGAUCCUGAAACAUAUACUCACAAAGAGAGAUAGCGUAAUGCGAUGUUUGAACAAGGAUAUCUCAAGAAGAGACCCUCCCCCUAACGCUUGCAAGUCCCAAAGUCAUCGCAUACCAAUUCCAUGAACAUAUUUCUGGAAUGUAGAAUUUGGUAGAGACUUGGUAAAUAAAUUAGCAAGGUUGUCGUAUGAUUUGACUUGUAGAAUGCUUAUUUCCCUGCUUUUCUGAAGAUUAUGGGGGAAAACCAUUUAGGAGAAAUAUGGUUGGUGAUAUUACUCUUGAUGUAUCCUGUUUGCAUCUGUGCAACACAGGCCGCAUUAUCUUCAUAGAUAAUGGUAGGUGAUUUUAUCGAACCAAUUCCAUAUGACUGUUGUAUGUGGUUUAUCAUUCUGCGAAACCAUACACAUUCGCAUAUUGCUUCAAAUAAUGAAGUUAUUUCAGAAUGAUUGAUAGAAGUUGCCACCAGAGUCUGUUUCGAAGACUUCCAUGAUAUAGCAGUGCCACCAUGUAGGAACAUGAAGCCGGUCUGUGAUCUGGCAUUAUGGGGAUCGGACAAAUAGCCGGCAUCUGCAUAUCCAAUCAUAUCAGAGUCCUGGUUUUUUUGGAAUUGGAAAAAUAGGCCAAGAUCCUUUGUGCCUUGAAGAUAUCAAAAGAUAUUCUUCACUUCAGACCAAUGCCGUUUGGUGGGAGCUGCGCUAUGUCUUGCAAGAAGAUUCACUGCAAAUGCAAUGUCAGGUCUUGUGCAAUUUAAGAUACAUAAGCGCUCCAACAGCACUGAGGUAUGGAACUUCAGGUCCCAACACCUCUUCUCCAUCAUCCCUUGGUCUGGAUGGAUCUUUCUCCACGUCUAGAGAUCGAACCACCAUGGGAGUUUUAGAUGGAUAGGAUUUGUCUGAAUUUCUCCAAUAUUUUCUAGAUAUAGGUAGAUUGAUGUACCGUGAUUCCUGAGGGAAGGUGCUCAAGUUGAAUGCCUAAGCAAAAUUUGGUUUUACCCAAAUCCUUCAUCUCAAAUUCCAUCUUUAGGUGAUUGCGUGUUUCAUCAAUGUCUGGUGUGUUGUCGAUGAUGUUGAGAUCAUCAACAUAUACAAAAAUGAUGCAAAAUCGUGUAGUAUAUUUCUUGAUGAAAACACAUGGGCAAUCAGCACUAUUGGAGUAACCUUUCUGAAGAAGGAACUCACCGAGCCGGUUGUACCACAUCCGUCCCGACUGCCUUAAGCCAUAUAAUGACUUAUUCAACUUUACACAAUACAUGUUGCGUUUUGCAUUUUUAUUCGGGACAGAGAUUCCAUCACGAAGCCGGUAAUUGCCUUUGGCUCCUAGGUGCAUAUGCACCCAUUGUCGAAAUACACAUUUCGAAAAGUUGAAAAAUUUGGAACAAAAAUCCCGUGUGUAUAUCCGGACAUUUUAUGUGCGUGCACAAGGUUUCAGUGAAAAACGACGUUUUUUGUGGCUUGUGUAAAAAAACAAUUUCUGAUGCUUCAUUUUAACUAUCCACGAGGCAUUUCUUUAUCUUUUUUACACAAGCGAUUUGUACCCCACAUAGAUCCCCAACUUCCUGUGUGGGCCCAUAGAUGUCCGCCGUGGUGGUGAGAUUGGGAUGUAUGCAACACAUCCGAACUUAUGCAGUUGGGAAAUGCUAGGAGGAUUUCCAUGUACCAAUUCUAAAGGGGAAGAACUGUGAUAUGCAGUUGGCCUCAAUUGUAUCAAGUCAGUAGCGUGUGAAACAACGUGACCCCAACAAGAGGUUGGCAAGUUGCAAUUCCUCAACAAAGGUCUUGCAAUGAGUUUAAUCCUCUUAAUUAAUGAUUCAGCCAAACCAUCUUGUGUAUGGACAUAUGGAACAGAGUGCUGAACUUCAAUUCCCAAAGCCAUGCAAUAAUCAUCGAAAGCAUGUGAGGAGAAUUCUGCAGCAUUGUCCGUUCGAAUUGACUUAAUUCGACUUUCAGGAUAAUGGGCUUACAACUUAAUCACUUGCCUCAUUAUCUUGGCAAAUGCAUGGUUCCGUGUGGACAGAAGGCACACAUGUAACCAUCGUGUAGAUGUAUCAAUCAAAACCAUGAAAUACCUGAAAGGUCCAGACAAUGGCUGAAUGGGACCACAAAUGUCUUCUUGAAUACGUUCAAGGAACCGAAGUGGUUCACCUUGUAUUUUUGAGGUGCGAGGCCUCAAAAUUAGCUUUCCCGUGGAGCAAGAUGUGCACACAAAAUCUGAAGAUUGAGGAAAUUUUGACUCAAGCAAAUUAUGACCAAUGGAAUUGGUAGUAAUUUUUCCCAUCAUCCCGAUUCCAGGAUGUCCUAGGCGAUCAUGCCAGGUUUGGAAUGCGUUAACAUUCCGAAAAAUUACUUUGUAUGCAACAUGCUCCACGGGUUUGAUGUACGUAUAGUACAAACCAGACAAUAGAGAAGGAAUUUUCUCAUGUACCUUUUUGUCAUAUCCGCGAUCUUUAGUAAAGAGUAGAUACUCCUCUUUGUUGUGUUCAUGGGUUUCAAUAUGAAAACCAUUCUUACGGAUAUCUCGAUAACUAAUCAAGGUACGUGAUGAGUCAGGAUACAAUAAAGCAUCCUCAGUCGUCACUUGUGUACCACUUAGGAGGGUGAAUAUGUCACGUCCAGUAGCAACAAUCAUUGUAUCGCGUCCAGCGAUAGUUAGAAUAUCUCCAUUCAUCUUUUUUAGAGUUUGGAAAUAUUUCAUCUCCUUCAGUAUGGAGUUUGUGGUACCAUUGUCCACAAGGCAUAAUUCCUCAUCCAUCAGAUUGUCCCUGUAGAAAUCGGCGGCGAGUGCUCCCUCUCGACUCCUCUCUCUGUUGCCUUUUUCGCUCUCGCUGGCUGUUCUAUGUGCGUGAUAACGUGUUCGAGAUCGAAAGUAAAAUCUCUGUAUUGAUUGAUGGUUACAGGCACUACUUAUACCAUCUGGAGAGACACAAGCGAAGGAAGGCAUCGGUUCCAGAGGGUAGGAGCGAAAGGCGUCUGUGCGGGACAAACCACACGAUAGUUUGGGCAAGGGGAGAUUUUCCCCUAAUUACAAAUUGUAAUUAAUUCUAACAAUUCUUUCUUAACGAAUUCAGGUAGAUCUUCCGCAUGGUUCUGAAAACAAAAAGAACAGAAUGGGUCAAUUAUCUUCUCAUUGUUAACCGAAAGAAUAUGGCUUAUUUGCCUUUUAAUUACUACUAGGCACAAAGCACACAUGAAAAAAGGCAUGAUUGAUUUACUUGGAAUGAGCAGGCUGGUUGUUUUUUCCUUGAACUCCAAAAAAUGGGCAAUUUAUUAACCGAAAGAAUAUGGCUUCUUUGCCUUUUAAUUACUACUAUGCACUAGCAAAGCACACAUAAAAAAGGCAUGAUUGAUUUACUUGGAAUGAUUAGGCUGGUUGUUUUUUCCUUGAACUCCAAAAAAUGGGUAGUUUACCCUUUUAGCAAAGCACACAAAAAGGCAGGGUUACUUACUUUUAUGGGAUGUAAAACUCUUAAAAAUUCCAGCUGUUGACUGGUGUUUGUUAAUCAAAAGAAGAAAGGAGUAUAGCGAUCCCACAUAUGACAGAAAUUUAAACAGAGUACUUUGCGCUAAAAACAUCUCGCCGGAGUUCAUCAACCCAACAUACCAUAGUUCACCACGCAUAGCAUAGGGGAGUUUUUGCAAACCAUAAUAAUCAUACAUAGCAUAGGGGAAUCGAAACCUAGCAUAGGAGAUCUACUAGUCGCCGAAGGGGGUGGGCAGGGGUCUACUUCACCGGGGUUCUACUCGUUGGAGUCAGAUUCGUCGCCCUCAUCAUUGUCGUCGCUGGAGAUGACCUCGGCGGGCAGCGGCUUCCGUCCAUGAAUGGUGUCGUAGAUGAGGUCGCGGUAGAUCCGGGUUUGGAGUUGGUACUCAUCCCAGAGCAUCAGCAGCCGCACAACCGCAACCGCAUCUUCGGCAUCGGCGGCAGUCCUUGCCUCAAACCACACCCACUCGGCCUCCCACUGGCGCUGGAUCGCUGAGUCGAAGAGCCGGCCGCAGCGUCGGAAGGUCUUCCACGCACGCGACCUCGAUCCAGCGCUGCAGAACUUGGCGCCACGCGUGCACGCCGCCUCCCGUUGCUUCUUCGACACCGGAGAGCGGAGGCCAGAGCCGCCGGCCUCGUCGUCGUUCUGGCACUUGCGGGCGAAGAAGCCGCCGCGUGCAUCGACUCCACAGCAACACCUGAAGCCACCAGGAUUGCCGAACCCCCUUCCGCCGCCACGAGCCGCACCGGCGGAUGCCAUGGUAUCUUCGAUCCGGCGGAAAACAAGCUGCAAUAGGCCGUCGAAGCACGCUCGAUUUCUCGCCGGAGUACACGAAAUGCGGCGGAGAGGGAUAGAGGAAAUGGAGGGCGGGUACCCUAAAUCGUCCGGAAGCCGGCAUAUAUACCGGAUGGGGGGGCUUUUCAUGGGCCGAGACUUUUUUUGGGUAUCUGCUCGGGCCGAUUAUUUGGGUCAUCCCGUAUAACGGGCGGAAAAGCAUAGUUCGCCGGCCUUAUGCGGGAUCUGCUAGAGAUGCUCUAAUAACUUCUUCUUUUUUGCGAAUAAGAGAUGCUCUAAUAACUUAUAAUAUAGCUUUUUUUUACUGAGCUACGGCGAGCCCUCCAUUUAGUCUAUUUUUUUGACAGAAAAAGGAAAGAAACGGCGGUAAUAUAUGCACAUAUAACUACAAUUUUCCGUUAAUCCAAAAUAGUAAUGAUGAAAAUAUAAUUUCAUUUUGCCUGACCAUAUUUGUCUUCCUGUAGCUUAUAUGUGAUGAUUUUAAGAUAUUUAUACCCAUGAUAUCUUGUAGACUAGAUUUGUUGCGCAUGCCAACAUGCAAAUGUUAGUUUAAAAAAAACUAUGAGCCCUGAGUAAGUUCUUUUUUUACUAGUAUUCGAGAUAAAUUCCAAAUUGUUAUGUGUAUUUCCUUUUACAAUAGCAAAAGCCGGCAAUUAUACUCAUGUAAUCAUUGUUGUGACAUGUGGCAUUUCAACCCGAAAUUAUGCUCAAACCAAUAUAUUGCUCACCAUACAUACAUAAUUUAUACAAUACAAAUAGGUUUUGUCGCGGGUUAACUGAGGCUUUUGCUCAUGGCUGUUCAACUUUUGUUGCUCAAUAAUGUUGUGCCUAUACUUUCAAUCGGUUUGGCUCAAGGUUAUUGUCCCCGUGACGCUUUUGCUUCAGUGGCCGUUGUUGUGGUAAGCGAGUUUGGGUCGUGUUUUUGUAGGCCGGGCUUCAACUUUCGUAGUGUAAGAGUUUCGGUUCAAUUCCUUGUGAUGUUAGGUCAUUUAGGGUGCUAUGUCUAGUCGAACCUCUAUGGCGUUGUAUGGGUCAUGCCUUUUGCGGUGUUGUAGCAUCAUUCUUUCUUAAGGAAUUCAGGUGCAGUUAGAUCUUCCGCAUGGUUCUGAAAAUAAAAAUAAAAGAAUGGGCCAAUUGUUUUUUCAUUGUUAAACGAAAAGAAUAUGGCUUCUCUGCCUUUUAGUUACUACUAGUGGGCUGAUUGUUCUGAAUAUGGCUUCAUUUCCUUGAACUCCAAAAAAAUAGGUAAUUUUCCCUUUUAGCAAAGCACACAAAAAGGCAGGGUUACUUACCCUUUUUUGAAUGAAAAACACUUAAAAAUCCCAGCGGUUGACUGGUGUUUGUUAAUAAAAAGAAGAAAGGAGUAUGAAAGCAGGAAGGUUGGAGGGGAAAGCGAAGGAAGCGAGUGAUCGGUUUAUUCCUGUAGUUUCCUUCCCUACACACUCAUGCAAGCGGUUUUAUUCUUGCGGUGUCCCCAUCACGCUUGUGCUUCAGUCGAUGUUGUUGUCAUCGUUUCCAUGGUGAUCGAGUUUGGGUUGCGUUUGUCACGGUAGUCAUAUUUUUUCGUUGUUAGCCGAAAGAAUAUAGCUCGUUUGCCUUUUAAUUGCUAGCAAAGCACACAUAGAAAGGCAUGAUUGAUUACUUGGAAUGAGCAGGCUGGUUGUUUUUGUCUUGAAACCCCAGAAAAUGGCCCUUUUAGCAAAGCAGAAGAAAAGGCAGGGUUACUUACUUUAUUUGGGAAUGGAAAACUCUUAAAAAUCCCAGCAGUUGACUGGUGUUUGUUAAUGAAAAGAAUGGGCCAAUUGUCUUUUAAUUGUUACCGAAAGAAUAUAGGAAAAUGCUUAGUGUCAACCGGUGGAUUUUCUCUCACUCGUCCACCGUCUUCCACGGGCGACGCGUGUCCCAGUGGGUGUGCACCGCUUUGCAUCCUGCCUUAUCUUCUCGUCCGACUGCUCCCAUCCACAUCUUUUGUUUUCUUUUGCCUUCUUUCUUCCUUCCUCAGCGACCCAUUCUUCUCCAUUACGCACACAAUCAGGGACAUGCUCGGAGAUGUUGGAGACACCCACAGCCGAGAUUUUCUGAAGAGAUGCUGGAGGCACCGCCGCUUUCGUGUGCGGGUGUUCGAGGGUGGAUCUUCAAAGUUUUCUGCAACAUGGUAGUUGUUUCUGCAACGCAGCCAUUGUUUCAGGAAUUGUUUCUGCAACACGGCCGUUGCUUCAGAAUUGUUUCUGCAAUCUCCAAAUUUUUGCAACAUGGUAGUUGUUUCUGCAACACAGCCGUUAUUUCAGGAAUUGCUUCUGCAACGCGGCCGUUGUUUCAGGAAUUGUUUCUGCAACGCGGUCAUUAUUUCAGGAUUGUUUCUGCAAUGCGGACAUUGUUUCUGCAACUGGUUUAUUGUUUCAGGAAUUAGUGUGUCGGGACACCGAUGAGCCGCGUGCGAGUAACUUGAUCGGACGGCUCGCGCGCGAAGAUCCGACAGCUGUCGAGGUGGUGGAUGUUUACUAAACAUCUGCCGGUAGAUGCGUAGCGCUCCCCAAGAAUAUAGCUUCUUUGCCUUUUAAUUACUGCUAGGCACUAGCAAAGCACACAUAAAAAAAGGCAUGAUUGAUUUACCCAACAUACCAUAGUUCACCACGCAUAUCAUAGGAGAGUUUUUGCAAACCAUAAUAAUUAUACAUAGCAUAGGGGAUCUACUAGUCGCCGGAGCCGGGGGUGGUCGGGGGUCUACAUCACCGGGGUUCUACUCAUCCGAGUCAGAGUCAUCCGAGUCAAAGUCGAUGUCCUCAUCGUCCUCGUCGCCCUCAUCGUCGUCGUCGCUGGAGAUGACCUCGGCGGGCAGUGGCUUCUUUCCGUAAAGGGUGUCGGUGAUGAGGUCACUGUAGAUCCGGGUUUGGAGGUCGUACUCCUCCCAGAGCGCCGACAGCCGCGCAGCCGCAGCUGUAUCUCCAGCGUCGGCGGCAGUCCUCGCCUCAAACCAUGCCCGUCCGGCCGCCCGCUGGCGCUGGAGUGCCGGGUCGAAGAGCCGGCCGUAGCGCAGGAAGGUCUUCCACCCAUGCGACCUCGAUCCGGCGCUGCGGGACUUGGCGCAGCAAGUGCACGCCGCCUGUCGUUUCUUCUUUGACACCGGAGGGGGGACGCCAGAGCCACUGGCCUCGUCAUCGUUUUGGUGCUUGCGGGCGAAGAAGCCGCCGCGCGCGCCGCCUCCACCACGGCACCCUAAGCCACCACGAUUGCCGAACCCCCUUCCGCUGCCACGCCCCGCACCGGCGGACACCAUGGUAGCUUCGAUUCGGCGAAAAACAGGUCGCAAAAGGCUGCCGGAGCACACUCGAUUUCUCACCGGAGUACAUGAAAUGCGGCGGAGAGGGCUAGAGGAAACGGAGGGCGGAUACCCUAAAUCGACUGGAAGCCGGCAUAUAUAUCGGAUUGGGGGCGGUUUACGGGCCUCCCGUAAACUUUUUACGGGCCGGGACUUUUUUCGGGUAUCUGCUCGGGCCGAUUAUUUGGGUCGUCCCGUAUAACGGCCGGAAAAGCAUAUUUCGCGGGCCUUAUGCGGGAUCUGCUAGAUAUGCUCUAAUAACUAAUAAUAUACCUUUUGUUUACUGAGGUACGGCGAGCCCUCCAUUUAGGCCACUUUUUGGACAGAAAAAGAAAGAAACGGCCGUAAUAUAUGCACACAUAACUACAAUUUUCUGUUAAUCCAAAAUAGUAAUGAUGAAAAUAUUAUAAUUUCGUUUUGCCAGACCAUAUUUGUCUUCGUGUAGCCUACAUGUGAUGAUUUUACGAUACUUAUACCCAUGAUAUCCAGUAGACUAGAUUUGUUGCGCAUGCCAACAUGCAAAUGCUAGUUAAAAAAAAGACUAUGAACCCUGUGUAAAUUCAUUGCGUUCCUUUUUACUAGUAUUUGAGAUAAAUUCCAAAUUGUUAGGUGUAUUUUCCUUUUACACUAGUAAAAGCCGGCAAUUAUACUCAUGUAAUCAUUGUUGUGACCUGUGGCAUUUCAACCCAAAAUUAUGCUUAAACCAGUAUAUUGCUCAAUAAUGUUGUGCCCAUACUUUUAAUUGGUUUGGCUCAAGUUUAUUGUCCCCGUGACGCUUUUGCUUCGGCGGUCGUCGUUGUGGUAAGCAAGUUUGGGUCGUGUUGUUGUGGGUCGGGCUUCAACUUUCGUAGUGUAAGAGUUUCGGUUCCAUUCCUUUGUGAUGUUAGGUCAUUUAGGGUGCUCUGCCUCUACCUAGUAGUGCCUCUAUGAUGUUGCAUGGGUCAUGCCUUCUGGGCGUUGUAGCAUCAUUCUUUCUUUAGGAAUUCACGUGCAGCUAGAUCUUCCGCAUGGUUCUGAAAAUAAAAAGGAAAUAAUGGGCCAAUUGUUUUUCAUUGUUAAACGAAAGAAUAUGGCUUCUUUGCCUUUUAGUUACUACUAGUGGGCCAAUUGUUCUGAAUAUGGCUUAAAAUGGGUAAUUUUCCCUUUUAGCAAAGCACACAAAAAGGCAGGGUUAUUUACUUUUUUUUUGGAAUGAAAAACUCUUAAAAAUUCCAGCGGUUGAUUGGUGUUUGUUAAUAAAAAGAAGAAAGGAGUAUGAAAGUAGGAAGGUGGGAGGGGAAAGCGAAGGAAGCGAGUGAGCGGUUUAUUUUUGUAGUUCCCUUCCCUACACACUCAUGCAAGCGGUUUAUUCUUGCGGUGUCCUCAUGACGCUUGUGCUUCAGUCGAUGUUGUUGUCAUCGUUGUCACGGUGGUCGAGUUUGGGUUGCGUUUGUGACGGUACUCAUCUUUUUUCAUUGUUAAUGGAAAGAACAUGUCUCGUUUGCCUUUUAAUUGCUAGCAAAGCACACAUAGAAAAGGUAUGAUUGAUUACUUGGGAUGAGCAGGCUGGUUGUUUUUGUCUUGAACCCCAGAAAAUGGCCCUUUUAGCAAAGCACAAGAAAAGGCAGGGCUACUUACUUUUUUUGGAAAUGGAAAACUCUUAGAAAUUCCAGCAGUUGGUGUUUGUUAAUCAAAAUAAUAAAAGAAAGAAAAAAGAAGAACAAAGAAGUAUGAGAGCAGGAAGGUGGGAGGGGAAAGCGAGUGAGCGGUUUAUUCUUGCGGUUCCCUUUUCCACACGCUCAUGCAAACGGUUUAUUCUUGCAGUGUCCUCGGGACGCUUGUGCUUCGUUGAUGUUUUCGUCAUCGUAGUCAUGUUUGGGUUGCGUUUGUUGCGGAUUGGGUGCUGGGUUUCGCAUCCAUGCCUUGCGAUGUCAUGUUCUUUAGAGUUUUUCGGCGAGGCACGCCCCCGUGGCGUAAUAGUUUUACCCCUAUGAACGCACACACGCACACCCUACCCCCAUGAGCACCUCCUCGCCCCUGUGGCGUAAUAAUUUCACCCCUAUGAACGCACACACGCACACCCUAUCCCUAUGAGCACCUCCGGAAGACUGAGCCGGCAGGAACGUCUCCUCCCACUGAAUGCGCAUCGCCGGAAAUCCUGAAAUAAAUCCGGGAAUAAAUGUGAGCACCAGGAUUUGAACCCUGGUGGGCUGGGAUACCCCAGUCCCUCUAACCAUCCAACCACAGGUUGAUUCGCGAGUGAAAAAAGUCUUGAUUAUAUAAGAUUGAUAAUUCCAGCAGUUGACCGGUGUGUGUUUGUUUGUUAAUUAUAUUAGUAUAUAUAAAUAAAAGAAGAAAAAGGAGUAUGAAAGCAGUAAGGUGGAAGGGGAAAGCGAAGGAUGGGUUUAUUCUUCCAUUUGUGUUGUAGAAAGAAGUCGUCAUUUUCUUCUUGUUCCACUUCCGUUGCCUUGCCUCCUCCUUCUUUCUUUCUUGUCUAUCAUCAUCAGCAUCCAUCCAUCCACCAAAAUAAAUAAAUAUUCCACCUUUUUGUUUCCAGAUUACCAGAUGAUGAGUUGAUUCAUUCUCAAUAUCCACCAAAAAGGCGGGGUUACUUACUUUUAUGGAAUGGAAAACUCUUAAAAAUCCCAGCAGUUGACUGGUGUUUGUUAAUCAAAAGAAGAAAGGAGUAUAGCGAUCCCGCAUAUGACAAAAAUUUAAACGAAGUACUUCGCGCUAGAAACAUCUCGCCAGAGUUCAUCAACCCAACACACCAUAGUUUACCGCGCAUAGCACACGGGAGUUUUUACAAACCAUAAUAAUUAUACAUAGCAUAGGGGCACCGAAACAUAGCAUAGGAGAUCUACUAGUCGCCGGAGGGGGUGGGAAGGGGUCUACUUCACCGGGGUUCUACUCGUCCGAGUCAGAGUCGUCGCCCUCGUCAUUGUCGUCGCUGGAGAUGACCUCGGCGGGCAGCGGCUUCCCUCCAUGAAUGGUGUCGUAGAUGAGGUCGCAGUAGAUCCGGGUUUGGAGUCGGUGCUCAUCCCAGAGCGUCAGCAGCCGCACAGACGCAACCGCAUCUUCGGCAUCGGCGGCGGUCCUCGCCUCAAACCAUGCCCACUCGGCCUCCCACUGGCACUGGAUCGCCGAGUCGGAGAGCCGGCCGCAGCGCCGGAAGGUCUUCCACGCACGCGAGCUCGAUCCAGCGCUGUGGGACUUGGCGCCACGCGUGCACGCCGCCUCCCGUUGCUUCUUCGACACGGGAGAGCGGAGGCCAGAGCCGCCGGCCUCGUUGUCGUUCUGGCGCUUGCGGGCGAAGAAGCCGCCGCGCGCAUCGACUCCACAGCGACACCUGAAGCCACCGCGAUUGCCGAACCCCCUUCCGCCGCCACGCCCCGCACCGGCGGAUGCCAUGGUAGCUUCGAUCCGGCCGAAACAGGCUGCAAUAGGCCGUCGGAGCGCGCUCGAUUUCUCGCCGGAGUACACGAAAUGCGGCGGAGAGGGCUAGAGGAAAUGGAGGGCGGGUACCCUAAAUCGGCCGGAAGCCGGCAUAUAUACCGGAUGGGGGGGCUUUUCAUGGGCCGGGACUUUUUUUGGGUAUCUACUCAGGCCGAUUAUUUGGGUCGUCCCGUAUAAUGGGCGGAAAAGCGUAGUUCGCCGGCCUUAUGCGGGAUCUGCUAGAGAUGCUCUAAUAACUUUUCUUUUGCGAAUAAGAGAUGCUCUAAUAACUUUUAAUAUAGCUUUUGUUUACUGAGCUACUGCCAGCCCUCCAUUUAGGCUAUUUUUUUGACAGAAAAAGGAAAGAAACGGCGGUAAUGUAUGCACAUAUAACUACAAUUUUCUGUUAAUCCAAAAUAGUAACGAUGAAAAUAUAAUUUCAUUUUGCCUGACCAUAUUUGUCUUCGUGUAGCUUAUAUGUGAUGAUUUUAAGAUACUUAUACCCAUGAUAUCUAGUAGACUAGAUUUGUUGCGGAUGCCAACAUGCAAAUGUUAGUUUAAAAAAAACUAUGAGCCCUGAGUAAGUUCCAUUUUUUUACUAGUAUUUGAGAUAAAUUCCAAAUUGUUAUGUGUAUUUCCUUUUACACUAGCAAAAGCCGGCAAUUAUACUCAUGUAAUCAUUGUUGUGACAUGUGGCAUUUCAACCCAAAAUUAUGCUCAAACCAAUAUAUUGCUCACCAUACAUACAUAAUUUAUACAAUACAAAUAGGUUUUGUCGCGGGUUAACCGAGGCUUUUGCUCAUGGCUGUUCAACUUUUGUUGCUCAAUAAUGUUGUGCCUAUACUUUCAAUCGGUUUGGCUCAAGGUUAUUGUCUCCGUGACGCUUUUGCUUCAGUGGUCAUUGUUGUGGUAAGCGAGUUUGGGUCGUGCUGUUGUGGGCCGGGCUUCAACUUUCGUAGUGUAAGAGUUUUCGGUUCCAUUCCUUGUGAUGUUAGGUCAUUUAGGGUGCUAUGUCUAGUCGAACCUCUAUGGCGUUGUAUGGGUCAUGCCUUUUGCGGUGUUGUAGCAUCGUUCUUUCUUUAGGAAUUCAGGUGCAGCUAGAUCUUCCCCAUGGUUCUGAAAAGAAACAAAAGAAAAAAAUGGGGCAAUUUCUUUUUCAUUGUUAACCGAAAGAAUAUGGCUCCUUUUGCCAUUUAAUUACUACUAGCAAAGCACACAUAGAAAGGCAGGAUUGAUUACUUGGAAUGAGCAAGAUGGUUGUUUUUGUCUUGAACCCCAGAAAAUGGCCCUUUUAGCAAAGGAGAAGAAAAGGCAGGGUUAAUUACUUUUUUUCCAGAAUGGAAAACUCAGAUUCCAGCAGUUGACUGGUGUUUGUUAAUCAAAAGAAGAAAAGAAAAGAAGAAAGAAGUAUGAAAGUAGGAAGGUGGGAGGGGGAAAGCGAAGGGAGCGAGUGAGCGGUUUAUUCUUGCGGUUCCCAUUCCCACACGCCCAUGCAAGCGGUUUAUUCUUGCAGUGUCCCCGCGACGCUUGUGCUUCUGUCGAUGUUGUCAUCAUCGUUGGUCAUGGUAGUCAAGUUUGGAUUGCGUUUGUUGCGGACCAGGUGACGGGUUUCGCAUCCAUGCCUUGCGAUGUCAAAAAAAAAUAAGACCAACCCAAGGGCUAACCCUUGUUGGCAUUCUUUUAUAGAAGAAACUCCGUGAGCACGGCAUGUCAAAGCCAGGGCUUCAACUUGGGUGGGCUGGCAGCUACCCCAGCCGUCCAGCCAACGGGUCGACGCCCCAUCCUCAUGCCUUGCGAUGUCAUGCCGGUGUUUGUUUGUUUGUUAAUUAAUAAAUACUGGUACAGAAGAAGAAAAAGGAGUAUGAAAGCAGUAAGGUGGGAGGGGAAAGGGAAGGGAGCUACCACUGGGUUGGGUUUAUUCUCCCAUUUCAGUUAGACGAGUCAUUUUCUUCUUCUUCUUCUUGUGCUUCCACUUCCCUUGCCUACACGCACGCUCCUCCUCCUUCAUUCUGUUUUUUCACUUGCUUCUUUCUUUCUUUCUUUCUUUCUUGUGCCGACACAACAAAGAGAUCAUGAGAGAGCACCCAUAUUUAUCAUCAGCAUCAGCAUCCAUCCAUCCACCAAAAUAAAUAAAAAUAAAUAUUCCACCUUUCUUCCCCUUUCCUUUUUGUCUUGAGAUUACCUGAUCAUGAGUUGACCCAUUCAUUCUCAGUGCAUACUCUCUAAAAUCUACUCGUAGAUCACCUCACUCUACCUAAUAUCUUUAGCUUACCAAUCCUCCUCUUUACAUAGCGUAGCGUAGGUAGGGGAAAGAAAGGAGUGUGCGUCUGUAAAUACUCCCUCCGUCCCAAAAUUCUUGUCUUACAUUUGUCUAAAUACGGAUGUAUCAAGUCACGUUUUAGUAUUAGAUACAUUCAUAUCUAGAUAAAUUUCAGCCAAGAAUUUUGGGACGGAGGGAGUACUAAAGCAGCAGUCAACACUCAGCAGCAAAAAAAUGUUAGGUCAUUUAGGAUGCUAUGUCUAGUCGAACCUCUAUGGCGUUGUAUGGGUCAUGCCUUGUCGGCGUUGUAGCAUCAUUCUUUCUUAACGAAUUCAGGUAGAUCUUCCGCAUGGUUCUGAAAACAAAAAGGAAAAGAAUGGGCCAAUUGUCUUUUCAUUGUUAACCGAAAGAAUAUGGCUUCUUUGCCUUUUAAUUACUACUAGGCACUAGCAAAGCACACAUAAAAAAAGGCAUGGUUGAUUUACUUAGAAUGAGCAGGCUGGUCAUUUACCCUUUUAGCAAAGCACACAAAAAGGCAGGGUUACUUACCUUUAUGGGAUGGAAAACUCUUGAAAAUUCCAGCUGCUGACUGGUGUUUGUUAAUCAAAAGAAGAAAGGAGUAUAGCGAUCCCACAUAUGACAGAAAUUUUAAACAGAGUACUUUGCACUAAAAACAUCUCGCCGGAGUUCAUCAACCCAACAUACCAUAGUUCACCACGCAUAGCAUAGGAGAGUUUUUACAAACCAUAAUAAUUAUACAUAGCAUAGGGGAAUCGAAACAUAGCAUAGGGGAUCUACUAGUAGCCGGAGCCGGGGGUGGGCGGGGGUCUACUUCACUGAGGUUCUACUCAUCUGAGUCAGAGUUAUCCGAGUCAGAGUCGUCACCCUCAUCAUCACCGUCACCCUCAUCGUCGUCGUCGCUGGAGAUGACCUCGGCGAGCAGCGGCUUCCCUCCGGAAAGGGUGUCGGUGAUGAGGUCACCGUAGAUCCGGGUUUGGAGGUCGUACUCCUCCCAGAGCGCUGGCAGUCGCGCAGCCGCAGCCGCAUCUCCAACGUCGGCGGCGAUCCACGCCUCAAACCACGCCUGCUGGGCCGCGGACUUGCGCUGGAGUGCCGGGUUGAAGAGCCGGCCGCAGCGCAGGAAGAUCUUCCACCCAUGUGACCUCGAUCCGGCGCUGCGGGACUUGGCGCAGCAAGUGCACACCGCCUCCCGUUUCUUCUUCGACACCGGAGGGCGGAGGCCAGAGCCGCCGGCCUUGUCGUCAUUUUGGCGCUUGCUGGCGAAGAAGCCGCCGCGCGCGCCGCCUCCACCACGGCACCCGAAGCCACCGCGGUCGCCAAACCCCCUUCCGCCGCCACGCCCCGCACCAGCAGAUGCCAUGGUAGCUUAGAUCUGGCGGAAAACAAGCCGCAAAAGGCUGCCGGAGCACGCUCGAUUUCUCGCCGAAGUACACGAAAUGCGGCGGAGAGGGCUAGAGGGAAUGGAGGGCGGAUACCCUAAAUCGACUGGAAGCCGGCAUAUAUACCAGAUUAGGGGCGGUUUACGGGCCUCCCGUAAACUUUUUACGGGCCGGGACUUUUUUCGGGUAUAAGCUCGGGGCGAUUAUUUGGGUCGUCCCGAUUAUUUCGGGUAUCUGCUCGGGCCGAUUAUUUGGGUCGUCCCGUAGUUCGCGGGCCUUAUGCGGGAUCUGCUAGAUAUGCUCUAAUAACUAAUAAUAUAGCUUUUGUUUACUGAGGUACGGCGAGCCCUCCAUUUAGGCCACUUUUUGGACAGAAAAAGAAAGAAACGGCCGUAAUAUAUGCACACAUAACUACAAUUUUCUGUUAAUCCAAAAUAGUAAUGAUGAAAUAUUAUAAUUUCGUUUUGCCAGACCAUAUUUGUCUUCGUGUAGCCUACAUGUGAUGAUUUUACGAUACUUAUACCCAUGAUAUCCAGUAGACUAGAUUUGUUGCGCAUGCCAACAUGCAAAUGCUAGUUAAAAAAAAACUAUGAACCCUGUGUAAAUUCAUUGCGUUCCUUUUUACUAGUAUUUGAGAUAAAUUCCAAAUUGUUAGGUGUAUUUUCCUUUUACACUAGUAAAAGCCGGCAAUUAUACUCAUGUAAUCAUUGUUGUGACCUGUGGCAUUUCAACCCAAAAUUAUGCUUAAACCAGUAUAUUGCUCAAUAAUGUUGUGCCCAUACUUUUAAUUGGUUUGGCUCAAGUUUAUUGUCCCCGUGACGCUUUUGCUUCGGCGGUCGUCGUUGUGGUAAGCAAGUUUGGGUCGUGUUGUUGUGGGUCGGGCUUCAACUUUCGUAGUGUAAGAGUUUCGGUUCCAUUCCUUUGUGAUGUUAGGUCAUUUAGGGUGCUCUGCCUCUACCUAGUAGUGCCUCUAUGAUGUUGCAUGGGUCAUGCCUUCUGGGCGUUGUAGCAUCAUUCUUUAUUUAGGAAUUCACGUGCAGCUAGAUCUUCCGCAUGGUUCUGAAAGUAAAAAGGAAAUAAUGGGCCAAUUGUUUUUCAUUGUUAAACGAAAGAAUAUGGCUUCUUUGCCUUUUAGUUACUACUAGUGGGCCAAUUGUUCUGAAUAUGGCUUAAAAUGGGUAAUUUUCCCUUUUAGCAAAGCACACAAAAAGGCAGGGUUAUUUACUUUUUUUUUGGAAUGAAAAACUCUUAAAAAUUCCAGCGGUUGACUGGUGUUUGUUAAUAAAAAGAAGAAAGGAGUAUGAAAGUAGGAAGGUGGGAGGGGAAAGCGAAGGAAGCGAGUGAGCGGUUUAUUUUUGUAGUUCCCUUCCCUACACACUCAUGCAAGCGGUUUAUUCUUGCGGUGUCCUCAUGACGCUUGUGCUUCAGUCGAUGUUGUUGUCAUCGUUGUCACGGUGGUCGAGUUUGGGUUGCGUUUGUGACGGUACUCAUCUUUUUUCAUUGUUAAUGGAAAGAAUAUGUCUCGUUUGCCUUUUAAUUGCUAGCAAAGCACACAUAGAAAAGGUAUGAUUGAUUACUUGGGAUGAGCAGGCUGGUUGUUUUUGUCUUGAACCCCAGAAAAUGGCCCUUUUAGCAAAGCACAAGAAAAGGCAGGGUUACUUUUUUUGGAAAUGGAAAACUCUUAGAAAUUCCAGCAGUUGGUGUUUGUUAAUCAAAAGAAUAAAAGAAAGAAAAAAGAAGAACAAAGAAGUAUGAGAGCAGGAAGGUGGGAGGGGAAAGCGAGUGAGCGGUUUAUUCUUGCGGUUCCCUUUUCCACACGCUCAUGCAAACGGUUUAAUCUUGCAGUGUCCUUGGGACGCUUGUGCUUCGUUGAUGUUGUCGUCAUCGUAGUCAUGUUUGGGUUGCGUUUGUUGCGGAUUGGGUGCUGGGUUUCGCAUCCAUGCCUUGCGAUGUCAUGUUCUUUAGAGUUUUUCGGCGAGGCACGCCCCCGUGGCGUAAUAGUUUUACCCCUAUGAAUGCACACACGCACACCCUACCCCUAUGAGCACCUCCUCGCCCCUGUGGCGUAAUAAUUUCACCCCUAUGAACGCACACACGCACACCCUACCCCUAUGAGCACCUCCGAAAGACUGAGCCGGCAGGAACGUCUCCUCCCACUGAAUGCGCAUCGCCGGAAAUCCUGAAAUAAAUCCGGGAAUAAAUGCGAGCACCAGGAUUUGAACUCUGGUGGGCUGGGGAUACCACAGUCCCUCUAACCAUCCAACCACAGGUUGAUUCGCGAGUGAAAAAUGUCUUGAUUAUAUAAGAUUGAUAAUGUCAGCAGUUGCCGGUGUUUGUUUGUUUGUUAACUAUAUUAGUAUAUAUAAAUAAAAGAAGAAAAAGGAGUAUGAAAGCAGUAAGGUGGAAGGGGAAAGCGAAGGAUGGGUUUAUUCUUCCAUUUGUGUUGUAGAAAGAAGUCGUCAUUUUCUUCUUGUUCCACUUCCGUUGCCUUAGCCUCCUUCUUCUUUCUUUCUUGUCUAUCAUCAUCAGCAUGCAUCCAUCCACCAAAAUAAAUAAAUAUUCCACCUUUUUGUUUCCAGAUUACCAGAUGAUGAGUUGAUUCAUUCUCACUAUCCACUCUAAAUCUACUCGAGCUCACCUCAUCCAUCCACCAAAAAGGCGGGGUUACUUACUUUUAUGGAAUGGAAAACUCUUAAAAAUUCCAGCAAUUGACUGGUGUUUGUUAAUCAAAAGAAGAAAGGAGUAUAGUGAUCCCGCAUAUGACAAAAAUUUAAACAAAGUACUUCGCGCUAGGAACAUCUCGCCAGAGUUCAUCAACCCAACAUACCAUAGUUCACCACGCAUAGCAUACGGGAGUUUUUACAAACCAUAAUAAUUAUACAUAGCAUAGGGGCACCGAAACAUAGUCGCUGGAGGGGGUGGGCAGGGGUCUACUUCACCGGGGUUCUACUCGUCAGAGUCAGAGUCGUCGCCCUCGUCAUUGUCGUCGCCCUCGUCAUUGUCGUCGCUGGAGAUGACCUCGGCGGGCAGCGGCUUCCCUUCAUGAAUGGUGUCGUAGAUGAGGUCGCAGUAGAUCCGGGUUUGGAGUUGGUACUCAUCCCAGAGCGUCAGCAGCCGCACAGCCGCAACCGCAUCUUCGGCAUCGGCGGUGGUCCUCGCCUCAAACCAUGCCCACUCGGCCUCCCACUGGCACUGGAUCGCCGAGUCGGAGAGCCGGCCGCAGCACCGGAAGGUCUUCCACGCACGCGAGCUCGAUCUAGCGCUGCGGGACUUGGCGCCACGCGUGCACGCCGCCUCCCGUUGCUUCUUCGACACGGGAGAGCGGAGGCCAGAGCCGCCGGCCUCAUUGUCGUUCUGGCGCUUGCGGGCGAAGAAGCCGCCGCGCGCAUCGACUCCACAGCGACACCUGAAGCCACCGCGAUUGCCGAACCCCCUUCCGCUGCCACGCCCUGCACCGGCGGAUGCCAUGGUAGCUUCGAUCCGGCGGAAACAGGCUGCAAUAGGUUGUUGGAGCGCGCUCGAUUUCUCGCCGGAGUACACGAAAUGCGGCGGAGAGGGCUAGAGGAAAUGGAGGGCGGGUACCCUAAAUCGGCCGGAAGCCGACAUAUAUACCGGAUGGGGGGGCUUUUCAUGGGCCGGGACUUUUUUUGGGUAUCUGCUCGGGCCGAUUAUUUGGGUCGCCCCGUAUAACGGGCGGAAAAGCGUAGUUCGCCCGCCUUAUGCGGGAUCUGCUAGAGAUGCUCCAAUAACUUUUCUUUUGCGAAUAAGAGAUGCUCUAAUAAUUUUAAUAUAGAUUUUUUUUACUGAGCUACUGCCAGCCCUCCAUUUAGGCUAUUUUUUUGACAGAAAAAGGAAAGAAACGGCGGUAAUAUAUGCACAUAUAACUACAAUUUUCUGUUAAUCCAAAAUAGUAAUGAUGAAAAUAUAAUUUCAUUUUGCCAGACCAUAUUUGUCUUCGUGUAGUUUAUAUGUGAUGAUUUUAAGAUACUUAUACCCAUGAUAUCUAGUAGAGUAAAUUUGUUGCGCAUGCCAACAUGCAAAUGUUAGUUUAAAAAAAAACUAUGAGCCCGGAGUAAGUUCCAAUUUUUUUACUAGUAUUUGAGAUAAAUUCCAAAUUGUUAUGUGUAUUUCCUUUUACACUAGCAAAAGCUGGCAAUUAUACUCAUGUAAUCAUUGUUGUGACAUAUGGCAUUUCAACCCAAAAUUAUGCUCAAACCAAUAUAUUGCUCACCAUACAUACAGAAUUUAUACAAUACAAAUAGGUUUUGUCGCGGGUUAACCGAGGCUUUUGCUCAUGGCUGUUCAACUUUUGUUGCUCAAUAAUGUUGUGCCUAUACUUUCAAUCGGUUUGGCUCAAGGUUAUUGUCCCCGUGACGCUUUUGCUUCAGUGGCCGUUGUUAUGGUAAGCGAGUUUGGGUUGUGUUUUUGUAGGCCGGGCUUCAACUUUCGUAGUGUAAGAGGUUCGGUUCCAUUCCUUGUGAUGUUAGGUCAUUUAGGGUGCUCUGUCUAGUCGAACCUCUAUGGCGUUGUAUGGGUCAUGCCUUUUGCGGUGUUGUAGCAUCGUUCUUUCUUAAGGAAUUCAGGUGCAGCUAGAUCUUCCGCAUGGUUCUGAAAAUAAAAAUAAAAGAAUGGGCCAAUUGUUUUUUCAUUGUUAAACGAAAGAAUAUGGCUUCUCUGCCUUUUAGUUACUACUAGUGGGCUGAUUGUUCUGAAUAUGGCUUCUUUUCCUUGAACUCCAAAAAAAUGGGUAAUUUUCCCUUUUAGCAAAGCACACAAAAAGGCAGGGUUACUUACCCUUUAUUUUGAAUGAAAAACACUUAAAAAUCCCUGCGGUUGACUGGUGUUUUGUUAAUAAAAAGAAGAAGGGAGUAUGAAAGCAGGAAGGUUGGAGGGGAAAGCGAAGGAAGCGAGUGAUCGGUUUAUUCCUGUAGUUCCCUUCCCUACACACUCAUGCAAGCGGUUUUAUUCUUGCGGUGUCCCCAUCACGCUUGUGCUUCGGUCGAUGUUGUUGUCAUUGUUUCCACGGUGAUCGAGUUUGGGUUGCGUUUGUCACGGUAGUCAUAUUUUUUUCGUUGUUAGCCGAAAGAAUAUAGGUCGUUUGCCUCUUAAUUGCUAGCAAAGCACACAUAGAAAGGCAUGAUUGAUUUCUUGGAAUGAGCAGGCUGGUUGUUUUUGUCUUGAAACCCCAGAAAAUGGCCCUUUUAGCAAAGCAGAAGAAAAGACAGGGUUACUUACUUUAUUUGGAAAUGGAAAGCUCUUAAAAAUCCCAGCAGUUGACUGGUGUUUGUUAAUCAGAAGAAGAUAGGAAGAAAGGAGUAUGGAGCCGGGAAGGUGGGUGGGGAAAGCGAAGGGAGCGGUUUAUUCUUGCAGUCCCCUUUCCCACAUGCUCAUGCAAGCGGUUUAUCCUUGUAGUGUCCCCGCGACGCUUGUGCUUCGAUCGAUGUUGUCGUCAUGGUAGUCAAGUUUGGAUUGCGUUUGUUGCGGACUAGGUGCUGGGUUUCGCAUCCAUGCCUUGCGAUGUCAUGCCGUUUAGAGUUAAAAAUUUACAAGUGAUUCGAGAAAAAGUAUAGAAGAAGAAAAAGGAGUAUGAAAAUAGUAAGGUGGAAGGGGAAAGCGAAGGGAGAUACCACCAUUGGGUUAUUCUCACAUUUCUUGACCGGUCAUUUUCCUCUUCUUGUUAUGCUUCCACUUGCCUUGCCUACACGCACGCUCCUUCUCCUUCGUUCUUUCUUUCUUGUGCCGACACGGAGUAUUUAACAAAAAACUACCACAUUUAGUGGAACCGUGCCUACAAACUACCAUUUUACAAAUUUGUGUCGAAAACUACCACUUUUUGUCUAAUCUUUGUCUAAAAACUACCAUGUCGGGAAAGUGCCCGAUUCGCCUCUUCUAAACACCUUUCUAACAGGAUGGGCCCACCUGUCAGCAUCAAUCUUCUUCCUCCUCUCUCUCUCUUUGGCAUUUCCUCGAACACCACACGUGCAAUGUUAUGUUGUGUUGUUUGUGGUCUGGUCUUUGUGCUUGUGCAUUAUGGGUCAGUCAAAGAAGAGACAAGCAUGCAAUGGUGGAUGUCUGUUGUUGCAGUGGUUGCAUUGUUGUGUUGUCCUGCUGUCUUGCUAGCUGGUAAUAAUUGUAAUGUGUUGUGCUUGUGAUUGGGCCACCCACAUCAUCCACAUCAUCUUGAUUUAUCUUGUUGGAUGUGGAUAAUAUAAAGUGACAACAAGAUGACCCAUAAUGCCGCGGUGGGCGGUACCACGGUGUUUUGUGCAAUACACCAAAAAAAUCACAGAGCUACGCGAGCCCUCCAUUUAGGCCUUUUUGACCAAAAAAGAGAGAGAAUGAAACGGCGUUAAUAUAUGCACAUAUAACUAUAAUUUUCUGUAAACCCAAAAUAGUAAUGUUGAGAUAUAAUUUCAUUUUGCCAGACCAUAUUUGUCUUUGUGUGGCCUACAUGUGUUUUUUUAAAAAAAAACAAUAAACCCACCAACUCUGCCUGCGCUGCAACUCUAGUUUGUAAAGAUCCAAUAUAAUAUUAUAUGCAUCUUUAUAGUGUUAUGGGUUUGGUUUGUAGGAAAUAUUUUUCCCCUUUGUUUUCUAUACUACAUUUUCCAAUACAUUCCUUGUAAUGUUAAGUCAUUUAGUUCCUCGAAAAAAAUGUAGGUCACUUAGGGUGGUAUGCCUAGUCGAACCUCUAUAGCGUUGUACGGGUCAUGCCUUGUCGGCGUUGUAGCAUCAUUCUUUAUUAACGAAUUCAGGUAGAUCUUCCGCAUGGUUCUAAAAACAAAAAGAAAAGAAUGGGCCAAUUGUCUUUUCAUUGUUAACCGUGUUAAACAACGUUGCUUACAUACAUGUCACGAUCCCAAUCCAACCAGGAGGUGUUCGGCUUUGGUUAGGUUUAGAGAUAUAUUUGGCUAGUAGUUUAAACACAUCACAAUUGUAACUACUUCUAUCUCUCCUCUCCAAGUAAUCUCUCUCGAUCUGUACCAAUCUCCUAAUUCUCUGUAUCGAUCGUGGGGUCGCGUCCCCUCCUUAUAACGUGAACCACGUCCCUCGAGAGAGGUAAGAUGUUUUCCGCUAUCGCACAUGGUAGUCAGAGCCUUCCUUUUCCCAUCCGAAGCUUCUGUCGAAUCCAUCUAAGCCUAGCCAUGUCUUCCUUCUCUGCCUCCGGUGCCUUCUCCUCAAACCUCAAUAGCCAGGUCACGGAGAAGUUGUCCCGCACGAACUACGUGCUAUGGCGAACGCAGAUCACCCCCCAACUGCGUGGCGCCGGCGUCUACGGCUACGUCGACGGCACCACACCGGAGCCGGCGAAGUUCCUCAUCACCACCAAAGAAGGCAAUGAGACUUCAUCACCCAACCCUCUCCACCCUCUCUGGGUCCGGGAGGACCAGCAGGUCCUUGGCUUCCUGCUGGCCAACCUCACAAAGGAGGUUCUGGUGACGGUGACCACGGCCACCACGGCGAGCGCGCUCUGGACGACGCUCGCUGCCAUGUUCUCGUCGCACUCAGCGAGCCGCAUCAACAACAUCCGCACCUCCCUCAUCAACACGCAUAAGGGUAAUCCCUCGGUUGCCUCUUACUUUUCUGCUAUGCGAGGAUAUGCAGAUGAACUAGCCGCGGCAGGCAAGGCCAUCCAGGAUGACGAACUAGUCUCCUACAUCAUCCACAGACUCGACGCCGAUUACCAGCCUCUGGUGUCUGCUCUCGACGCUCGAGUCACCCCCGUCACACUCGAUGAACUCUACACCAUGCUCUCAAACUUCGACCAGCGUGUGGCUCAUUACCACGGGUCUGGCGGCAGCGGCUUCAAAUCUUCAGCCAACAUGGCGUCCCGUGGGCGGGGUGGCGGCUCCCGUUCACGUGGCCCUCCUCGCAAAGGGCAAUCUGGUGGCGGCGGCGGUAGUGACCGCGGCUUCUCUCCUCAGCGCACCGGCGGCAGGGGCCGCAGCCGUCGCGGUCGUGGCAGCGACAGGAUGCGCCCCGACACUCCAAGAUGCCAGAUCUGUGGGAAACCUGGACACACAGCAAAAGAUUGCUGGUACAGGUAUGAGGAUGAUGAUGAUUCCCAAGAUGAUGACAAAGUCGCUGCGGCGGCUGAUGGGUCCUACGGUGUUGACACCAAUUGGUACGUUGACAGUGGGGCCACAAACCACAUCACCAAUGAACUCGAGAAGGUGACCAUGAAGGAAAAAUAUCGCGGCAAGGAUCAAAUCCACACUGCUAGCGGAGAAGGUAUGAGUAUAUGUCAUGUUGGUCACUCAAUAUUUCGUACCCCUAGACGUAAACUACAUCUUAGGAAAAUUUUGCAUGUCCCUAGUGCACACAAAAAUCUUCUUUCUGUUCAUCGAAUUGCCAUCGAUAAUCAUGUUUUUCUCGAGUUUCGCCCUUAUUUCUUUUUGAUCAAGGAUCAGGCAACGAGGGAAAUACUCUAUCGAGGUAGAUGUGUUCGAGGGCUCUAUCCGUUGAUUCCAGAGUUUAGAAGAUUCAAUAAACAAGCUUGUGGUGCUAUCAAGCUUACGUCCACACGAUGGCACGAUCAUUUAGGACAUGCCUCUUUUUCUUUAGUUGAAAAGUUACUUAGGAAAAAUAAGCUCCCGUUUGUUGGUGGGCGUCAUGUUGAAACAAUUUGUGAUUCAUGUCAACGAGCUAAAAGUCAUCAAUUACCAUACCCCGUUUCUACUAGUAUUUCUACCAAACCUCUCCAACUUAUUUUUUCUGAUGUUUGGGGUCCAGCCCCACACUCUGUUGGUAGACAUACGUAUUACGUCAGUUUCAUUGAUGACUACAGUAAAUUCUCUUGGAUCUAUCUUCUCAAACGAAGAUCAGAUGUGUUUCAAGUUUUUCAAAACUUCCAAGCUCUUGUUGAAUGCAAGUUNNNNNNNNNNNNNNNNNNNNNNNNNNNNNNNNNNNNNNNNNNNNNNNNNNNNNNNNNNNNNNNNNNNNNNNNNNNNNNNNNNNNNNNNNNNNNNNNNNNNNNNNNNNNNNNNNNNNNNNNNNNNNNNNNNNNNNNNNNNNNNNNNNNNNNNNNNNNNNNNNNNNNNNNNNNNNNNNNNNNNNNNNNNNNNNNNNNNNNNNNNNNNNNNNNNNNNNNNNNNNNNNNNNNNNNNNNNNNNNNNNNNNNNNNNNNNNCUCCUUCUUCCAGAACCUUGGUAUUUCUCACCAAGUAUCAUGCCCACAUGCUCACCAACAAAAUGGCUCAUUUGAGCGCAAACAUAGACAUAUCAUAGAGGUAGGCCUUGCUCUUUUGGCAGGAGCCUCCAUGCCUCUCAAGUUUUGGGAUGAAGCAUUCCUCACUGCCGUUCACAUUAUCAACAUGCUACACAGUCGUGUUAUUAAUAAUGAAACUCCGGUAGAACGCCUCCUUCACAGAAAACCAGACUACAAAUCUCUUCGAGUCUUUGGGUGUGCAUGUUGGCCAAACCUCCGUCCCUACAACAAUUGCAAACUCAUGUUUCGCUCAAAACAGUGUGUCUUCCUAGGAUACAGCGCCCAUCAUAAAGGUGUCAAAUGUCUAGAUGUCUCCACUGGUCGGGUUUACAUCUCACGUGACGUCGUAUUCGAUGAAACCAAGUUCCCAUUUGCUGAUCUUCACCCCAAUGCUGGCGCCCUUCUUCACAAAGAAAUCCUUCUUCUGCCUUCACAUCUCACUAGUUUUGAUCAAGGGGGGCAAGAUAUCGAUGAUCAACUAUUGACUAACUCAUCUAAUGAUCUGCAUGAGUCUUGUGUUGAUGAUACAGGAGAAAUCCAUGAAGAGAUCGUUGUUGAAAAAAAUUCAGAUGGACCAUAUUUUAUGUGUCCCACAAGCGGAGACAGAUCCUCCUCGGGAUCCAUCCAGGAGUAGCGAAUCAGAUUCGCUUUGGGAUCGCAGCCUGACGUGACAGACGCAGGCGACCGCGUGGUCUUCCCUGAUUCCCGCAGCACCGGUCCCAUGGGCGACACGCGGGCUGCGCCCGCUGGCUGCGCUGGCUUCCCCGCUCCGCGCUAAUCGCCGCCCCCCACUUGGCCGGCUCCGGGUGGCCCAGAAGCUGCGCGCCGCCCCACCCAACCGGUGACCUACAAACGGCGCACGAGCACGCGGUCCAGGGAGGGCGCGGGCCCUGGCGCGGGUCUCGGUGCAGGUCCGACCGCCCCUGGCGCGGAAAAACUGGCGCAGCUGGCGCGGAAACUUGCGUGGGCCCUGGCGCGGGUCCGACCGGCACGGAAAUCCGAGCAGAUACGGAAGCUCCGGGAUUCUUUGUGGCUGCCUCAGGCGCCUCGCCUCGCGUUUCAGCUACAGAAGAUCCGGUGUUGGGUGGCGCUGCUACUGCUGCCGAAUCCUUUUUGGGUUCUGGUCCAGCCAAUGAUUUGGAAACCAUGGGAUCCUCUAUGGCAGCAGAUGUGAGUACUCAGCAGCCACGUCGUACACGCCUUCAACAAGGAAAAAUUCAACCUGUCAACUACAAGCAUAUAUCCAAGUAUGGUAUGGUUUGUUCCACAGGUGAACCAGAUGAACCUAACACCCUUGAAGCAGCACUGUGUGAUGAUAGGUGGAAGAAAGCCAUGAAUGAAGAGUAUAUGGCAUUGAAGAAAAACAAAACAUGGCAUUUGGUUCCCCCACAGCAAGGUAAAAAUUUAAUUGAUUGCAAGUGGGUUUUCAGGAUCAAAAGAAAAGCUGAUGGAACUGUUGAUCGUUAUAAGGCUAGGCUAGUAGCAAAAGGUUUUAAACAGAGAUAUGUCAUAGACUAUGAGGACACGUUUAGUCCGGUGGUAAAGGCUUCCACCAUUCGUCUUGUCCUAUCCAUUGCUGUUUCCAGAGGAUGGAGUCUCAGACAGCUUGAUGUUCAGAACGCGUUUCUCCAUGGUGUUCUGGAAGAGGAAGUGUACAUGAAACAACCUCCUGGGUUUGAGAGUAAGAAUGCUCCUUCAUAUGUAUGCAAGCUUGAUAAGGCACUAUAUGGGUUGAAACAGGUUCCAAGGGCAUGGUAUGCUCGUCUCUAUCACAAAAUGCAAGCACUUGGUUUUGUUCCCUCUAAAUCUGACACAUCAUUGUUCAUCUACAACAAGUCCAACACAUGCAUAUUUGUUCUCAUAUAUGUUGAUAAUAUUAUUGUAACCAUCUCAUCUGAUGAAGCUAUCAGAGGACUUCUUAAAGAUCUAAGUGCAGAAUUUGCUCUAAAGGAUCUUGGUGACUUGCACUAUUUUCUUGGGAUUGAGGUGAAGAAGCACAAAGAUGGACUUCUGCUCUCUCAGGAAAAAUAUGCCACUGAUUUGGUUAAGAAGGCUGGGCUACAGGGAUGCAAGCCUUCUCCCACUGGUGGCUUUGCAGUAUUCUUUGGACCAAAUUUGAUAUUCUGGUGUGCACGAAAACAGGCCACUGUAUCCAGGUCCAGUACAGAGGCAUAAUACAAGGCAUUGGCAAAUGCUACAACUGAAAUAAUAUGGGUUCAGUCUAUGUUGAAGGAACUUGGUGUACAAAGUAAACAAGCUCCCUGCUUAUGGUGUGACAAUCUUGGUGCUACAUAUCUCUCUGCAAAUCCGGUGUUUCAUGCCAGGACAAAGCACAUAGAGAUUGAUUUUCACUUUGUCAGAGAAAGAGUUGCUCAGAAACAACUUGACAUUCGCUUGUGCAUUCCAAAGAUCAACUUGCAGAUGGAUUCACAAAGCCCUUGCCCACAAGAAGCUUUGAAGACUUCAAGCAUAAUCUCAACUUAAUGAAGUUGUGAUUAAGGGAGGGUGUUAAACAACGUUGCCUACAUACAUGUCAUGAUCCCAAUCCAACCAGGAGGUGUUCGGCUUUGUUUAGGUUUAGAGAUAGAUUUGGCUAGUAGUUUAAACACAUCACAAUUGUAACUACUUCUAUCUCUCCUCUCCAAGUAAUCUCUCUCGAUCUGUACCGAUCUCCUGAUUCUCUGUAUCGAUCGUGGGGUCGCGUCCCCUCCUUAUAACGUGAACCACGUCCCUCGAGAGAGGUAAGACGUUUUCCUCUAUCGCACAAACCGAAAGAAUAUGGCUUCUUUGCCUUUUAAUUACUACUAGGCAGUAGCAAAGCACAUAUAAAAAAGGCAUGGUUGAUUUACUUGGAAUGAGCAGGCUGGUUGUUUUUUCCUUGAACCCCCAAAAAUGGGUAAUUUACCCUUUUAGCAAAGCACACAAAAAGGCAGGGUUACUUACUUUUAUGGGAUGUAAAACUCUUAAAAAUUCCAGUUGUUGACUGGUGUUUGUUAAUCAAAAGAAGAAAGGAGCAUAGCGAUCCCACAUAUGACAGAAAUUUAAACAGAGUACUUUGGGCUAAAAACAUCUCGCCGGAGUUCAUCAACCCAACAUACCAUAGUUCACCACGCAUAGCAUAGGUGAGUUUUUGCAAACCAUAAUAAUCAUACAUAGCAUAGGGGAAUCGAAACCUAGCAUAGGGGAUCUACUAGUCGCCGGAGCCGGGGGUGGGCGGGGGUCUACUUCACUGUGGUUCUACUCAUCCGAGUCAGAGUUAUCCGAGUCGGAGUCGUCAUCCUCAUCGUCGCCGUCACCCUCAUCAUCGUCGUCGCUGGAAAUGACCUCGGCGGGCAGCGUUUUCUCUCCGUAAAGGGUGUCGGUGAUGAGGUCACUGUUGAUCCGGGUUUGGAGGUCGUACUCCUCCCAGAGCGCCGGCAGCCGCACAACCGCAGCCGUAUCUCCGGCGUCGGCGGCGGUCCUCGCCUCAAACCACACCCGUCCGGCCGCACGCUGGCGUUGGAGCGCCGGGUCGAAGAACCGGCCGUAGCGCAGGAAGGUCUUCCACCCAUGCGACCUCGAUCCGGCGCUGCGGGGCUUGGCGCAGAAAGUGCACGCCACCUCCCGUUUCUUCUUCGACACCGAAGGGGGGAGGCCAGAGCCGCCGGCCUCGUCGUCGUUUUGACACUUGUGGGCGAAGAAGCUUCCACGCGCGCCGCCUCCACCACGGCACCCGAAGCCACCGCGGUCGCCGAACCCCCUUCCGCUGCCACGCCCCGCACCGGCGGACGCCAUGGUAGCUUCGAUCCGGCGAAAACAGGCCACAAAAGGCUGCCAGAGCGCGCUCGAUUUCUCACUGGAGUACACGAAAUGUGGCGGAGGGGGCUAGAGGAAACGGAGGGCGGAUACCCUAAAUCGACUGGAAGCCGGCAUAUAUAUCGGAUUGGGGGCGGUUUACGGGCCUCGCGUAAACUUUUUACGGGCCGGACUUUUUUCGUGUAUCUGCUCGGGCCGAUUAUUUGGGUCGUCCCGUAUAACGGCCGGAAAAGCGUAGUUCACGGGCCUUAUGCGGGAUCUGCUACAGAUGCUCAAAUAACUAAUAAUAUAGCUUUUGUUUACUAGGGUACGGCGAGUCCUCCAUUUAGCCCAUUUUUUGGACAAAAAAGAAAGAAACGGCGGUAAUAUAUGCACACAUAACUACAAUUUUCUGUUAAUCCAAAAUAGUAAUGAUGAAAAUAUAAUUUCGUUUCGCCAGACCAUAUUUGUCUUCGUGUAGCCUACAUGUGAUGAUUUUAAGAUACUUAUACCCAUGAUAUCUAGUAGAUCGACUAGAUUUGUUGCGCAUGCCAACACGCAAAUGUUAGUUUAAAAAAAACUAUGAACCCUGUGUAAAUUCAUUGCGUUCCUUUUUACUAGUAUUUGAGAUAAAUUCCAAAUUGUUAGGUGUAUUUUCCUUUUACACUAGUAAAAGCCGCCAAUUAUACUCAUGUAAUCAUUGUUGUGACAUGUGGCAUUUCAACCCAAAAUUAUGCUUAAACCACUAUAUUGCUCGAUAAUGUUGUGCCCAUACUUUCAGUCGGUUUGGCUCAAGGUUAUUGUCCCCGUGACGCUUUUGCUUCGGUGGUCGUCGUUGUGGUAAGCGAGUUUGGGUCGUGUUGUUGUGGGUCGGGCUUCAACUUUCGUAGUGUAAGAGUUUUGGUUCCAUUCCUUGUGAUGUUAGGUCAUUUAGGGUACUCUGCCUCUACCUAGUAGACUAGUAGUGCCGCUAUGAUGUUGCAUGGGUCAUGCCUUCUCGGCGUUGUAGCAUCAUUCUUUCUUUAGGAAUUCACGUCCAGCUAGAUCUUCCGCAUGGUUCUGAAAAUAAAAAUGAAAUAAUGGGCCAAUUGUUUUUCAUUGUUAAACGAAAGAAUAUGGCUUCUUUGCCUUUUAAUUACUACUAGUGGGCCAAUUGUUCUGAAUAUGGCUUAAAAUGGGUAAUUUUCCCUUUUAGCAAAGCACACAAAAAGGCAGGGUUACUUACUUUUUUUUUGGAAUGAAAAACUCUUAAAAAUUCCAGCGGUUGACUGGUGUUUGUUAAUAAAAAUAAGAAAGGAGUAUGAAAGUAGGAAGGUGGGAGGGGAAAGCGAAGGAAGCGAGUGAGCGGUUUAUUUUUGUAGUUCCCUUCCCUACACACUCAUGCAAGCGGUUUAUUCUUGCGGUGUCCCCAUGACGCUUGUGCUUCAGUCAAUGCUGUUCUCAUCGUUGUCACGGUGGUCGAGUUUGGGUUGCGUUUGUGACGGUACUCACCUUUUUUCAUUGUUAACGAAAAGAAUAUGGCUCGUUUGCCUUUUAAUUGCUAGCAAAGCACACAUAGAAAAUGCAUGAUUGAUUACUUGUGAUGAGCAGGCUGGUUGUUUUUGUCUUGAACCCCAAAAAAUGGUCCUUUUUAGCAAAGCACAAGAAAAGGCAGGGUUACUUACUUUUUUUGGAAAUGGAAAACUCUUAAAAAUUCAAGUUUGGGUUGCGUUUGUUGCGGAUUGGGUACUGGGUUUUGCAUCCAUGCCUUGCGAUGUCAUGUUGUUUAGAGUUUUUCGGCGAGGCACGCCCUACCCCUAUGAGCACCUCCGAAAGACUGAGCCGGCAGGAAUGUCUCCUCCCACUGAAUGCGCAUCGCCGUAAAUCCUGAAAUAAAUCCAGAAAUAAAUGCGAGCACCAGGAUUUGAACUCUGAUGGACUGGGGAUACCACUGUCCCUCUAACCAUCCAACCACAGGUUGAUUUGCGAGUGAAAAAAGUCUUGAUUAUAUAAGAUUGAUAAUGUCAACAGUUGACCGGUUUGUGUUUGUUUGUUAAUUAUAUUAGUAUAUAUAAAUAAAAGAAGAAAAAGGAGUAUGAAAGCAGUAAGGUGGAAGGGGAAAGCGAAGGAUGGGUUUAUUCUUCCAUUUGUGUUGUAGAAAGAAGUCGUCAUUUUCUUCUUGUUCCACUUCCGUUGCCUUGCCUCCUCCUUCUUUCUUUCUUGUCUAUCAUCAUCAGCAUCCAUCCAUCCACCAAAAUAAAUAAAUAUUCCACCUUUUUGUUUCCAGAUUACCAGAUGAUGAGUUGAUUCAUUCUCAAUAUCCACCAAAAAGGCGGGGUUACUUACUUUUAUGGAAUGGAAAACUCUUAAAAGUUCCAGCAAUUGACUGGUGUUUAUUAAUCAAAAGAUAAAAGGAGUAUAGCGAUCCCGCAUAUGACAAAAAAUUAAACAAAGUACUUCGCGCUAGAAACAUCUCGCCAGAGUUCAUCAACCCAACAUACCAUAGUUCACCACGCAUAGCAUACGGGAGUUUUUACAAACCAUAAUAAUUAUACAUAGCAUAGGGGCACCGAAACAUAGUCGCCCGAGGGGGUGGGCAGGGGUCUACUUCACCGGGGUUCUACUCGUCGGAGUCAGAGUCGUCGCCCUCGUCAUUGUCGUCGCUGGAGAUGACCUUGGCGGGCAGCGGCUUCCCUCCAUGAAUGGUGUCGUAGAUGAGGUCGCAGGAGAUCCGGGUUUGGAGUUGGUACUCAUCCCAGAGCGUCAGCAGCCGCACAGCCGCAACCGCAUCUUCGGCAUCGGCGGUGGUCCUCGCCUCAAACCAUGCCCACUCGGCCUCCCACUGGCACUGGAUCGCCGAGUCGGAGAGCCGGCCGCAGCGCCGGAAGGUAUUCCACGCACGCGAGCUCGAUCCAGCGCUGCAGGACUUGGCGCCACACGUGCACGCCGCCUCCCGUUGCUUCUUCGACACGGGAGAGCGGAGGCCAGAGCCGCCGGCCUCGUUGUCGUUCUGGCGCUUGCGGGCGAAGAAGCCGCCGCGCGCAUCGACUCCACAGCGACACCUGAAGCCACCGCGAUUGCCGAACCCCCUUCCGCCGCCACGCCCCGCACCGGCGGAUGCCAUGGUAGCUUCGAUCUGGCCGAAACAGGCUGCAAUAGGCCGUCGGAGCGCGCUCGAUUUCUCGCCGGAGUACACGAAAUGCGGCGGAGAGGGCUAGAGGAAAUGGAGGGCGGGUACCCUAAAUCGGCCGGAAGCCGGCAUAUAUACCGGAUGGGGGGGGGGGGGCUUUUCAGGGGCCAGGACUUUUUUUGGGUAUCUACUCGGGCCGAUUAUUUGGGUCGUCCCGUAUAACGGGCGGAAAAGCGUAGUUCGCCGGCCUUAUGCGGGAUCUGCUAGAGAUGCUCUAAUAACUUUUCUUUUGCGAAUAAGAGAUGCUCUAAUAACUUUAUAGCUUUUGUUUACUGAGCUACUGCCAGCCCUCCAUUUAGGCUAUUUUUUUGACAGAAAAAGGAAAGAAACGGCGGUAAUAUAUGCACAUAUAACUACAAUUUUCUGUUAAUCCAAAAUAGUAAUGAUGAAAAUAUAAUUUCAUUUUGCCAGACCAUAUUUGUCUUCGUAUAGCUUAUAUGUGACGAUUUUAAGAUACUUAUACCCAUGAUAUCUAGUAGACUAGAUUUGUUGCGCAUGCCAACAUGCAAAUGUUAGUUAAAAAAAAACUAUGAGCCCUGAGUAAGUUCCAUUUUUUUACUAGUAUUUGAGAUAAAUUCCAAAUUGUUAUGUGUAUUUCCUUUUACACUAUCAAAAGCUGGCAAUUAUACUCAUGUAAUCAUUGUUGUGACAUGUGGCAUUUCAACCCAAAAUUAUGCUCAAACCAAUAUAUUGCUCACCAUACAUACAUAAUUUAUACAAUACAAAUAGGUUUUGUCGCGGGUUAACCGAGGCUUUUGCUCAUGUUGUUCAACUUUUGUUGCUCAAUAAUGUUGUGCCUAUACUUUCAGUCGGUUUGGCUCAAGGUUAUUGUCCCCGUGACGCUUUUGCUUCAGUGGUCAUUGUUGUGGUAAGCGAGUUUGGGUCGUGCUGUUGUGGGCCGGGCUUCAACUUUCGUAGUGUAAGAGUUUUCGGUUCCAUUCCUUGUGAUGUUAGGUCAUUUAGGGUGCUAUGUCUAGUCGAACCUCUAUGGCGUUGUAUGGGUCAUGCCUUUUGCGGUGUUGUAGCAUCGUUCUUUCUUUAGGAAUUCAGGUGCAGCUAGAUCUUCCCCAUGGUUCUGAAAAGAAACAAAAGAAAAGAAUGGGGCAAUUUCUUUUUCAUUGUUAACCGAAAGAAUAUGGCUCCUUUUGCCAUUUAAUUACUACUAGCAAAGCACACAUAGAAAAACAUGAUUGAUUACUUGGAAUGAGCAAGAUGGUUGUUUUUGUCUUGAACCCCAGAAUAUGGCCCUUUUAGCAAAGGAGAAGAAAAGGCAGGGUUAAUUACUUUUUUUCCAGAAUGGAAAACUCAGAUUCCAGCAGUUGACUGGUGUUUGUUAAUCAAAAGAAGAAAAGAAAAGAAGAAAGAAGUAUGAAAGUAGGAAGGUGGGAGGGGGAAAGCGAAGGGAGCGAGUGAGCGGUUUAUUCUUGCGGUUCCCAUUCCCACACGCCCAUGCAAGCGGUUUAGUUUUGCAGUGUCCCCGCGACGCUUGUACUUCUGUCGAUGUUGUCGUCAUCAUUGGUCAUGGUAGUCAAGUUUGGAUUGCGUUUGUUGCGGACUGGAUGACGGGUUUCGCAUCCAUGCCUUGCAAUGUCAAAAAAAAUGAGACCAACCCAAGGGCUAACCCUCGUUGGCAUUCUUUUAUAGAAGAAACUCCGUGAGCACGGUAUGUCAAAGCCAGGGCUUCAACUUGGGUGGGCUGGCAGCUACCCAGCUGCCCAGCCAACGGGUCGACGCCCCAUCCUCAUGCCUUGCGAUGUCAUGCCGGUGUGUGUUUGUUUGUUAAUUAAUAAAUACUGGUACAGAAGAAGAAAAAGGAGUAUGAAAGCAGUAAGGUGGGAGGGGAAAGGGAAGGGAGCUACCACUGGGUUGGGUUUAUUCUCCCAUUUCAGUUAGACGAGUCAUUUUCUCCUCCUCCUUCAUUCUGUUUCUUCACUUGCUUCUUUCUUUCUUUCUUUCUUGUGCCGACACAACACAGAGAUCAUGAGAGAGCACCCAUAUUUAUCAUCAGCAUCAGCAUCCAUCCAUCCACCAAAAUAAAUAAAAAUAAAUAUUCCACCUUUCUUCCCCUUUCCUUUUUGUCUUGAGAUUACCUGAUCAUGAGUUGACCCAUUCAUCCUCAGUGCAUACUCUCUAAAAUCUACUCGUAGAUCACCUCACUCUACCUAAUUUCUUUAGCUUACCAAUCCUCCUCUUUACAUAGCGUAGCGUAGGUAGGGGAAAGAAAGGAGUGUGUGUGUCUGUAAAUACUCCCUCCGUCCCAAAAUUCUUGUCUAACAUUUGUCUAAAUACGGAUGUAUCAAAUCACGUUUUAGUAUUAGAUACAUUCAUAUCUAAAUAAAUUUCAGACAAGAAUUUUGGGACGGAGGGAGUACUAAAGCAGCAGUCAGCACUCAGCAGCAAAAAAAUGUUAGGUCAUUUAGGGUGCUAUGUCUAGUCGAACCUCUAUGGCGUUGUACGGGUCAUGCCUUGUCGGCGUUGUAGCAUCAUUCUUUCUUAACGAAUUCAGGUAGAUCUUCCGCAUGGUUCUGAAAACAAAAAGGAAAAGAACGGGCCAAUUGUCUUUUCAUUGUUCCGAAAGAAUAUGGCUUCUUUGCCUUUUAAUUACUACAAGGCAGUAGCAAAGCACACAUAAAAAAAAGGCAUGAUUGGAUUUACUUGGAAUGAGCAGGCUGGCUGUUUUUUCCUUGAACUCCAAAAAAAUGGGUAAUUUACCCUUUUAGCAAAGCACACAAAAAGGCAGGGUUACUUACUUUGAUGGGAUGGAAAACUCUUAAAAAUUCCAGCUGUUGACUGGUGUUUGUUAAUCAAAAGAAGAAAGGAGUAUAGCGAUCCCACAUAUGACAUAAAUUUAAACAGAGUACUUUGCGCUAAAAACAUCUCGCCGGAGUUCAUCAACCCAACAUACCAUAGUUCACCACGCAUAGCAUAGGAGAGUUUUUGCAAACCAUAAUAAUUAUACAUAGCAUAGGGGAAUCGAAACAUAGCAUAGGGGAUCUACUAGUCGCCGGAGCCGGGGGUGGGCGGGGGUCUACUUCACUGAGGUGCUACUCAUCUGAGUCAGAGUUAUCCGAGUCAAAGUCGUCGCCCACAUCGUCGCCGUCACCCUCAUCGUCGUUGUCGCUGGAGAUGACCUCGGUGGGCAGCGGCUUCCCUCCGUAAAGGGUGUCGGUGAUGAGGUCACCGUAGAUCCGGGUUUGGAGGUCGUACUCCUCCCAGAGCGCUGGCAGUCACGCAGCCGCAGCCGCAUCUCCGGCGUCGGCGGCGGUCCUCGCCUCAAACCACGCCCGUCCGGCCUCACGCUGGCGCUGGAGCGCCGGGUCGAAGAGCCGGCCGUAGCGCAGGAAGGUCUUCCACCCAUGCGACCUCGAUCCGGCGCUGCGGGACUUGGCGCAACAAGUGCACACCGCCUCCCGUUUCUUCUUCGACAAAGGAGGGGGGAGGCCAGAGCCGCCGGCCUCGUCGUCGUUUUGGUGCUUGCGGGCAAAGAAGCCACCGCGCGCGCCGCCUCCACCACGGCACCCGAAGCCACCACGGUCACCGAACCCCCUCCCGCCGCCACGGCCCGCACUGGCGGACACCAUGGUAGCUUCGAUCCGGAGGAAAACAGGCCGCAAAAGGCUGCCGGAGCACGCUCGAUUUCUCGCCGGAGUACACGAAAUGCGGCGGAGGGGGCUAGAGGAAAUGGAGGGCGGAUACCCUAAAUCGAUUGGAAGCCGGCAUAUAUACCAGAUUGGGGGCGGUUUACGGGCCUCCCGUAAACUUUUUACGGGCCGGGACUUUUUCCGGGUAUCUGCUCGGGCUGAUUAUUUGGAUCGUCCCGCUAGAGAUGCUCUAAUAACUAAUAAUAUAGCUUUUCUUUACUGAGCUAAGGCGAGCCCUCCAUUUAGGCCACUUUUUGGACAGGAAAAGAAAGAAACGGCGGUAAUAUAUGCACACAUAACUACAAUUUUCUGUCAAUCCAGAAUAGUAAUGAUGAAAAUAAUAUAAUUUCAUUUUGCCGACAUAUUUGUCUUCGUGUAGUCUACAUGUGAUGAUUUUAAGAUACUUAUACCCAUGAUAUCCAGUAGAUCGACUAGAUUUGUUGCGCAUGCCAACAUGCAAAUGUUAGUUUAAGAAAAACUAUGAACCAUGUGUAAAUUCAUUGCGUUCCUUUUUACUAGUAUUUGAGAUAAAUUCCAAAUUGUUAGGUGUAUUUUCCUUUUACACUAGUAAAAGCCGCCAAUUAUACUCAUGUAAUCAUUGUUGUGACAUGUGGCAUUUCAACCCAAAAUUAUGCUUAAACCAGUAUAUUGCUCAAUAAUGUUGUGCCCAUACUUUCAAUCGGUUUGGCUCAAGGUUAUUGUCCCCAUGACGCUUUUGCUUCGGUGGUCGUCGUUGUGGUAAGCGAGUUUGGGUCGUGUUGUUGUGGGUCGGGCUUCCACUUUCGUAGUGUAAGAGUUUCGGUUCCAUUCCUUGUGAUGUUAGGUCAUUUAGGGUGCUCUGCCUCUACCUAGUAGUGCCUCUAUGAUGUUGCAUGGGUCAUGCCUUCUCGGCGUUGUAGCAUCAUUCUUUCUUUAGGAAUUCACGUGCAGCUAGAUCUUCCGCAUGGUUCUGAAAAUAAAAAGGAAAUAAUGGGCCAAUUGUUUUUCAUUGUUAAACGAAAGAAUAUGGCUUCUUUGCCUUUAAUUACUACUAGUGGGCUAAUUGUUCUGAAUAUGGCUUAAAAUGGGUAAUUUUCCCUUUUAGCAAAGCACACAAAAAGGCAGGGUCACUUACUUUUUUUUGGAAUGAAAAACUCUUAAAAAUUCCAGCGGUUGACUGGUGUUUGUAAUAAAAAGAAGAAAGGAGUAUGAAAGUAGGAAGGUGGGAGGGGAAAGCGAAGGAAGCGAGUGAGCGGUUUAUUUUUGUAGUUCCCUUCCCUACACACUCAUGCAAGCGGUUUAUUCUUGCGGUGUCCCCAUGACGCUUGUGCUUCAGUCGAUGUUGUUGUCAUCGUUGUCACGGUGGUCGAGUUUGGGUUGUGUUUGUGACGGUACUCAUCUUUUUUCAUUGUUAAUGGAAAGAAUAUGGCUCGUUUGCCUUUUAAUUGCUAGCAAAGCACACAUAGAAAAGGCAUGAUUGAUUACUUGGGAUGAGCAGGCUGGUUGUUUUUGUCUUGAACCCCAGAAAAUGGCCCUUUUAGCAAAGCACAAGAAAAGUCAGGGUUACUUACUUUUUUUGGGAAUGGAAAACUCUUAAAAAUUCCAGCAGUUGGUGUUUGUUAAUCAAAAGAAUAAAAGAAAAGAUAAAAGAAGAACAAAGAAGUAUGAGAGCGGGAAGGUGGGAGGGGAAAGCGAGUGAGCGGUUUAUUCUUGCGGUUCCCUUUUCCACACGCUCAUGCAAGCGGUUUAUUCUUGCAGUGUCCUCGGGACGCUUGUGCUUCGUUGAUGUUGUCGUCAUCGUAGUCAAGUUUGGGUUGCGUUUGUUGCAGAUUGGGUGCUGGGUUUCGCAUCCAUGCCUUGCGAUGUCAUGUUGUUUAGAGUUUUUCGGCGAAGCACGCCCCUGUGGCGUAAUAGUUUCAUCCCUAUGAACGCACACACGCAAACCCUACCCCUAUGAGCACCUCCGAAAGACUGAGCUGGCAGGAACGUCUCCUCCCACUGAAUGUGCAUCGCCGGAAAUCCUGAAAUAAAUCCAGGAAUAAAUGCGAGUACCAGGAUUUAAACCCUGGUGGGCUGGGGAUACCACAGUCCCUCUAACCAUCCAACCACAGGUUGAUUCGCGAGUGAAAGAAGUCUUGAUUAUAUAAGAUUGAUAAUGUCAGCAGUUGACCGGUGUGUUUGUUUGUUAAUUAUAUUAGUAUAUAUAAAUAAAAGAAGAAAAAGGAGUAUGAAAGCAGUAAGGUGGAAGGGGAAAGCGAAGGAUGGGUUUAUUCUUCCAUUUGUGUUGUAGAAAGAAGUCGUCAUUUUCUUCUUGUUCCACUUCGGUUGCCUUUGCCUCCUUCUUCUUUCUUUCUUGUCUAUCAUCAUCAGCAUCCAUCCAUCCAUUCCUAGUUGGUGCAGAGGCCGGGGAAGUGAAAUUCUCCCCCAUUUUUUAAGAUCCAACCUCGGUGUAAACCCGUUCCUUCAGAGAAGCGAUGGUGAAUUGCUAGGUUCCAUAUCGGACUGCAGAGGAACAGGAGGCGAUGCGGGGGGCGACUGGCGGCUCGUCCGUCGGAAUCACCGCGGGGUCAGCGUCCUACGCGUCCGGUGAUCGCCGGUGCGUGGGGGGCCGCUUCUGGGCCCUGGCCGAUGCUGACGAAGGUGAGGGAGAUGAAGAUCCGGACGUGGCGGCGCCGCUAUCUCCUUCAUCGGCGACUCCCUCAGACUACAUUUGCGAUUUUUUGAGCGUUGGGUACGACGAAGCCGAUGUGGCCGCCACCAUUGAUGAAAUCCUUCCAGUUGACGAUCCGGCGAGAGUCGGGCUUAGUGCGCGGGAGACAACAGAGAUGGUUCGCCGGAUUGUCCACAGGAGAACGGCGGCGGCGGCAGCUCGGCCCUGGAAGGGUCCUUUACCUAAGGUACGUCUUCUGAAUUUGACCUUGUUCGAUAUGAUUCGGCCGGAUUCAUGGACAUUGGUGAAGAGACGAAAGAAUUCUCGCCGGAAUGGAUGUAGAUCGACGCCGGAGGUGACUGCGGCGGCCUCGCCGGCGGUCACGGCGAUCCCGAUCCGGCUCGCUCGCAAGGAGCGUUUGAACAUGUUACUGGGCCGAGCCGAUCCUGAGGUUGUUGGGCUGGCUGGUAUUCUUGGGCCGAGGUCUGGUGGGUAUGAGGCCUAGGCAGAAUCGAUUCCAAUCGUUAUAGAGGGGGGGGACGCAUGCAUGUAUCGAUCAUCGUCGUCCACCCAGUCGCUGCGCCCUAGGGUUUUCCGUCGCCCAUCGCGAUUGCGUACCGCGGGUCCUGGCCGAGCGCGCUGUAUUCCACCUCUCGGAGUGAUGGCAGGGCCUGGAGGCGCGCCUCCUCCCGGAAAGCGGCCGCACCAGCCGGGGGGGCUUCUCGGGCCAUUGGGGCGCCGCCGCCUAGCCAUGGCACUGGCCGGGGUGCGUAGCCGGCGCAGGUGCCAGGUGCGAGGCGUGGCCGCGUCGAGAUCCCCAGCGCUGUGGCAGGCCGCGGGUCGGGUGGACCUGUGGUGCAGCCCUCUGUUGGCGGGGUUCCAGCUGCGAGGCAGCCAGCCCCGUCCUUGCCUUCGGGCGGGCGUGGCGGACAGGGAGCCGGUCCUCGACCGGUGGCUGCUGACGGUGCUGCGGCAGCAGCUGCGGGUCGGGGCAUUGCUCCUCUCAAGCCGCCGGCAUCUUCGGAUCCGCAUCCCAGAUCGGCCCCUCCUCCCAACGUCGUCACUCGCCCGCUUCCGCUGUCGCAGCCCAACGCGGUUGGGGCUGUGGUUGCGCCCCGAGGGCAGUGGGGGGAUGAUGGCUACGACGCGUAUGGGGCUGGCCAGCACCGUGGUUCGUCGUCCACGGGUGGAGGCCGUGGGUAUGCUUGGCAAAGCGACGGCUCGGCUGAGAGACUGUUCUUGGGUCCGUUCGGUGGUUUCGUUGAGGGGCCUUCCGGUCCGGGUAAUUGGCAGCGGGGAGGUUUCCGGGGCCAUCGUGGUGGUCGGGGUGGUCGAGGGGGUCGGUUCCGUCCACGACAACCGCCCCUCCCGCUGUUGUCGAGCAGACGACAGAGAGCGGGGCUGCCGAGGAGCCAGUGUUGACCGGUCGUGCGAUGGAGGUGGUGACGGCUCUUGCCACUGUCCAGGUUCCUGAGAACGAGGUUAUGGCUGAUGUGUCAGUGGAGUUGUCGGACAGGGCUGAGUCUGACAGGGCGUCCAAAUGGGCUCGCAAGAAGGAAAAGAUGCUUUGCUAUAGAUGUGGUGAAAAGGGCCACUUCAUUGCGGAGUGUGUGGUUCCGCUUUGUGAUACCUGUGGUAAACCGGCACAUGACUCUGGGGACUGCCCAAUGCUACGAGAUCAGGCGCCGUCACUUAUGAUGUACGGAGUUUACUGUGCUGAGCUCAUGUUUUUUGAGUCUUCGAUUGAGAGAGAGGUGGAUUAUGAGACGACGACCAUGAAUACGGGGAUUGUUAAGGUCACUAAAGGGGAGGUUUCUAAGGCACAGAUCGUGCAGAGGCUUCGGGAGUUGGCCCCCGGAGACUUCCAGUGGGAUCUCUUCAGCCUCACUGAUAAGAUGUUCAAGGUUGAGUUUCCUUCAGUGGAGGAUCUGCAGAGGUUGCUGAGUUUUGGGAUGUGUAAAGUGCCAGGAACUGAUUGCGUCCUUGAGUUUCACGAGUGGAAGCAGGUAGAGCCUCAGGGCAAGCCUCUUACUCAGGCGUGGUUGCGGUUCUCCGGAGUCCCUUCCAAGCCGUUGCAGGAUGCUCGGGUUGUGGCCAGUUUGGGUAUUUUGAUGGGAAAGCCUGAGAGGGUGGAUAUGGCGUUUACCAGAGCUCACAGGAUUGCUCGGGUUCUGGUUAGUAUUCUGAACACUGACUUUGUGCCGGAGGUUGUCAAGUGGGCUUAUCGAGGCAUGAUUUAUAGUCUGGUUAUUGAGUUUGAGGAUGAGAGCCUUCUGGCGGCGGACGCUCAUGGGUCGGACGUGGAUAUGCACGAGGGCGAUGGUAGCGCGGGGGCUAAGGAUCCGCCGGUCGAUGACUCUGGACGGCUGCAGUCCAAUGGACCGGGGUCUGAGAGCACGACGACUGAGGGAGGAGCGGCUCCACCUUCCUCGGUGCCUAUGACGACUUUGAGAUUUGGGUCCUUUGAACCCGCUUCUGCUCCCCCGAGACUGUGGAGCGAUCGGGUGGAGUCCGAGGAGGCUUCUGAGUAUGCGUUGCCUACUUUGGACUUUGAGGAUGCUCUUUGUGCUAGUCUGGGGGUUCCUGGUGAUUCGUCGGUACCGGUUUGGGGAGUGGGGGAGGUGAGUCGGCAGGUGGCCACUCCCUCUCGUGCUCACCACGGUGUUCCUCCCCAGGACGUGGCUGGUCUGUCGGCUGAGGGCCCGGGGCAGGAGGCCUCGGGUUACCCUUCUUCUGCCGACGUUGGACCGUUGGGACACGAGGCGCCCGUGUCUGUCGUUGCGCUGGGAGGGGGUUUGGGGCAGGUGGCCUCGGACACCUAUUCUCCCGUCGCAUCGUUCCUGCUGCCAGUGGCGCCCGUGCCGUCGGGAGGGGGCUCGGGGAAGGUGACCUCGGCGCCCUCCUCCCCUGAGGCGCCUACGGCAUUGGCCUCUCCGGUGCAUGGUGGGGAGCUCGGGCAGGUGGCCCAUGCACCCCCUUCCCCCCGUUCACCUCUAGCUCUGCCUUGUGAGGUGAGCCCGUCGCCGGUGGUCGGGGCUUCUGCUCAGCCUCGCCAGAGGAGUGAGGCAGGAGGUCCUACCCUGUCCAGGUUCUCUCGUGAGGAGGUGAUUGCGUUUGGAGGGAUUCAGGACCAGAUGUCUGAGGGGCGACGGGUGAGCGAUCGCCUCCAGACUAUGCCUAAUGUGGACGACAUCCAGCAGCGGUGCGCCAUGAGGGCAGCCAAGCUCUGUGACGUUGAGGUCACUACUGGUAUGUCGGUUAAUAUUUCUAAUUCCAUUAUGCAUUUUUUUAAUGAUGAGAUUGUUGAAAAUGCAAAUCAAUUAGGAGUCUCACUUGGUAGUAAUGUCACUAGAAUCUCUAAUUCCGUUAAUGACCUUCUUGAUCUAGAGGCUGAGAGGGCCUUAGAGAUGAUUCGUAACAUUGCGGCCGUUAGGCCUAUGAGUGAUUCUGAGGUUGAGGCUCUGGGGGUCAGGGUGCUUGAUCCUUUCUGUGCGGACCUUAUUCAUGCUAUUCCGGAGGCGGAGGAGGAGGAGGAUGAAACUUCUCAGGCGGUUUUGCAUGGACCUUCUGCGACGGGUUGUGAGGACCAGUCACAAAGCCAUGUUAAUCCGAAACGCAAGUGGAAACGGAAGGUGUACCCGGUGUCCACGGUGCGUAGGAGUGCUAGGAUUCGUACGGCUAAAAAAUUCCAUGAUGAACUAUGAAAGGAAUCUUUUGGAAUAGCAGAGGUCUAAAGGACUUGUCUAAAAGAAGAUUUCUUGCUGAGGCGGCGGUCGAGCAUCGAUUAGAUUUUAUAGCUCUAUCGGAGACCGGUAGAGAUAAUUUUGCGCCUCAGUUUCUUAGUACUUUGUCAGGCGGGAUUGACUUCGAUUGGCAUUGCUUGCCAACGAGAGGGAGAUCGGGUGGGAUCUUGCUCGGCGUUCGAUGCAAAGCGCUCGAGGUUCGAAGUGUGGUUAUGGGUGACUUUGCGGUCAUGUUUCGGGUUAGAUCGAAGGAGGAUGGUUUUAAUUGGGCUCUGGUUGCAGUAUAUGGGGCUGCGCAACCCGAACUCAAGCCCGAGUUCUUGGUGGAUCUCGUUAGGAUUUGCGGCUCCGAGCAGCUUCCUAUCCUGGUGGGGGGCGAUUUUAAUAUCAUUAGACGGCGUGAGGAUAAGAACAAUGAUAACUUUGAUGGCCGAUGGUCAUUCAUGUUUAAUACUAUCAUUGAAAGUCUUGACCUGAGAGAAAUUGAGCUCUCUGGUAGGAAAUUUACCUGGGCUAACGCGUUGCCAAAUCCGACGUAUGAGAAGUUGGAUAGAGUGUUGGCGAGCGUCGAGUGGGAACAGAAGUUUCCUCUAGUAACAGUUCAGGCUUUGUCCCGUGGGAUUUCUGAUCACACGCCGUUGUUUGUGGACUCCGGUGAGGCCACCCACCUGGGUAAUAAAAACUCCUUCUCGUUUGAGCUGGCUUGGUUUGAACGAGAAGGUUUCUUUGAUCUCGUAGCCAGAGAGUGGGCUAAGGAUUCAGGAGGGAAGACUGCGAUCCAGCGCUGGUAGAAUAAGAUUAGGCAUUUGAGAAGCUUCCUGCGUGGUUGGGCUAAACAUCUUAGCGGGAUUUAUAAGGUCGAAAAGGAAAGGCUCCUUUCCCUUAUUCAGGCCCUAGAUGUGAAAGAUGAAACCACGGUUCUGCCGGCCGCGGAGCUUCAUGCCAAGCUUGAUGCAGAGAUGAGGCUGAAAGAACUCCUUCGAGAGGAAAAAUUGAAGUGGGCGUUGCGGGCCAAGGUCCGGCGAGUAGUCUAGGGGGAUGCGAACACUCAAUUUUUUCACAUGAUCGCUAAUGGUAAACAUAGAAAGAAGAGGAUCUUUCAGCUUGAGCAAGAUGAAUGAACAAUUGUAGGUCAUGAAAACCUUAAGUAGUAUAUUACUGAGUACUACAAGCAGCUAUUUGGUCCUCCCGAGGAUAACUGCGUGUCCUUGGAUGAGUCCAGGGUUGAGGAUGUCCCUCAACUCACAGCGGUGGAGAAUCAUAUUCUCGCGGCACCUUUUUCUGAGAAAGAGGUGUUCGAGGCCAUAUCGCAGAUGAAGAAUAAUAAGGCACCGGGCCCUGAUGGUUUUCCGGCAGAGUUUUAUAAAAAGUGCUGGCAUAUUAUUAAGGGGGAUCUGUUGCCUCUGUUUAAUAAUCUCUUCUCUGGACAGCUUCAGCUUUUCCAGUUGAAUUUUGGGACGAUAACCCUUCUCCCUAAGAAAACAGAGGCUGUGAGAAUUGAGAAAUUCAGGCCCAUCUGUCUUCUGAAUGUUAGCUUCAAAAUCUUUACCAAGGUUGGGACUAAUAGGCUCACAAAGAUUGCGCAUGCGAUGGUAUAGCCUACCCAAACUGCUUUCAUGCCGGACAGGAACAUCCUUGAAGGGGUUGUGGUCCUUCAUGAAACGCUCCAUGAGAUCCACACGAAAAAGCUGGACGGGGUUAUUUUCAAAGUGGAUUUCGAUAAAGCGUAUGACAAAGUCAAAUGGCCCUUCCUUCAACAGGCCUUGCGUAUGAAGGGAUUCGAUGAAGCUUGGCGACGCGAGGUAGAAUCCUUCACGCAAAAAGGGAGUGUUAGAAUUAAAGUGAAUGACGAUAUAGGUCAUUAUUUCCAGACACACAAAGGCCUGAGGCAAGGUGAUCCGAUGUCUCCUGUUUUGUUCAACAUUGUGGCGGACAUGUUGGCAAUUCUUAUAGGAAGGGCAAAGGAGGCCGGUCAGGUGGGUGGCUUGGUGCCUCAUCUGGUUGACGGGGGUGUCUCCAUUCUGCAGUACGCUGAUGAUACAAUCAUCUUUAUGGAGCAUGACUUGGUAAAAGCGAGAAAUAUGAAGCUAGUGUUAUGCUUAUUUGAACAAUUGUCCGGAUUAAAGAUUAACUUUCACAAAAACGAGUUGUUCUGCUUUGGUAGAGCCAAGGAGGAACAAGAGGCUUAUAGGCAAUUGUUUGGUUGUGAGUUAGGGGCUUUACCUUUCACGUACCUAGGUAUACCCAUUCACCAUCGUAAGCUAACGUGGGCACAGAUUCUUCGUAACAAGUAUCUGCAGUCCAAGACUUUGUCACAGGUGACCGUGAGACAAAUGGACUCGCCGUUUUGGAAGGGGCUUAUGAGAGUUAAGGCCGCCUUCUUUAAUAGAACAAAGUUUGUCGUCGAUAAUGGUAACAAUACCCGUUUCUGGGAGGAUACGUGGCUUGGUGAUACACCAUUGGCGUUACAGUAUCCGUCCCUGUAUCGUAUUGUUCAACGACGUGACGCGCUGGUUGCAACGAUUAUGCAGUCCGUUCCCCUUAAUAUCCAGUUUCGGAGGGUGCUUAUUGGUGAUAGGUGGGAAGCUUGGCUUCAUCUGGUGACUAGACUGAUGGAGGUUCAGUUAGCUCAUCAGCCCGAUCAAUUGUGUUGGAAACUUACUGGGUCUGGAGUGUUUACGGUUAGGUCGAUGUAUAUCGAUGUCAUUAACUCUAGCAUCAUUCCUAGUUCCAAACAUGUUUGGAAAGUUAAAGUUCCUUUGAAGAUUAAAGUGUUUAUGUGGUUUGUACAUAAACAAGUCAUUUUAACAAAGGACAACUUGGUUAAGCGCAAUUGGACAGGCUCUAUUAGGUGUAGCUUCUGUAAUCGGGACGAGACCAUUAAGCACCUCUUCUUCGAGUGCCCAUUGGCGAGAGUCUUAUGGCGCACGGUGCAAAUUUCCUUUAACAUUACUCCACCGGACUCGGUAGGUUCGUUGUUUGGAACGUGGCUGGCUGGGAUAGAGUCCGAAACCGCUGGACACAUUCGUGUUGGAGUAUGUGCGUUGUUAUGGGCAAUUUGGAACUGCAGGAAUGAUUUGGCUUUUAACAGAACAACAGCUAUUCAUUUUUUGCAGGUUUUAUUCCAUGCUACGGCGCUGAUCCGUUUGUGGUCCUUACUCACUCCGAUGGCAGCCAGUGAGCGUUUGGUUACUGGGUCUGUCCGGUGGGAGAUGGUUGCGCGGGAUAUCUUCAACCGGUUUGGAUGGCGGUCGUGUAAUAGGAUAGGUGAUUAGUUUUCCUAUCUUUUUUCUGCCAGCCGGUUGUGGCUUUGUGGCCUUUGUUAUGUUUGCAUCGAGGCUCUGUGUGAGCUUCCCUCUAUUUACAUUUUCAGACUUUCAGACUCUGUAAAGCCUUUUUACUUAUAUUUAUGACCGUAUGCAUCGUUCUGAUGCAGAGGCCAGGGAGCCCCCCUUUUCUAAAAAAACCAAAAAGGCAGGGUUACUUACUUUUAUGGAAUGGAAAAACUCUUAAAAAUUCCAGCAAUUGACUCAUGUUUGUUAAUCAAAAGAAGAAAGGAGUAUAGCGAUCCCGCAUAUGACAAAAAUUUAAACAAAGUACUUCGCGCUAGAAACAUCUCGCCAGAGUUCAUCAACCCAACAUACCAUAGUUCACCACGCAUAGCAUACGGGAGUUUUUACAAACCAUAAUAAUUAUACAUAGCAUAGGGGCACCGAAACAUAGCAUAGGAGAUCUACUAGCCCCCGGAGGGGGUGGGCAGGGGUCUACUUCACCGGGGUUCUACUCGUCCGAGUCAGAGUCGUCACCCUCGUCAUUAUCGUCGCUGGAGAUGACCUCGGCGGGCAGCGGCUUCCCUCCAUGAAUGGUGUCAUAGAUGAGGUCGCGGUAGAUCCGGGUUUGGAGUUGGUACUCAUCCCAGAGCGUCAGCAGCCGCACAACCGCAACCGCAUCUUCGGCAUCGGCGGCGGUUCUCGCCUCAAACCACGCCCACUCGGCCUCCCACUGGCGCUGGAUCGCCGAGUCAAAGAGCCGGACGCAGCGCCGGAAGGUCUUCCACGCACGCGACCUCGAUCCAGCGCUGCGGGACUUGGCGCCACGCGUGCACGCGGCCUCCCGUUGCUUCUUCGACACCGGAGAGCGGAGGCCAGAGCCGCCGGCCUCGUCGUCGUUCUGGCGCUUGCGGGCGAAGAAGCCGCCGCGCGCAUCGACUCCACAACGACACCUGAAGCCACCACGAUUUCCGAACCCCCUUCCGCUGCCACGCCCCGCACCGGCGGAUGCCAUGGUAGCUUCGAUCCGGCGGAAAACAUGCUACAAUAGGCCGUCGGAGCGCGCUCGAUUUCUCGCCGGAGUACACGAAAUGCGGCGGAGAGGGCUAGAGGAAAUGGAGGGCGAGUACCCUAAAUCGGCCGGAAGCCGGCAUAUAUACCAGAUGGGGGGGCUUUUCAUGGGCCGGGACUUUUUUUGGGUAUCAGCUCGGGCCGAUUAUUUGGGUCGUCCUGUAUAACAGGCGGAAAAGCGUAGUUCGCCGGCCUUAUGCGGGAUCUGCUAGAGAUGCUCUAAUAACUUUUUUUGCGAAUAAGAGAUGCUCUAAUACUGAGCUACGGCAAGCCCUCCAUUUAGGCUAUUUUUUGGACAGAAAAAGGAAAGAAACGGCUGUAAUAUAUGCACAUAUAACUACAAUUUUCUGUUAAUCUAAAAUAGUAAUGAUGAAAAUAUAAUUUCAUUUUGCCAGACCAUAUUUGUCUUCGUGUAGCUUAUAUGUGAUGAUUUUAAGAUACUUAUACCCAUGAUAUCUAGUAGGCUAGAUUUGUUGCGCAUGCCAACAUGCAAGUGUUAGUUUAAAAAAAACUAUGAACCCUGAGAAAGUUCCUUUUUUUUACUAGUAUUUGAGAUAAAUUCCAGAUUGUUAUGUGUAUUUUCGUUUUACACUAGUAAAGCCGGCAAUUACUCAUUUAAUCAUUGUUGUGACAUGUGGCAUUUCAACCCAAAAUUAUGCGCAAACCAAUAUAUAGCUCACCAUACAUACAUAAUAUAUACAAUACAAAUAGGUUUUGUCGCGGGUUAACCGAGGCUUUUGCUCAUGGCUGUUCAACUUUUGUUGCUCAAUAAUGUUGUGCCUAUACUUUCAAUCGGUUUGGCUCAAGGUUAUUGUCCCCGUGACGCUUUUGCUUCAGUGGCCGUUGUUGUGGUAAGCGAGUUUGGGUCGUGUUUUUGUAGGCCGGGCUUCAACUUUCGUAGUGUAAGAGUUUCGGUUCCAUUCCUUGUGAUGUUAGGUCAUUUAGGGUGCUAUGUCUAGCCGAACCUCUAUGGCGUUGUAUGGGUCAUGCCUUUUGCGGUGUUGUAGCAUCAUUCUUUCUUAAGGAAUUCAGGUGCAGCUAGAUCUUCCGCAUGGUUAUGAAAAUAAAAAUAAAAGAAUGGGCCAAUUGUUUUUUCAUUGUUAAACGAAAGAAUAUGGCUUCUCUUCCUUUUAGUUACUACUAGUGGGCUGAUUGUUCUGAAUAUGGCUUCUUUUCCUUGAACUCCAAAAAAAUGGGUAAUUUUCCCUUUUAGCAAAGCACACAAAAAGGCAGGGUUACUUACCUUUUUUUUGAAUGAAAAACACUUAAAAAUCCCUGCGGUUGACUGGUGUUUUGUUAAUAAAAAGAAGAAAGGAGUAUGAAAGCAGGAAGGUUGGAGGGGAAAGCGAAGGAAGCGAGUGAUCGGUUUAUUCUUGUAGUUCCCUUCCCUACACACUCAUGCAAGCGGUUUUAUUCUUGCAGUGUCCCCAUCAUGCUUGUGCUUCGGUCGAUGUUGUUGUCAUCGUUUCCACGGUGAUCGAGUUUGGGUUGCGUUUGUCACGGUAGUCAUAUUUUUUUCGUUGUUAGCCGAAAGAAUAUAGGUCGUUUGCCUUUUAAUUGCUUGCAAAGCACACAUAGAAAGGCAUGAUUGAUUUCUUGGAAUGAGCAGGCUGGUUGUUUUUGUCUUGAAACCCCAGAAAAUGGCCCUUUUAGCAAAGCAGAAGAAAAGACAGGGUUACUUACUUUAUUUGGAAAUGAAAAGCUCUUAAAAAUCCCAGCAGUUGACUGGUGUUUGUUAAUCAGAAGAAGAUAGGAAGAAAGGAGUAUGGAGCCGGGAAGGUGGGUGGGGAAAGCGAAGGGAGCGGUUUAUUCUUGCAGUUCCCUUUCCCACAUGCUCAUGCAAGCGGUUUAUCCUUGUAGUGUCCCCGCGACGCUUGUGCUUCGAUCGAUGUUGUCGUCAUGGUAGUCAAGUUUGGAUUGCGUUUGUUGCGGCCUGGGUGCUGGGUUUCGCAUCCAUGCCUUGCGAUGUCAUGCCGUUUAGAGUUAAAAAUUUACAAGUGAUUCGAGAAAAAGUAUAGAAGAAGAAAAAGGAGUAUGAAAACAGUAAGGUGGAAGGGGAAAGCGAAGGGAGAUACCACCAUUGGGUUAUUCUCACAUUUCUUGACCGGUCAUUUUGCUCUUCUUGUUAUGCUUCCACUUGCCUUGCCUACACGCACGCUCCUUCUCCUUCAUUCUUUCUUUCUUGUGCCGACAUAGAGUAUUUAACAAAAAACUACCACAUUUAGUGGAACCGUGCCUACAAACUACCAUUUUACAAAUUUGUGUCAAAAACUACCACUUUUUGUCUAAUCUUUGUCUAAAAACUACCAUGUCGGGAAAGUGCCCGAUUCGCCUCUUCUGAACACCUUUCUGAUAGGAUGGGCCCACCUGUCAACACCAAUCUUCUUCCUCCUCUCUCUCUCUGGCAUUUCCUCGAACACCACAUGUGCAAUGUUAUGUUGUGUUGUGUGUGGUCCGGUCUUUGUGCUUGUGCAUUAUGGGUCAGUCAAAGAAGAGAGAAGCAUGCAAUGGUGGAUGUCUGUUGUUGCAGUGGUUGCAUUGUUGUGCUGUCCUGUUGUCUUGCUAGCUGGUAAUAAUUGUAAUGUGUUGUGCUUGUGAUUGGGCCACCCACAUCAUCCCCAUCAUCUUGAUUUAUCUUGUGGAUGUGGAUAAUGUAAAGUGAAAACAAGAUGACCCAUAAUGCCGCGGUGGGCGGUACCACGGUGUUUUGUGCAAUACACCAAAAAAAUCACAGAGCUACGCGAGCCCUCCAUUUAGGCCAUUUUUGACCAAAAAAAGAGAGGGAAUGAAACGGCGGUAAUAUAUGCACAUAUAACUAUAAUUUUCUGUAAACCCAAAAUAGUAAUGUUGAGAUAUAAUUUUAUUUUGCCAGACCAUAUUUGACUUUGUGUGGCCUACAUGUGAUUUUUUUAAAAAAAAAACUAUAAACCCACCAACUCUGCCUGCGCUGCAACUCUAGUUUGUAAAGAUCCAAUAUAAUAUCAUAUGCAUCUUUAUAGUGUCAUGGGUUUGGUUUGUAGGAAAUAUUUUUUCCCCUUUGUUUUCUAUACUACAUUUUCCUUGUAAUGUUAAGUCAUUUAGUUCCUCGAAAAAAAUGUAGUUCAUUUAGGGUGCUAUGCCUAGUCGAACCUCUAUAGCAUUGUACGGGUCAUGCCUUGUCGGCAUUGUAGCAUCAUUCUUUCUUAAUGAAUUCAGGUAGAUCUUCCGCAUGGUUCUAAAAACAAAAACAAACGAAUGGGCCAAUUGUCUUUUCAUUGUUAACCGUGUUAAACAACGUUGCCUACAUACAGGUCACAAUCCCAAUCCAACCAGGAGGUGUUCGGCUUUGGUUAGGUUUAGAGAUAGAUUUGGCUAGUAGUUUAAACACAUCAAAAUUGUAACUACUUCCUUUUCCCAUCCAAGCUUCUGUCGAAUCCAUCUAAGCCUAGCCAUGUCUUCCUCCUCUGCCUCCGAUGCCUUCUCCUCAAACCUCAUUAGCCAGGUCACGGAGAAGUUGUCCCGCACGAACUACGUGCUAUGGCGAACGCAGAUCACCCCCCAACUGCAUGGCGUCGGCGUCUACGGCUACGUCGACGGCACCACACCGAAGUCGGCGAAGUUCCUCAUCACCACCAAAGAAGGCAAUGAGACUUCAUCACCCAACCCUCUCCACCCUCUCUGGGUCCGGGAGGACCAGCAGGUCCUUGGCUUCCUGCUGGCCAACCUCACAAAGGAGGUUCUGGUGACGGUGACCACGGCCACCACGGCGAGCGCGCUCUGGACGACGCUCGCUGCCAUGUUCUCGUCGCACUCGGCGAGCCGCAUCAACAACAUCCGCACCUUCCUCAUCAACACGCAUAAGGGUAAUCCCUCGGUUGCCUCUUACUUUGCUGCUAUGCGAGGAUAUGCAGAUGAACUAGCCGUGGCAGGCAAGGCCAUCCAGGAUGACGAACUAGUCUCCUACAUCAUCCACAGACUCGACGCCGAUUACCAGUCUCUGGUGUCUGCUCUCGACGCUCGAGUCACCCCCGUCACACUCGAUGAACUCUACGCCAUGCUCUCAAACUUCGACCAACGCGUGGCUCCUUACCACGGGUCCGGCGGCAGCGGCUUCAAAUCUUCAGCCAACAUGGCGUCCCGUGGGCGGGGUGGCGGCUCCCGUUCACGUGGCCCUCCUCGCAAAGGGCGAUCUAGUGGCGGCGGCGGCAGUGACCGCGUCUCCUCUCCUCAGCGCACCGGCGGCAGGGGCCGCGGCCGUCGCAGUCGUGGCAGCGGCAGGAUGCGCCCCGACACUCCAAGAUGCCAGAUCUGCGGGAAACCUGGACACACAGCAAAAGAUUGCUGGUACAGGUACGAGGAGGAUGAUGAUGAUUCCCAGGAUGAUGACAAAGUCGCUGCGGCGGCUGAUGGGUCCUACGGUGUUGACACCAAUUGGUACAUUGACAGUGGGGCCACAAACCGCAUCACCAAUGAACUCGAGAAGGUGACCAUGAUGGGAAAAUAUCACGGCAAGGAUCGAAUCCACACUGCUAGCGGAGAAGGUAUGAGUAUAUGUCAUGUUGGUCACUCAAUAUUUCGUACCCCUAGACGUAAACUACAUCUUAGGAAAAUUUUGCAUGUCCCUAGUGCACACAAAAAUCUUCUUUCUGUUCAUCGAAUUGCCAUCGAUAAUCAUGUUUUUCUCGAGUUUCACCCUUAUUUCUUUUUGAUCAAGGAUCAGGCAACGAGGGAAAUACUCUAUCGAGGUAGAUGUGUUCGAGGGCUCUAUCCGUUGAUUCCAGAGUUUAGAAGAUUCAAUAAACAAGCUUGUGGUGCUAUCAAGCUUACGUCCACACGAUGGCACGAUCGUUUAGGACAUGCCUCUUUUUCUUUAGUUGAAAAGUUACUUAGGAAAAAUAAGCUCCCAUUUGUUGGUGAGCGUCAUGUUGAAACAAUUUGUGAUUCAUGUCAACGAGCUAAAAGUCAUCAAUUACCAUACCCCGUUUCUACUAGUAUUUCUACCAAACCUCUCCAACUUAUUUUUUCUGAUGUUUGGGGUCCAGCCCCACACUCUGUUGGUAGACAUACGUAUUACGUCAGUUUCAUUGAUGACUACGGUAAAUUCUCUUGGAUCUAUCUUCUCAAACGAAGAUCAGAUGCGUUUCAAGUUUUUCAAAACUUCCAAGCUCUUGUUGAACGCAAUUUUGAUAGCAAAAUCAUCGCUGUCCAAUCAGACUGGGGGGGGGGGGUACGAAAAGUUGAACUCCUUCUUCCAGAACCUUGGUAUUUCUCACCAAGUAUCAUGCCCACAUGCUCACCAACAAAAUGGCUCAGCUGAUCGCAAACAUAGACAUAUCGUAGAGGUAGGCCUUGCUGUUUUGGCAGGAGCCUCCAUGCCUCUCAAGUUUUGGGAUGAAGCAUUCCACACUGUCGUUUACAUUAUCAACAUGCUACCCAGUCGUGUUAUUAAUAAUGAAACUCUGGUAGAACGCCUCCUUCACACAAAACCAGACUACAAAUCUCUUCGAGUCUUUGGGUGUGCAUGUUGGCCAAACCUCCGUCCCUACAACAAUCGCAAACUCAUGUUUCGCUCAAAACAGUGUGUCUUCCUAGGAUACAGCGCCCAGCAUAAAGGUGUCAAAUGUCUAGAUGUCUCCACUGGUCGGGUUUACAUCUCACGUGAUGUUGUAUUCGAUGAAACCAAAUUCCCAUUUGCUGAUCUUCACCCCAAUGCUGGCGCCCUUCUUCGCAAAGAAAUCCUUCUUCUGCCUUCGCAUCUCACUAGUUUUGAUCAAGGGGGGCAAGAUAUUGAUGAUCAACUAUUGACUAACUCAUCUAAUGAUCUGCAUGAGUCUUGUGUUGAUGAUACAGGAGAAAUCCAUGAAGAAAUCGCUGUUGAAAAAAAUUCAGAUGGACCAUAUUUUAUGUGUCCCACAAGAGGAGACAGAUACUCCUCGGGAUCCGUCCAGGAGCAGCGAAUCAGAUUCGCUCCGGGAUCGCAGCCCGAUGCGACAGAUGCAGGCGACCGCGCAGUCUUCCCCAAUUCCCGCAGCACCGGUCCCACGGGCGACACGCGGGCUGCGCCCGCUGGCUGCGCUAGCUUCCCCGCUCCGCGCCAAUCAUCGCCCCCACUUGGCCGGCUCCGGGUGGCCCAGAAGCUGCGCGCCGCCCCACCCAACCGGUGACCUACAAACGGCGCACGAGCACGUGGUCCAGGGAGAGCGCGGGCCUUGGCGCGGUUCUCGGUGCGGGUCCGACCGCCCCUGGCGCGACUGCCCCUGGCGCAGAAACUGGCGCGGCUAGCGCGGAAACUGGCGCGGGCCCUGGCGCGGGUCCGACCGGCGCGGAAAUCCGAGCAGAUACGACAGCUCCGGGAUUCUCUGUGGCCGCCUUAGGCGCCUCGCCUCGCGUUUCGGCUACAGAAGAUCUGGUGCUGGGUGGCGCUGCUACUGCUGUCGAAUCCUUUUUGGGUUCUGGUCCAGCCAAUGAUUUGGAAACCAUGGGAUCCUCUGUGGCAACGGAUGUGAGUACUCAGCAGCCACGUCGUACACGCCUUCAACAAGGAAAAAUUCAACCUGUCAACUACAAGUAUAUAUCCAAGUAUGGUAUGGUUUGUUCCACAGGUGAACCAGAUGAACCUAACACCCUUGAAGCAGCACUGUGUGAUGACAGGUGGAAGAAAUCCAUGAAUGAAGAGUAUAUGGCAUUGAAGAAAAACAAAACAUGGCAUUUGGUUCCCCCACAGCAAGGUAAAAAUUUAAUUGAUUGCAAGUGGGUUUUCAGGAUCAAAAGAAAAGCUGAUGGAACUGUUGAUCGUUAUAAGGCUAGGCUAGUAGCAAAAGGUUUUAAACAGAGAUAUGGCAUAGACUAUGAGGACACGUUUAGUCCGGUGGUAAAGGCUGCCACCAUUUGUCCUUUCCUAUCCAUUGCUGUUUCCAGAGGAUGGAGUCUCAGACAGCUUGAUGUUCAGAACGCGUUUCUCCAUGGUGUUCUGAAAGAGGAAGUGUACAUGAAACAACCUCCUGGGUUUGAGAGUAAGAAUGCACUCUCAUAUGUAUGCAAGCUUGAUAAGGCACUAUAUGGGUUGAAACAGGCUCCAAGGGCAUGGUAUGCUCGUCUCUGUCACAAAAUGCAAGCACUUGGUUUUGUUCCCUCUAAAUCUGACACGUCAUUGUUCAUCUACAACAAGUCCAACACAUGCAUAUUUGUUCUCAUAUAGUUGAUGAUAUUAUUGUAACCAGCUCAUCUGAUGAAGCUACCAGAGGACUUCUUAAAGAUCUAAGUGCAGAAUUUGCUCUAAAGGAUCUUGGUGACUUGCACUAUUUUCUUGGGAUUAAGGUGAAGAAGCACAAAGAUGGACUUCUGCUCUCUCAGGAAAAAUAUGCCACUGAUUUGGUUAAGAAGGCUGGUCUACAGGGAUGCAAGCCUUCUCCCACUCCAUUGUCUAGUUCAGAAAAACUAUCUCUUGCAGAAGGUGAGCUCUUGAAUCAAGAGGACAACACAAAAUACAGGAGUUUGGUAGGAGCUCUUCAGUAUCUUACACUUUCCAGACCAGAUCUGUCUUUUGCUGUUAACAAAGUCUACCAGUUUCUUCAUGCACCUACCAAUGUUCAUUUGACAGCUGCAAAACGAAUAGUUCGGUAUGUGAAGCAUACUCUGAACUUGGGACUGAACUUUAGCAAAUCACCCUUCACUCUUGUCAGUGCAUUCUCUGACUCAGAUUGGGCAGGUUGUCUUGAUGACAGAUGCUCCACUGGUGGCUUUGCAGUAUUCUUUGGACCAAAUUUGAUAUCCUGGUGUGCACGAAAACAGGCCACUAUAUCCAGGUCCAGUACAGAGGCAAAAUACAAGGCAUUGGCAAAUGCUACAGCUGAAGUAAUAUGGGUUCAGUCUAUGUUGAAGGAACUUGGUGUACAAAGUAAACAAGCUCCCUGCUUAUGGUGUGACAAUCUUGGUGCUACAUAUCUCUCUGCAAAUCCGGUGUUUCAUGCCAGGACAAAGCACAUAGAGAUUGAUUUUCACUUUGUCAGAGAAGGAGUUUCUCAGAAACAACUUGACAUUCGCUUUGUGCAUUCCAGAGAUCAACUUGCAGAUGGAUUCACAAAGCCCUUGCCCACAAGAAGCUUUGAAGACUUCAAGCAUAAUCUCAACUUAAUGAAGUUGCGAUUAAGGGAGGGUGUUAAACAACGUUGCCUACAUACAUGUCACGAUCCCAAUCCAACCAGGAGGUGUUCGGCUUUGGUUAGGUUUAGAGAUAGAUUUGGCUAGUAGUUUAAACACAUCACAAUUGUAACUACUUCUAUCUCUCCUCUCCAAGUAAUCUCUCUCGAUCUGUACCGAUCUCUUGAUUCUCUGUAUCGAUCGUGGGGUCGCGUCCCCUCCUUGUAACGUGAACCACGUCCCUCGAGGGAGGUAAGACAUUUUCCGCUAUCGCACAAACCGAAAGAAUAUGGCUUCUUUGCCUUUUAAUUACUACUAGGCAGUAGCAAAGCACACAUAAAAAAAGGCAUGGUUGAUUUACUUGGAAUGAGCAGGCUGGUUGUUUUUUCCUUGAACCCCCAAAAAUGGGUAAUUUACCCUUUUAGCAAAGCACACAAAAAGGCAGGGUUACUUACUUUUAUGGGAUGUAAAACUCUUAAAAAUUCCAGCUGUUGACUGGUGUUUGUUAAUCAAAAGAAGAAAGGAGUAUAGCGAUCCCACAUAUGACAGAAAUUUAAACAGAGCACUUUACGCUAAAAACAUCUCGCCGGAGUUCAUCAACCCAACAUACCAUAGUUCACCAUGCAUAGCAUAGGGGAGUUUUUGCAAACCAUAAUAAUCAUACAUAGCAUAGGGGAAUCGAAACCUAGCAUAGGGGAUCUACUAGUCGCCGGAGCCGGGGGUGGGCGGGGGUCUACUUCACUGGGGUUCUACUCAUCCGAGUCAGAGUUAUCCGAGUCGGAGUCAUCAUCCUCAUCGUCGCCGUCGCCCUCAUCGUCGUCGUCGCUGGAGAUGACCUCGGCGGGCAGCGUCUUCCCUCCGUAAAGGGUGUCGGUGAUGAGGUCACUGUAGAUCCGGGUUUGGAGGUCGUACUCCUCCCAGAGCGCCGGCAGCCGCGCAACCGCAGCCGUAUCUCCGGCGUCGGCGGCGGUCCUCGCCUCAAACCACACCCGUCCGGCCGCACGCUGGCGUUGGAGCGCCGGGUCGAAGAACCGGCCGUAGCGCAGGAAGGUCUUCCACCCAUGCGACCUCGAUCCGGCGCUACAGGGCUUGGCGCAGCAAGUGCACGCCGCCUGCCGUUUCUUCUUUGACACCGGAGGGGGGGAGGCCAGAGCCGCUGGCCUCGUCGUCGUUUUGGCGCUUGCGGGCGAAUAAGCCGCCGCGCGCGCCGCCUCCACCACGGCACCCGAAGCCACCGCGGUCGCCAAACCCCCUUUCGCCACCACGCCCCGCACCGGCGGACGCCAUGGUAGCUUCGAUCCGGCGAAAAACAGGCUUGAAAAGGCUGCCGGAGCGCGCUCGAUUUCUCGCCAGAGUACACGAAAUGCGGCGGAGGGGGCUAGAGGAAACGGAGGGCGGAUACCCUAAAUCGACUGGAAGCCGACAUAUAUAUCGGAUUGGGGGCGGUUUACGGGCCUCCCGUAAACUUUUUACGGGCCGGGACUUUUUUCGGGUAUCUGCUCGGGCCGAUUAUUUGGGUCAUCCCGUAUAACGGCCGAAAAAGCAUAGUUCGCGGGCCUUAUGCGGGAUCUGCUAGAGAUGCUCUAAUAACUAAUAAUAUAGCUUUUGUUUACUGGGUACGGCGAGCCCUCCAUUUAGGCCAUUUUUUGGACAAAAAAGAAAGAAACGGCAGUAAUAUAUGCACACAUAACUACAAUUUUCUGUUAAUCCAAAAUAGUAAUGAUGAAAAUAUAAUUUCGUUUCGCCAGACCAUAUUUGUCUUCGUGUAGCCUACAUGUGAUGAUUUUAAGAUACUUAUACCCAUGAUAUCCAGUAGAUCGACUAGAUUUGUUGCGCAUGCCAACAUGCAAAUGUUAGUUCAAAAAAAACUAUGAACCCUGUGUAAAUUCAUUGCGUUCCUUUUUACUAGUAUUUGAGAUAAAUUCCAAAUUGUUUGGUGUAUUUUCCUUUUACACUAGUAAAAGCCGCCAAUUAUACUCAUGUAAUCAUUGUUGUGACAUGUGGCAUUUCAACCCAAAAUUAUGCUUAAACCACUAUAUUGCUUGAUAAUGUUGUGCCCAUACUUUCAAUCGGUUUGGCUCAAGGUUAUUGUCCCCGUGACGCUUUUGCUUCGGUGGUCGUCGUUGUGGUAAGCGAGUUUGGGUCGUGUUGUUGUGGGUCGGGCUUCAACUUUCGUAGUGUAAGAGUUUUGGUUCCAUUCCUUGUGAUGUUAGGUCAUUUAGGGUGCUCUGCCUCUACCUAGUAGACUAGUAGUGCCUCUAUGAUGUUGCAUGGGUCAUGCCUUCUCGGCGUUGUAGCAUCAUUCUUUCUUUAGGAAUUCACGUGCAGCUAGACCUUCCGCAUGGUUCAGAAAAUAAAAAUGAAAUAAUGGGCCAAUUGUUUUUCAUUGUUAAACGAAAGAAUAUGGCUUCUUUGCCUUUUAAUUACUACUAGUGGGCCAAUUGUUCUGAAUAUGGCUUAAAAUGGGUAAUUUUCCCUUUUAGCAAAGCACACAAAAAGGCAGGGUUACUUGCUUUUUUUUGGAAUGAAAAACUCUUAAAAAUUCCAGCGGUUGACUGGUGUUUGUUAAUAAAAAGAAGAAAGGAGUAUGAAAGUAGGAAGGUGGGAGGGGAAAGCGAAGGCAGCGGGUGAGCGGUUUAUUUUUGUAGUUCCCUUCCCUACACACUCAUGCAAGCGUUUAUUCUUGCAGUGUCCCCAUGACGCUUGUGCUUCAGUCGAUGUUGUUGUCACCGUUGUCACGGUGGUCGAGUUUGGGUUGCGUUUGUGACGGUACUCAUAUUUUUUCAUUGUUAAAGGAAAGAAUAUGGCUCGUUUGCCUUUUAAUUGCUAGCAAAGCACACAUAGAAAAGGCAUGAUUGAUUACUUGGGAUGAGCAGGCUGGUUGUUUUUGUCUUGAACCCCAGAAAAUGGCCCUUUUAGCAAAUCACAAGAAAAGGCAGGGUUACUUACUUUUCUUGGAAAUGGAAAACUCUUAAAAAUUCCAGCAGUUGGUGUUUGUUAAUCAAAAGAAUAAAAGAAAAGAAAAAAGAAGAACAAAGAAGUAUGAGAGCAGGAAGGUGGGAGGGGAAAGCGAGUGAGCGGUUUAUUCUUGCGGUUCCCUUUUCCACACGCUCAUGCAAGCGGUUUAUUCUUGCAGUGUCCUCGGGACGCUUGUGCUUCGUUGAUGUUGUCGUCAUCGUAGUCAAGUUUGGGUUGCGUUUGUUANNNNNNNNNNNNNNNNNNNNNNNNNNNNNNNNNNNNNNNNNNNNNNNNNNNNNNNNNNNNNNNNNNNNNNNNNNNNNNNNNNNNNNNNNNNNNNNNNNNNNNNNNNNNNNNNNNNNNNNNNNNNNNNNNNNNNNNNNNNNNNNNNNNNNNNNNNNNNNNNNNNNNNNNNNNNNNNNNNNNNNNNNNNNNNNNNNNNNNNNNNNNNNNNNNNNNNNNNNNNNNNNNNNNNNNNNNNNNNNNNNNNNNNNNNNNNNNNNNNNNNNNNNNNNNNNNNNNNNNNNNNNNNNNNNNNNNNNNNNNUUGGGUAUCUUCUCGGGCCGAUUAUUUGGGUCGUCCCGUAUAACGGCCGGAAAAGUGCAGUUCGCGGGCCUUAUGCGGGAUCUGCUAGAGAUGCUCUAAUAACAAAUAAUAUAGCUUUUGUUUACUGAGGUACGGCAAGCCCUCCAUUUAAGCCAGUUUUUGGACAGAAAAAGAAAGAAACGGCCAUAAUAUAUGCACAUAUAACUACUAUUUGUGUUAAUCCAAAAUAGUAAUGAUGAAAAUAUAAUUUCAUUUUGCCAGACCAUAUUUGUCUUCGUGUAGCCUACAUGUGAUGAUUUUAAUAUACUUAUACCCAUGAUAUCUAGUAGACUAGAUUUGUUGCGCAUGUCAACAUGCAAAUGUUAGUUUUAAAAAAAACUAUGAAGCCUGAGUAAGUUCCUUUUUUUACUAGUAUUCGAGAUAAAUUCCAAAUUGUUAUGUGUAUUUUCCUUUUACACUAGUAAAAGCGGGCAAUUAUACUCAUUUAAUCUUUGUUGUGACAUGUGGCAUGCAUUUCAACCCAAAAUUAUGCUCAAACCAAUAUACUACUCACAAUACAUACGUAAUUUAUACAAUACAAAUAGGUUUUGUGUUGAACCCCAGAAAAUGGCCCUUUUAGCAAAGCACACAUAGAAAUGCAUGGUUGUUUUUGUGUUGAACCCCAGAAAAAUGGCCCUUUUAGCAAAGCAGAAGAAAAGGCAGGGUUACUUCCUUUAUUUGGAAAUGGAGAACUCUUAAAAAUCCCAGUAGUUGACUGGUGUUUGUUAAUCAGAAGAAGAUAGGAAGAAAGGAGUAUGAAACCGGGAAGGUGGGUGGGGAAAGCGAAGGAAGCGAGUGAGCAGAUUAUUCUUGCGGUUCCCUUUCCUAAAUGCUCAUGCAAGCCGUUUAUUCUUGCAGUGUCCCCGUGACGCUUGUGCUUCGGUCGAUGUCGUCGUCAUUCGGUCAUGGUAGUCAAGUUUGGGUUGCGUUUUGUUGCGGGUUGGGUGCUGGGUUUCGCAUCCAUGCCUUGCGAUGUCAUUGCCAUUUAGGGCUUUUCGUCGAGGUGCGCCUCUAUCUGGCUGGCGUUGUGUCAUUAAAAAUGUGCAAGUGAUUCGAGAAAAAGAGGGGCUGGGGGGAGUUGAAUGGACCAAUUUUAUUGUAUUUUGUAUUUAGUGAAAUCCAAAAGUGGCUGCUUUGCCCUUUUAGUAAAGCCUUGGUAGAAGGCAUGUUUACUUACUUUUGAGUGAAAGCCCUUGAUUAUAUACAUGUACUAUGAUUGAUAAUUUGAGCAGUUGACCGGUGUGUGUUUGUUUGUUAAUUAAUAAAUACUAGCAUAGUAUAGAAGAAGAAAAAGGAGUAUGAAAGCGGUAAGGUGGGAGGGGAAAGGGAAGGGUUUAUUCUCCCAUUUCUUGACGGGUCAUUUUCUUCUUGCUGUCGUUCCACUUGCCUUGCCUACACGCACGCUCCUCCUCCUUCGUUCUGUUUUUCUUUUCACUUGCUCCUUUCUUUCUUGUGCCGAAACGGAGCAGACCCAUAUCAUCAUCAGCAUCCAUCCAUCCAUCCACCAAAAUAAAUAAAUAAAUAUUCCACCUUUCUUCUCCUUUCCUUUGCUUUUUUUUGUCUUGAGAUUAGCUGACUGAUGAUGAUGAGUUGAUUCAUUUUAUCUCGGUCUCAGUGCAUGCACACUGUCAAAAAUCUACUCGUAGCUCACCUCACUUUACCUAAUUUCUUUAGCUUACUGUAGCAUAGCGUAGCGUAGCCAGAGGAAAGACCUUGGAUCAUGAUCAGCGAGAAGGGUAUCUGCAAUCAUUUCAGCAAAAUAUAUGUCGACAGUUGUAAUCUUACGGUCAAAUGAUCCUCUAGAAUCAACAUAGUUGAUGGAAAUUUCUGGCACCCGUAGUGACUCUUCAUGAUUUCCCAAUAUGAUUGAGUUUGGGUGUUCCGAUGUCCGAGCCAGCUUGUGCAUACUGGAGCUGGGUUGUGGAGGUUGCCCUCCCACCGGGUGUAUACAACCCAUCAGGUGUUUGUCAAUGUUGAGUUGACUUGCAUUUACUGACUCCGAGGUUUUUCUCCUCGAUUUCCUUUGCUGCUUGCUAGAAGUAUGCUCCAGGUCAGAGGCCGUACUACUCCCCCUCUUUUUAGGAAUAGGGAGUUGAGUGGUUUUUAUUGGUACUUCCACUCUUUCUGGCGCGUUUCUGGCCGGAUUUAAGGAUUUUGGAACACCUUUCAGAUCACUAAAUGAAUCUGGCAGUUUAUUUGCAAGAUGUUGCAAAUUAAUGAUCUUCCGAACAUGAAGUUCGGUCUCUUGGAUACGUAGAUCAGAGGAUGAAAUGGCACGAGUAUUCCAAUCAAUUUCCAGGCAUUCUUUCUGUACUUGAAAUCUCCACCUAAUGUCGGAAAAUGUUCCUCUUUAAAUAUGCAAUCAGCAUGACGGGCUGUGAACAGAUCCCCAGUUAGGGGUUCCAGGUACUUGAUAAUCGACAGCGAUUUGUACCCCCACAUAGAUGCCCAACUUCCUAUGUGGACCCAUAGAUGUCCGCCGUGGUGGUGAGAUUGGGAUGUAUGCAGCACAUCUGAACUUACGCAGAUGGGAAAUGCUAGGAGGAUUUCCACAUACCAAUUCCAGAGGGGAAGAAUGGUGAUAUGCAGUUGGCCUCAAUUGUAUCAAGUCAGCAGUGUGUAAAACAUCGUGACCCCAACAAGAGGUUGGCAAGUUGUAAUUCGUCAACAAAGGUCUUGCAAUGAGUUUAAUCCUUUUAAUUACUACUAGGCACUAGCAAAGCACACAUAAAAAAGGCAUGAUUGAUCUACUUGGAAUGAGCAGGCUGGUUGUUUUUUCCUUGAACUCCAAAAAAUGGGGAAUUUUGUUAACCGAAAGAAUAUGGCUUCUUUGCCUUUUAAUUACUACUAGGCACUAGCAAAGCACACAUAAAAAAAGCAUGAUUGAUUUACUUGGAAUGAGAAGGCUUGUUGUUUUUUCCUUGAACCCCCCAAAAUGGGUAAUUUGUUAACCGAAAGAAUAUGGCUUCUUUGCCUUUUAAUUACUAAAAGGCUUUAGCAAAUCACACAUAAAAAAGGCAUGAUUGAUUUACUUGGAAUGAGCAGUCUGGUUGUUUUUUCCUUGAACUCCAAAAAAUGAGUAAUUUACCCCUUUAGCAAAGCACACAAAAAGGCAGGGUUACUUACUUUUAUGGGAUGGAAAACUCUUAAAAUUUCCAGCUGUUGACUGGUGUUUGUUAAUCAAAAGAAGGAAGGAGUAUAGCGAUCCCACAUAUGACAGAAAUUUAAACAGAGUACUCUGCGCUAAAAACAUCUCACCGGAGUUCACCAACCCAACAUACCAUAGUUCACCACGCAUAAGAGUUUUUACAAACCAUAAUAGUUAUACAUAGCAUAGGGGAUCUACUAGUCGCUGGAGCCGGGGUGGUCGGGGGUCUACAUCACCGGGGUUCUACUCAUGCGAGUCAGAGUCAUCCGACUCAAAGUCGACGUCCUCAUUGUCGUCGUCGCUGGAGAUGACCUCGGCGAGCAGCGGCUUCUCCCCGUGAAUGGUGUCGUAGAUGAGGUCGCAGUAGAUCCAGGAUUGGAGGUCGUACUCCUCCCAGAGCGCCGGCAGCCGCGUAGCCGCAGCCGCAUCUCCAGCGUCGGCGGCGGUCCUCGCCACAAACCACGCCCGCUGGGCUGCGCACUUGCGCUAGAGCGCCGGGUCGAAGAGCCAGCCGCAGCGCAUUAAGGUCUUCCACCCAUGCGACCUCGAUCCGGUGCUGCGGGACUUGGCGCAGCAAGUGCACAUCACCUCCCAUUUCUUCUUCGACACCGGAGGGCGGAGGCCAGAGCCGCCGGCCUCGUCGUCGUUUCAGCACUUGCGGGCGAAGAAGCCGCUGCGCGCGCCGCCUCCACUGAUGAAGCUAUGUACCUAGGAUAGGGUCAUGGACCUGUCCAAACUACCCUCCCAAAGGACAUCUCUAGAAGAAACCACCUUUCAAUCGACUCAGAAGUGUUCCACUCGACGGACUCGAAGACACUCGACCAUGAAGCCAACCACUCGACAGCCAGGAGAUCUAAAGUCACUCUGCACACGAUCGGCCGGUUAUUAAGUAGCCUUUAUGGUCAUCAUAGCACUUUAUUUGUGGCAUUACCAGUAACUCCCGAUCUUAAUGUACCUUAAACCCUACAUAACUGAGGGCCGGAGGGGUCUGGCGAACUCUAUAUAAGCCACCCCCCUCCUCAGUGUAAAGGGUUCGCCCCUGUAAUUCAUACACACAUAAUCCAGUCAACCUCCUCCGGGGUCCGAGAUGUAGGGUUGUUACUUCCUCUGAGAAGGGCCUGAACUCGUAAAUCUCUUGCGUAUACAACUACUCCAUAGCUAGGAUCUUGCCUCUCCAUUCCUACCCCCUACACUACUGUCAGAUUUAGAACCACGACAAUUGGCUCCCACCGUGGGGCAGGUGUCUUAGCGACUUAUUGGAGAAGUUGCGAUUUUUCCGAUCUCCUUCAUCAUGGUUUCAGGCGGAGCUCUGGUUGAGGGCCGCGAGAUCCGUCUCGGCGUGCUCACGUUCAUCGCCGACGACUCCGCUUGGCUUCAGGAGGCUCCGCUCGACAUCGACGCGCUCCCUGUCCGCGGGGCGACGCACUUUCGCGCGUGUGUCCGCGGCGUCCUCCUGCGGCAACCGUCAACCCAGUAUCGGUCGGCUCCUGUGUCGUCCCCCCCCUCCCUGUUUCCCGCCGGCGCAAGCGCUCCGGUCGGUCGAGGCUUCAGCGGUGGGUGAGACACGCGGUGGCUCGCCAGUCGGCCACCCCCCAAGUCGCGGCGAUCGAGCCCGACGAAUCUCUCUACGGCAUGUACGACCUGUCGGCUGGCUCCGCAGAGACUACAUCCGAGUGCAACAACAGUGAUCCAGCGGCGGAGGUUCUGAUGGUCGAUGGACCACGAAGUCCUCCUGGUUUUCCCCGCACCGACGGAGGCGACGGCGGAGGCGAUCCGUCGCAUGAAAAUGAAGAGUAUCUCCCCGAGCCCCUCACUUCGCUGCAGAGGGAAGAACUUUGCCGCCGGAACAUGGAUGCGCUGCACACUCCUAUCAUUGGAGAAACCCCCGAGGCUCGUGCCUUGGAGGACGCGCGCUUGGCCAACUUGGCUGAGCGCACUCGACUGGAGAACCUCCAGCGAGCACUCGAUGAGCGUGCGCGGCAACGGGUUCCAGAAUCCAGUCGACGUCAACUCUUUCUACCACCGACUCAGGUAUAUCAAACUCCGAUUCAGAAUUUAGCAGCUGCAGCCCGUAUAGCAGAGUCGAUUCAGCCUUCCCAGUCAGAGGCUGGCAGAGGCUUGCUACAGAUCAAAGCAUUACUCCGGGCAGCAAGAGAUCAAAAUUCAGCUGUAUCGCAGUCGCGGAAUAGGAUUCACAGCAGAUCCAUCGCUGCAAAUACAGUCCAGUCGGCCCAUAGCCCAAGAUCGCCCCCGAGGCGUGAGGGACGUGGAGACCGGCGUGAUCAGUACCAGAACUGUGAGCAGUAUGAUCACCGACUCGAUCGUGAUGAUCGACAUCGAGUGCCCACCCCUCUCCCAAGGGGUGGAUCGUACGUGCCUCGACAGCAGGAUGACAGAUGCCAUCACAGUGUUGGGUGAAGGAUUCCAAUCGACCCCAGGGAACUAGGCUUUGAUGCGAGAUCCAUUAUCGUUCAAGGUUUGGUCGACAGGAACAUAGCUCACCAAGAAGGUCAUGAUAGAGAUGUACCCACCAGCAACAGAGUACACGUCUCAGGACCAGAGUGUUUCAGCAGAGCCAUCAGGGCCGCGGUGAUUCCUCCCAACUUCAGGUUGGCGACUGGAGUCAGUAAGUUCACUAGUGAGUCUAAGCCUGAUACUUGGCUUGAAGACUACCGAGUGGUUGUUCAGAUUGGCGGCGGCAACGAUGAAGUAGCCAUGAAACACCUGCCUCUUAUGUUGGAGGGCUCGGCCAGAGCAUGGUUGAAUCAGUUAGCACCCAGCAGCAUUUACACUUGGGAAGAUCUGGCUCGAGUAUUUGUCAGAACAUUUGAAGGAACUUGCAAGCGACCAGCAGGGUUGACAGAGCUACAAUCUUGUGUGCAGAAGUCGAAUGAAACUUUGAGGGAUUACACCCAGAGAUGGAUCACGUUGCAUCACACGGUAGAGAAUGUAUCUGAUCACCAGGCAGUCUGUGCCUUCAAGGAAGGCGUUAAGUACAGAGAGCUAAAUCUAAAAUUCGGUCGAACCGGAGACAUGUCUCUGAGUCGAAUGAUGGAGAUUCCCACCAAGUAUGCCAAUGGUGAAGAAGAGGAUCGGCUCCGGAGUGGCAAGCAUAAGUUUAGUCACCCACGAAACCGGAGGAGGGAACUCCAGUCGGAAGCAGAAGCGGAAAGCCGAGCCAGCUGUUCCUGGAGAAGCCUUGGCCGUGACUCAAGGAAAGUUUAAAGGGAAGCCCAAAGGGUCUUGGAACCCUAAGAAGGUGAAGGACAAGGAAGGGAAUGACAUGUUGGAUUUGCCGUGCCACAUCCACACGAAGAAAGAUGAGGAGGGUAAACUCAUUUACCCGAAACAUACCACUCGACAGUGUCGGCUCUUGAUCCAGUAAUUCCAGGGGAAACAACCUAAAGAUAAGGAAAAGGAGUCGGACAAAGUUGAGGACAAAGAAGAUAGUGAUGAUGGAUAUCCCCAGGUCAAUUCUGCCCUGAUGAUUUUUGCCAACGUUGAAAGCAAAAGUCGAUUGAAAGUUAUCAACCGAGAAGUGAAUAUGAUUGCUCCGGCGACACCCAGUUAUCUGAAAUGGUCUCAGACUGCCAUCACAUUCGACCAGUCCGAUCAUCCGACACACAUAGCCACCCCUGGGAGGCAAGCUUUGGUGGUUGACCCAGUCGUCGAAGGCACUCGACUGACUAAAGUUUUGAUGGAUGGUGGCAGUGGCCUGAAUAUACUAUAUGAAGAGACGUUGAAAGGGAUGGGUAUUCCGAUGUCCAGACUCAGUACCAGCAACAUGAUUUUCCAUGGUGUCAUUCCUGGAAAGAAGGCUGAGUCACUCGGACAAAUUGCUCUUGAUGUGGUUUUCGGUGAUUCCAAGAAUUACCGCAAAGAAAAGUUGACGUUUGAAGUUGUGGAUUUCUAGAGUGCUUGUCACGCCAUUUUGGACAGGCCAGCUUAUGCAUGUUUCAUGGCUCGACCAUGUUAUGUGUACCUCAAAUUGAAGAUGCCUGGUCCCAAAGGUGUGAUCACUAUUACUGGCAAUCGGAAGAAGGCGGAAGAGUGCUUUCAGAAAGGCUCAAAGAUCGCCGAUGCUCAGAUGGCAGUGGUAGAGCUGCAGCAAUACCAGAAAACUGCAGACCCGAGUGAUUUCUUGCGAGCCAAGAAGCCCGCUACGGAAUCAGCGUUUCAGUCGUCCUGUGAGACGAAACCGAUUCAUAUUCACCCGACCGACCACAGUGCUGCUCCGACUCAUAUCUCUACAACACUCGACUCCAAAUAGGAAGAAGCACUCAUCCAGUUCCUCCGUGAGAACUGGGACAUCUUUGCAUGGAAGCCUUCAGACAUGCCGGGUGUUCCCAGGGGGCUGGCUGAGCACCAUCUACGAGUCGACUCAAAAGCGAAACCUGUCAAAGAACAUAUUCGACGGUCCGCCGUCCAGAAAAGAAAGGCCAUUGGCGAGGAGGUGGCUCGGCUCUUAGCAGCGGAGUUUAUCCGAGAGAUUUAUCACUCCGAGUGGCUCACCAAUGUUGUCAUGGUCCCCAAGAAGGACAAGUCACUUCGCAUGUGCAUCGACUUCAAACAUAUCAAUCGGGCCUGCCCGAAAGAUCAUUUUCCUCUCCCCCGCAUCGACCAAAUAGUCGACUCGACCGCGUGAUGUGAGCGCUUGUCUUUUUUAGACGCCUAUUCCGGUUACCAUCAGAUCCGUCUGUAUGGACCCGAUGAGAACCAAACAGCUUUCAUCACUCCAUUCGGGUGCUUCUGUUAGGUCACCAUGCCAUUCGGCCUCAAGAAUGCCGGAGCCACGUUCAUGAGGAUGAUUCAGAAGUGUUUGCUCACUCAAAUAAGUCGGAAUGUGGAAGCAUACAUGGAUGAUAUUGUGGUCAAGUCACAGAAAGGUUUCGACCUGCUGACUGAUCUUGCAGAGACAUUUGCCAACCUCAGGAGGUAUAAUAUCAAGCUUAAUCCAUCAAAGUGCACAUUCGGAGUUCCUGGUGGAAAGUUACUCCGUUUUCUCGUUUCCGAACGAGGAAUCGACGCCAAUCCAGAAAAACUUGGUACUAUACUCCAAAUGAAACGUCUUGUGCGUGUGCACGAUGUCUAGAAGCUUACUGGUUGCUUGGCCGCUUUAAGUUGAUUCAUCUCUCGUCUCGGUGAAAAGGCAUUGCCUCUUUACCGACUGAUGAAGAAGUCAGACAAGUUCGAGUGGACUCCUGAAGCUGAUGCAGCGUUUGUAGAGCUAAAAGCCCUGCUCUCCACCCAGCCGGUGCUUGCUUCCCCGACCAGCAAAGAGCCUUUGCUGCUUUACAUUGCAGCCACGGGACAAGUCGUCAGUACAGUACUUACGGUCGAGCGGGAAGAAGAAGGAAAAGCCUUUAAAGUUCAGCGCCCAGUAUAUUAUGUUUCUGAAGUUUUGACCCCAUCAAAGGAAAGAUACCCUCAUUAUCAGAAGCUUGUAUAUGGGAUUUAUAUGACCACGAAGAAGGUUGCUCAUUACUCAUCUGACCAUUCCAUUAUAGUUGUCAGCGAUGCUCCAUUGUCAGAGAUUCUGCACAACAGAGAUGCAACUAAUCAAGUGGCAAAAUGGGCGACUGAACUCCUUCCCCUAGAUAUCAAGUUUGAGGCAAAGAAAGCCAUCAAGUCCCAAGCAAUAGCAGAUUUCAUCGCCAAGUGGACUGAACAGCAACUGCCGACUCAAGUUCACACGAAGCACUGGACCAUGUUCUUUGAUGGUUCUAAGAUGCUGAAUGGUUCCGGUGCUGGGGUAGUGUUGGUUUCCCUUCGAGGAGAUAAGCUCAGAUAUGUGCUCCAGAUUCACUUUGAUUCCUCCAAUAAUGAAGUAGAAUAUGAAUCACUUUUGUAUGGGUUGCGUAUGGCCAUUUCACUCGGCGUCCGUCGCCUCAUGGUCUAUGGCGACUCAGAUUUGGUGGUUAACCAAGUGAUGGAGUGGGACGUCAGAAGUCCGGCCAUGACUGGUUACUGCAAUGCAGUGAGAAAGGUAGAGAAAAAAUUUGAGGGGUUAGAGCUUCAUCAUAUACCCCGACUGAAAAAUCAAGCGGCUGAUGACUUGGCAAAAAUAGGUUCCAAGAGAGAAGCCGUUCCUAGUAAUGUGUUUCUGGAACACAUACACACACCAUCAGUUCAGGAGGAUCCUUUCACCGAAGAAGCCCCGCAGCCAAAAAGUGUCACGGAUCCGACUGAAGUUGAGGUCCCAGCUGUGGUCGACCUGAUCAUGGAAGUGUUGGUCAUCACUCCCAACUGGAAAGUGUCGUACAUCGCGUAUAUCCUAAGGAAAGAGCUCCCAGAGAAUGAAGAAGAGGCUCGACAGAUCGUCCGUUGAUCCAAGGCCUUUACUAUGAUAAAGGGACAUUUGUACAGUGAUAGCGCGACUGGAGUCGGUCAGAAAUGUAUAACACCAGAAGAAGGUCAGAUAAUUCUUGACGAUAUCCACUCAGGGACCUGUGGUCAUCAUGCGCCCUCUCGGACCAUUGUGGCUAAAGCAUACCGAGCGGGGUUUUACUGGCCAAGAGCAAAUGAAAUGGCGAAGGAGAUAGUCGACAAGUGUGAAGGAUGUCAGUUCUAUUCCAAUAUGUCACACAAACCCGCCUCAGCCUUGAAGACCAUUCCACUCGUCUGGCCCUUCGCCGCUUGGGGAUUGGAUAUGGUUGGACCACUGAGAACUAGCAGGAGCGGCUUCACCCAUGUACUGGUGGCAGUCGACAAGUUCACUAAGUGGAUCGAAGCCAAGCCUAUCAAGAAUCUUGAUACCUGCACUGCUAUCAGCUUCAUCAAAGAGUUGAUAUUCAGAUAUGGAGUUCCGCACAGCAUCAUCGCUGAUAAUGGGUCAAACUUCGAUUCCGACAAAUUCAGAGCCUUUUGCGCUUCUCAAGGCACGCGAGUCGACUACGCUUCCAUCGCUCACCCCCAGUCGAAUGGACAAGCAGAACGACCUAAUUCUCAAAGGACUGAAACCCCGGUUGAUGCGUGAUCUCAAACACGCAGCAGGCGCGUGGGUCGACAAACUUCCAUAAGUUCUUUGGGGAUUGAGGACUACUCCUAAUCGGUCAACUGGGCGAACUCCAUUCUUUAUGGUCUAUGGAGUUGAAGCAGUUCUGCCGAGUGACCUGCUUCACAAUGCACGCCGAGUCAAGCUCUACUCUGAAGAUGAAGCAGAACAAGCCCGGCAGGACGCAGUCGACCUUCUAGAAGAAUAAACAGAGAUGGCCAUGAUCCGAUCGACUAUCUAUCAGCAGGACUUGCGUCGAUUCCAUGCCAGAAACGUGAAGAGUCGAGCCUUCCAAGAAGGAGACUUGGUCCUCUGAGUGGAUCAACAGAAGCCACACAAACUCGCCCCUACUUGGGAAGGCGCCUUCAUCGUCACUAAAGUUCUCCACAAUGGAGCGUACCGUCUUUACAAUGUCGAUCACUAGAUUGAUGAGCCACGAGCUUGGAACGCGGAGCUGCUCCGCCCCUUUUAUACUUAAGUACUCACUCGGAUGAGAUGUAAUAAAAAGUACCUAUGUAGUUUGUUUAUCAAAGACAAGAGUGUUAUAAUUUUCCCAGUGAUUGUUGUUGCUUUUAUUUACGUGAGAAAUCCCCCAGUGGGUGGCUUAGCUGCGGAUCCGUUUCGCCUAAGUUUGUAAAUAAAAAUUCCUACUGAGUGACGAGCAAGCCUCUCACUCGGGGGCUUAGCUGCAAAUCCGUUUCGCCUAAGUAUUUAAAAAUACUACCGAGUGAUGAGCAAGCCUCUCACUCGGGAGCUUAGCUGCCAUCCAGUACUCGCCUAAGUAUUUAAAAAUCCUACCAAGUGGAGAGCAAACCUCCCACUCGGAGGCUUAGCUGCAGUCCAGUACUCGCCUAAGUAUUUAAAAAUCCUACCGAGUGGAGAGCAAACCUCCCACUCGGGGGCUUAGCUGCAGUCCAGUACUCGCCUAAGUAUUUGAAAAUCCUACCGAGUGGAGAGCAAACCUCCCACUCGGGGGCUUAGCUGCAGUCCAGUACUCGCCUAAGUAUUUGAAAAUUCUACCGAGUGGAGAGCAAACCUCCCACUCGGGGGCUUAGCUGCAGUCCAGUACUCGCCUAAGUAUUUGAAAAUCCUACCGAGUGGAGAGCAAACCUCCCACUCGGGGGCUUAGCUGUAGUCCAGUACUCGCCCAAGUAUUUGAAAAUCCUACCGAGUGGAGAGCAAACCUCCCACUCGGGGGCUUAGCUGCAGUCCAGUACUCGACUAAGUAUUUGAAAAUCCUACCGAGUGGAGAGCAAACCUCCCACUCGGGGGCUUAGCUGCAGUCCAGUACUCGCCUAAGUACUUGAAAAUCCUACCGAGUGGAGAGCAAACCUCCCACUCGGGGGCUUAGCUGUAGUCCGGUACUCGCCUAAGUAUUUGAAAAUCCUACCGAGUGGAGAGCAAACCUCCCACUCGGGGGCUUAGCUGCAGUCCAGUACUCGCCUAAGUAUUUAAAAAUCCUACCGAGUGGAGAGCAAUUCUCCCACUCGGGGGCUUAGUUGCAAUCCAAGUACUCGCCUAAGUAUGAAAUCCAUUCUGAUCCGCAAGGAUGACCUGGUGCAGGUCGACUGCUACCUUCCCCUUCGGAGCUACGCCACAAAUACAACAUGCGCUCUACAAGGACGACGAGGUGCAGGUCGACUGCUACCUUCUCCUUCGGAGCUACGCCACAAAUACAACGUGCGCUCUGCAAGGAUGACGAGGUGCAGGUCGACUGCUGCCUUCUCCUUAAGAGCUACACCACAAAUACAAUGUGCGCUCCAUCCCGAUCCACAAGGACGCAGGUCGACUGCCAUCUGUGCUCCAUCCCUACCUGCAAGAGCGAUGAAGUGCAGGUCGACUGGAUUUUCCACCUCAGAGCCGCGUCUCAAGCACUAAAGUAUAUUCCGAGUGAAGAACAAAGUUCGCUCGAAGGCAAAUGCAAGCAUAUUCAACAAUAAGCCAAGUUCAGAUAACAUCCUACGGAUGCAGAAGUGCUCAGGCGUCAAGCCUAUAAAAGUUUAUCGGUUACAAAACCACUCGACAUUCCGAGGCAAAUUUAAGGCGAAGCAUAGAAGUUUUUCUUACUCCUCAGGCGGAGGACUGGAGGGCGCGACAAACUGGUCCAAGUCAAUUCCGUCAGCAAUCCGACUGGCAGCAGCAAUGAAGGUCUCCAUGAAAGAUCGGAAGUCGUGCUUCUUGGUAUUGGCAACUUUGAUGGACGCCAGCUUUUCCUCGCGCGCAUCCUUGCAGUGAACACGGACCAGGGACAGGGCAACGUCAGCGCCGCACCUGGCAGAAGACUUCUUCCAUUCUUGCACUCGACUUGGAACUUCAUUCAGUCGAGCCAUUAGAGACUCAAGGUCAUUUUCAAGCGUCGCUCCUAGCCAGAGUGUCAUGUCGAUUUGCGAUGCCACAACCUUCAGUCGAGCAAGGUAGUAAACCACACCAGCAACACGAGACUCCAGUCGGAGCACGUUCAUAGCAGUUUCAUCCUUCACAGGAGAGUUAAUGGGGUCCAAGCUUGUCUCCACUCGACUGAUCUCCUCCUCAAAGUUUUGGCAGAACUCUAUAAACACAAUUCAAAGAUAAACCAUCAGUUCUAUGAUAAGUCGAUGAUAACAAGUCAGUCGGGUAGGAGAGAUUACCCUCAAGCAUGAUGAAUAACUUCUUGGCGAGCCCCCCCCCCCCAGAUAAGCCUCCAGAUUGUUCCUCUUCCCUACCAGUUCACUAGCCUUGUCACUCAGAGCUAUCUUAUCAUUCUUCAGAUGGCUGACCUCCUUGUUGGCCGCGUCGAGAGCAGCUUUCAGUUUGGCAUUCUCCUCUUCAAGUUUACUGACUGAAGCCAGUUUUUCUUCCGCAAGCUUCGUUUGUCCAAAGCCGCCUUCUGCGCCUCGGCAAGGUCAUGGUCCUUCUUCUUCAGAGCCUCCUUCAUUUUAUCUGCAAAAUGACAAUGAGAUCAGAAUCAGGAAUGGGCAGAAAGAUAAAGACAGUCGUCAAGUUCUCACCAGUCAUACCUUUUGCUUCGUCUUUCGCCUUUUGAAAGUUCUCCUGGACAAGCUUCAAUUCAAGGUCGAGCUGGAUCUGUUUGUUUUCCAAUUUAGUAUAGCGAGUCACAAGCUCGCAAGACUUUUGUGCAGGGUCAGUCGAUGGACAUCAAAGAUAGGUUGCUUCCGACUGACUAAGAGAAAAUUCAUAACAUUUCUAAGACUACAGCCGAAUCAAAAUAUUCAACAGUAGUCUCGGGGACUACGCCCAGUGGGUGCACACAGCGUGCCCCCACUGGUUCUACCAACUUGGUCUGAUCAGUCGACCAAAAGAGACAAAUAGGUUAUGAUCCUAAAACCAUAGCUAACUGCCAACAGUCAGCCAUGGUCUUAUCAUGAUCUACCUAAAAAACACAGGUUCUUCAGACCUUAGUCGACUGCCAGCAGUCGACCAUGGUCUCAGAGACCACACCCAGUGGGUGCACUCAGCGUGCCCCCACUGGUUCCAAGAUUCCAUUUGACAUGGUCCGUCCAGACCGAGUGAGGAAGUUAGAGUGAAGAAAUUCAAAAUACAAAGACUACAGUCGACUGCCAGCAGUCCACCAUAGUCUCGGGGACUACACCUAGUGGGUGCACUCAGCGUGCCCCCACCGAUCCAAGAUUCCAUUUGACAUGGUCCGUCCAGACCGAGUGAAGAAGUUAGAGUGAAGAAAUUCAAAAUACAAAGACUACAGUCGACUGCCAGCAGUCCACCAUAGUCUCGGGGACUACACCCAGUGGGUGCACUCAGCGUGCCCCCACCGAUCCAAAAAUUCAAUCGACACACGCAGUGGGUGUACUGAUACAAAGAUCUUUGGAAAGAAAGUCUUCAGAUAGCAUAUCCUAACAGAACAAGCGGUGACCAACUAACCUGGACGUUGCUCUGAAGGGCUGAGCUAGCAUCAUAGGCCGCUUGGCUGGCUUCCCGGAUCGCCUUCACCUGCUCCAUCACGAUCCCCGCCUGGCGUAUAGCCUCCUUAGCAGCACCCACUUGGUCCUCUAGGACGUGGUUUGUGGCGAAAAGGGAGGGCGGGUCAGCAGUCGACGACGAAGGCCGAACACUCAUCAACGGCAUAGCGAAGGACACGGAAUUCCGAGUGAUAAUGCCACCCUCUUGAACCGAUGUCUCAGGCACUGAUGCAAUAUGAGUAGUCUCGCCAGCCGGCGCCUUUCUAUUCCUCCUCGACCUCAGUGGCGCCUCGUCGUCAUCAUCAGGGAGAUCAAUGACAUGAGGAGGAGCUACAGGAAAAAUCCAAAGUUAAAAACGAAAAUCCCACCGACCAAGAGUGAAACUACAGAAAUCGUACCAAGGUUGGAGGUGACAGCGUCUUCCAUUUCCUGGUCUUCAUUCUUGGCGGAGGUCUCGGAGGUAGCAACACUGCAGAUUUCAGAAACCAGUCGGUUAGUCAACGAGUCGACCAAGAGUCUGUCCAUGCUAAACGAGAAAACACAAGUUCUGCUGUUACCCGGAAAUGGUAGGAAUGGUCAUUCUCAUCUUGGGCAAGGCCUUCAGCAGCUUUGAUGAUGCCGCCCGCGGAUGCUUCGACGCUUUUUCAGUCGACGCCGGAGAAGCCGUCCAAGGGCAUUUUGACGACUGCCCAACAGGCGCAGCCGCUUUGCCACGCUCGCUCGCGGGGUCGUGGGUAAGCUUGGAUCCCAUUUCCAUGCGAGGAGGAUCAACUUCCUCCUCCUCCUCUUCACUGGAGCCGUCGUCAUCCUCUUCCCCCUCACCAUCAGAUUGCCACUCCUGCCCACUUUCACCUCCGCUCGCCUCCUCCUUCCCGGUCUAUUCUUGCGCCCCGUUGGGCAUCGAGUACAUGUCAAUAAUGGUCUAGAAGACAACAAACAAGACAAAAGUCAAUCGAUUGAUUUUAAGCAAAUAGAAUGAAGAAAGCAAGGCCGCAGUCAGAGAUGCAGAAUUGGACCUGAUAUACUUCAUACGAUUGGUCGAGUGAAGGAAUCCUCCUGGCUCCUCGGGGGUUAUCUUUGUUCCCUGUGAUGCUUGACAACCACCCCUCCAACGUAGCCUCGUCGACCUCCUCCGGAUGAAUCCGAGUGGUGUCUUCGAGACCCGAAUACAUCCACAUCGGAUGGUCACGAGCUUGGAGCGGUUGGAUACGUCUCCGGAGGAAGACCUCUAGCAAAUCCAUACCAGUCACCCCAUCGCGGACAAGCUGAACCACUCGACCAACCAACACUUUGACUUGUGCCUUCUCUUCCGGUGUCACUUUCAGAGAAGAAGGUUUUUCUACUCGGUUCAGGGAGAAAGGGGGAAGACCCGUCACCUGUCCUGGGGUCGGCCGGUCUCUGCAGUAGAACCAGGUCGACUGCCACCCGCGGACUGAGUCGGGAAGGGUCAUAGCUGGAAAAGAAAUUUUGCUUCUCAUCUGGAUCCCAAGACCCCCGCACAUCUGAAUCACUUGCGUCUUAUCGUCACUCGACUUGGCUUUCUUAACCGACUGAGAACGACAAGUGAAAAUGUGCUUGAAGAAGCCCCAAUGAGGACAGCAACCCAAGAAAUUCUCGCACAAAGACACGAAGGCGGGAAGAUACACGGUGGAAUUUGGAGUAAAGUGAUGAAGUUGUGCUCUGAAAAAGUUCAAGAAACUCCGGAAAAAAGGAUGAGGGGCAGGGAGAAUCCGCGGUCGACGUGAGUGGCGAUAAGGACACACUCACCCUCGAGAGGCUGUUGAAGGAAAUAUGCCCUAGAGGCAAUAAUAAAGUUAUUAUUUAUUUCCUCAUAUCAUGAUAAAUGUUUAUUAUUCAUGCUAGAAUUGUAUUAACCGGAAACAUGAUACAUGUGUGAAUACAUAGACAAACAUAUAGUCACUAGUAUGCCUCUACUUGACUAGCUCAUUAAUCAAAGAUGGUUAUGUUUCCUAACCAUAGACAUGUGUUGUCAUUUGAUUAAUGGGAUCACAUCAUUAGGAGAAUGAUGUGAUUGACAUGACCCAUUCCGUUAGCCUAGCACUUGAUCGUUUAGUAUAUUGCUAUUGCUUUCUUCAUGACUUAUACAUGUUCCUGUAACUAUGAGAUUAUGCAACUCCCAUUUACUGGAGGAACACUUUGGGUGCUACCAAACGACACAACGUAACUGAGUGAUUAUAAAGGAGUACUACAGGUGUCUCCAAAGGUACAUGUUGGGUUGGCAUAUUUCGAGAUUAGGUUUUGUCACUCCGAUUAUCGGAGAGGUAUCUCUGGGCCCUCUCGGUAAUGCACAUCACUAUAAGCCUAGCAAGAAAUGUAGCUAAUGAGUUAGUUGCGGAAUGAUGCAUUACAUAACGAGUAAAGAGACUUGCCGGUAACGAGAUUGAACUAGGUAUUAGAUACCGACGAUCGAAUCUCGGGCAAGUAACAUGCCGAUGACAAAGGGAACAACGUAUGUUGUUAUGCGGUUUGACCGAUAAAGAUCUUCGUAGAAUAUGUAGGAGCCAAUAUGAGCAUCCAGGUUCCGCUAUUGGUUAUUGACCGAGAAUAGUUCUAGGUCAUGUCUACAUAGUUCUCGAACCCGUAGGGUCCGCACGCUUAACGUUACGAUGACAGUUUUAUUAUGAGUUUAUAUAUUUUGAUGUACUGAAGGUUGUUUGGAGUCCCGGAUGUGAUCCAGGACAUGACGAGGAGUCUCGAAAUGGUCGAGACAUAAAGAUUGAUAUAUUGGAAGCCUAUAUUUGGAUAUCGGAAUCGUUCCGGGAGAAAGCGGGAUUUUUCCGGAGUACCGGGGGGGUUACCGAAACCCCCCGGGGGUUAUUGGGCCUACAUGGGCCAUGAGGGAGAAGAGGAGGGCCAGCCAGGGCAGGCCGCGCGCCCCGUCCCCCCCCUAGUCCGAAUAGGACAAGGAGGGGGGCGGCGCCCCCCUUUCCUCUUUCCCCUCCCCCCUUUCCUUCUCCACCAAGGCAAGAGGGGGGAGUCCUACUCCUGGUGGGAGUAGGACUCCUCCAGGCGCACCCCUUGGGGGCCGGCCGCACCUCCCCCCUCCCACCUUUAUAUACGGGGGCAUGGGGCACCCUAGAACACACAAGUUGAUCUACGUGAUCGUUCCUUAGCCGUGUGUGGUGCCCCCCUCCACCAUAUUCCACCUCGGUCAUAUCGUCGUGGAGUUUAGGCAAAGCCCUGCGCCGGUAGAACAUCAUCAUCGUCACCACGCCGUCGUGCUGACGGAACUCAUCCCCGACACUUUGCUGGAUCGGAGUCCGGGGAUCGUCAUCGAGCUGAACGUGUGCUGAACUCGGAGGUGCCGUACGUUCGGUACUUGGAUCAGUCGGAUUGUGAAGACGUACGACUACAUCAACCGCGUUGUCAUAACGCUUCCGCUUACGGUCUACAAGGGUAUGUGGACAUUACUCUCCCCUCUCGUUGCUAUGCAUCACCAUGAUCUUGCGUGUGCGUAGGAUUUUUUUUUUGAAAUUACUACGUUCCCCAACAGUGGCAUCCGAGCCUGGUUUUAUGCGUAGAUGUCAUAUGCACGAGUAGAACACAAGUGAGUUGUGGGCGAUACAACUCAUACUGCUUACCAGCAUGUCAUACUUUGGCUCAGCGGUAUUGUGAGAUGAAGCGGCCCGGACCGACAUUACGCGUACGCUUACGCGAGACUGGUUUCACCGUUACGAGCACUCGUGCUUAAAGGUGACUGGCGGGUGUCUGUCUCUCUCACCUUAGCUGAACCGAAUGUGGCUACGCCCGGUCCUUGCGAAGGUUAAAACAACAUUAACUUGACGAACUAUCGUUGUGGUUUUUAUGCGUAGGUAAGAACGGUUCUUGCUAAGCCCGUAGCAGCCACGUAAAAUUUGCAACAACAAAGUAGAGGACGUCUAACUUGUUUUUGCAGGGCAUGUUGUGAUGUGAUAUGGUCAAGACGUGAUGCUAUAUUUUAUUGUAUGAGAUGAUCAUGUUUUGUAACCGAAGUUAUCGGCAACUGGCAGGAGCCAUAUGGUUGUCACUUUACUGUAUGAAAUGCAAACGCCCUGUAAUUGCUUUACUUUAUCACUAAGCGGUAGCGAUAGUCGUAUAAGCAAUAGAUGGCGUAACGACAACGAUGCUACGAUGGAGAUCAAGGUGUCGCGCCGGUGACGAUGGUGAUCACAACGGUGCUUCAAAGAUGGAGAUCACAAGCACAAGAUGAUGAUGGCCAUAUCAUAUCACUUAUAUUGAUUGCAUGUGAUGUUUAUCCUUUAUGCAUCUUAUCUUGCUUUGAUUGAUGGUAGCAUUUUAAGAUGAUCUCUCACUAAAUUAUCAAGAAGUGUUCUCCCUGAGUAUGCACCGUUGCGAAAGUUCUUCGUGCUGAGACACCACGUGAUGAUCGGGUGUGAUAGGCUCUACGUUCAAAUACAACGGGUGCAAAACAGUUGCACACGCGGAAUACUCAGGUUAAACUUGACGAGCCUAGCAUAUAACAGAUAUGGCCUCGGAACACGGAGACCGAAAGGUCGAGCGUGAAUCAUAUAGUAGAUAUGAUCAACAUAUUGAUGUUCACUGUUGAAACUACUCCAUCUCACGUGACGAUCGGACAUGGUGUAGUUGAUAUGGAUCACGUAAUCACUUAGAGGAUUAGAGGGAUGUCUAUCUAAGUGGGAGUUCUUAAGUAAUAUGAUUAAUUGAACUUAAAUUUAUCAUGAACUUAGUACCUGAUAGUAUUUUGCUUGUCUAUGUUUGUUGUAGAUAGAUGGCUCGUGUUUUUGUUCCGUUGAAUUUUAAUGCGUUCCUUGAGAAAGCAAAAGUUGAAAGAUGAUGGCAGCAAUUACACGGACUGGGUCCGUAACCUGAGGAUUAUCCUCAUUGCUGCAUACAAGAAUUACGUCGUAGAAGCACCGCUGGGUGCCAGGCCUGCUGCUGAUGUAACUGACGACGUUAAGAACGUGUGGCAGAGCAAAGCUGAUGACUACUCGAUAGUUCAGUGUGCCAUGCUUUACGGCUUAGAACCGGGUCUUCAACGACGUUUUGAACGUCAUGGAGCAUAUGAGAUGUUCCAGGAGUUGAAAUUAAUAUUUCAAGCAAAUGCCCGGAUUGAGAGAUAUGAAGUCUCCAAUAAGUUCUAUAGCUGCAAGAUGGAGGAGAAUAGUUCUGUCAGUGAACACAUACUCAAAAUGUCUGGGUAUAAUAAUCACUUGAUUCAAUGGGAGUUAAUCUUCCUGAUGAUAGUGUCAUUGACAGAAUUCUUCAAUCACUGCCACCAAGCUACAAGAGCUUCGUGAUGAACUAUAAUAUGCAAGGGAUGGAGAAGACUAUUCCCGAGCUCUUCGCAAUGCUAAAAGCUGCGGAGGUAGAAAUCAAGAAGGAGCAUUAAGUGUUGAUGGUUAACAAGACCACCAGUUUCAAGAAAAAGGGCAAAGGGAAGAAGAAGGGGAACUUCAAGAAGAACAGCAAAAAAGUUGCUGCUCAAGAGAAGAAACCCAAGUCUGGACCUAAGCCUGAGACUGAGUGCUUCUACUGCAAGCAGACUUGACACUGGAAGCGAAACUGCCCCAAGUAUUUGGCGGAUAAGAAGGAUGGCAAAGUGAACAAAGGUAUAUGUGAUAUACAUGUUAUUGAUGUGUACCUUACUAAUGCUUGCAGUAGUACCUGGGUAUUUGAUACUGGUUCUGUUGCUAAUAUUUGCAACUCGAAACAGGGACUACGGAUUAAGCGAAGAUUGGCUAAGGAUGAGGUGACGAUGCGCGUGGGAAAUGGUUCCAAAGUCGAUGUGAUCGCGGUCGGCACACUACCUCUACAUCUACCAUCGGGAUUAGUUUUAGACCUAAAUAAUUGUUAUUUGGUGCCAGCGUUGAGCAUGAACAUUAUAUCUGGAUCUUGUUUGAUGCGAGAUGGUUAUUCAUUUAAGUCAGAGAAUAAUGGUUGUUCUAUUUAUAUGAGUAAUAUCUUUUAUGGUCAUGCACCCUUGAAGAGUGGUCUAUUUUUAUUGAAUCUCGAUAGUAGUGAUACACAUAUUCAUAGUGUUGAAACCAAAAGAUGCAGAGUUGAUAAUGAUAGUACAACUUAUUUGUGGCACUGCUGUUUAGGUCAUAUCGGUGUAAAGAGCAUGAAGAAACUCCAUACUGAUGGGCUUCUGGAAUCACUUGAUUAUGAAUCACUUGGUACUUGCGAACCGUGCCUCAUGGGCAAGAUGACCAAAACGCCAUUCUCCGGAACUAUGGAGCGAGCAACUGAUGUUGGAAAUCAUACAUAUUGAUGUUUGUGCUCCAAUGAAUGUUGAGGCUCGUGGCGGGUAUCGUUAUUUUCUCACAUUCACAGAUGAUUUGAGCAGAUAUGGGUAUAUCUACUUAAUGAAACACAAGUCUGAAACAUUUGAAAAGUUCAAAGAAUUUCAGAGUGAAGUGGAAAAUCAUCGUAACAAGAAAAUAAAAAUUUCUACGAUCUGAUCGUGGAGGAGAAUAUUUGAGUUACAAGUUUGGUUUACAUUUGAAACAAUGCGGAAUAGUUUCGCAACUCACGCCACCCGGAACACCACAACGAAAUGGUGUGUCCGAACGUCGUAAUCAUACUUUACUAGAUAUGAUGUGAUCUAUGAUGUCUCUUACUGAUUUACCACUAUCAUUUUGGGGUUAUGCUUUAGAGACGGCCACAUUCACGUUAAAUAGGGCACCAUCAAAAUCCGUUGAGACGACGCCUCAUGAACUGUGGUUCGGCAAGAAACCAAAGUUGUCGUUUCUUAAAGUUUGGGGCUGCGAUGCUUAUGUGAAGAAACUUCAACUAGAUAAGCUCGAACCCAAAUCGGAGAAAUGUGUCUUCAUAGGAUACCCAAAAGAGACUGUUGGGUAUACCUUCUAUCACAGAUCUGAAGGCAAGAUUUUCAUUGCAAAAUUCGGAUCCUUUCUAGGGAAGGAGUUUCUCUCGAAAGAAGUGAGUGGGAGGAAAGUACAACUUGAUGAGGUAACUGUACCUGCUCCCUUAUUGGAAAGUAGUUCAUCACAAGAACCGGUUCUUGUGACAACUACACCAAUCAGUGAGGAAGCUAAUGAUAUUGAUCAUGAAACUUCUGAUCAAGUUUCUACUGAACCUCGUAGGUCUACCAGAAUAAGAUCCGCACCAGAGUGGUACGGUAAUCCUAUUCUGGAAGUCAUGUUACUUGACCAUGAUGAACCUACGAACUAUGAGAAAGCGAUGAUGAGCCCAGAUUCCGCAAAAUGGCUAGAGGCCAUGAAAUCUGAGAUGGGAUCCAUGUAUGAGAACAAAGUAUGGACUUUGGUUGACUUGCCCAAUGAUCGGCAAGCCAUUGAGAAUAAAUGGAUUUUUAAGUAGAAGACUGACGCUGAUGGUAAUGUAACUGUCUAUAAAGAUCGACUUGUUGCAAAAGGUUUUUGACAAGUUCAAGGGGUUGACUACGAUGAGACUUUCUCACCCGUAGCGAUGCUUAAGUCUGUCCGAAUCAUGUUAGCAAUUGCUGCAUUUUAUGAUUAUGAAAUUUGGCAAAUGGAUGUCAAAACUGCAUUCUUGAAUGGAUUUCUGGAAGAAGAGUUGUAUAUGAUGCAGCCAGAAGGUUUUGUUGAUCCAAAAGGUGCUAACAAAGUGUGCAAGCUCCAACGAUCCAUUUAUGGACUAGUGCAAGCAUCUCGGAGUUGGAAUAAACGCUUUGAUAGUGUGAUCAAAGCAUAUGGUUUUAUACAGACUUUUGGAGAAGCCUGUAUUUACAAGAAAGUGAGUGGGAGCUCUGUAGCAUUUCUGAUAUUAUAUGUAGAUGACAUAUUAUUAAUUGGAAAUGAUAUAGAAUUUCUGGAUAGCAUAAAGGGAUACUUGAAUAAAAGUUUUUCUAUGAAAGACCUCGGUGAAGCUGCUUAUAUAUUGGGCAUCAAGAUUUAUAGAGAUAGAUCAAGACGCUUAAUUGGACUUUCACAAAGCACAUACCUUGAUAAAGUUUUGAAAAAGUUCAAAAUGGAUCAGGCAAAGAAAGGGUUCUUGCCCGUACUACAAGGUGUGAAGUUGAGUCAAACUCAAUGCCCAACCACAGCAGAAGAUAGAGAGAAAAUGAAAGAUGUUCCCUAUGCUUCAGCCAUAGGCUCUAUCAUGUAUGCAAUGCUGUGUACCAGACCUGACGUGUGCUUAGCAAUAAGCUUGGCAGGAAGGUACCAAAGUAAUCUAGGAGUGGAUCACUGGACAAUGGUCAAGAACAUCCUGAAAUACCUAAAAAGGACUAAGGAUAUGUUUCUCGUAUAUGGAGGUGACAAAGAGCUAGUCGUAAAUGGUUACGUUGAUGCAAGCUUUGACACUGAUCCGGACGAUUGUAAAUCGCAAACCGGAUACGUGUUUUUAUUAAACGGUGGAGCUGUAAGUUGGUGCAGUUCUAAACAAAGCGUCGUGGCGGGAUCUACAUGUGAAGCGGAGUACAUAGCUGCUUCGGAAGCAGCAAAUGAAGGAGUCUGGAUAAAGGAGUUCAUUUCCGAUCUAGGUGUCAUACCUAGUGCAUCGGGACCAAUGAAGAUCUUCUGUGACAAUACUGGUGCAAUUGCCUUGGCAAAGGAAUCCAGAUUUCACAAGAGGACCAAGCACAUCAAGAGACGCUUCAAUUCCAUCCGGGAGCAAGUCCAGGUGGGAGACAUAGAGAUUUGCAAGAUACAUACGGAUCUGAAUGUUGCAGACCCAUUGACUAAGCCUCUUCCACGAGCAAAACAUGAUCAGCACCAAGACUCCAUGGGUGUUAGAAUCAUUACUGUGUAAUCUAGAUUAUUGACUCUAGUGCAAGUGGGAGACUGAAGGAAAUAUGCCCUAGAGGCAAUAAUAAAGUUAUUAUUUAUUUCCUCAUAUCAUGAUAAAUGUUUAUUAUUCAUGCUAGAAUUGUAUUAACCAGAAACAUGAUACAUGUGUGAAUACAUAGACAAACAUAUAGUCACUAGUAUGCCUCUACUUGACUAGCUCAUUAAUCAAAGAUGGUUAUGUUUCCUAACCAUAGACAUGUGUUGUCAUUUGAUUAACGGGAUCACAUCAUUAGGAGAAUGAUGUGAUUGACAUGACCCAUUCCGUUAGCCUAGCACUUGAUCGUUUAGUAUAUUGCUAUUGCUUUCUUCAUGACUUAUACAUGUUCCUGUAACUAUGAGAUUAUGCAACUCCCAUUUACCGGAGGAACACUUUGGGUGCUACCAAAUGUCACAACGUAAUUGAGUGAUUAUAAAGGAGUACUACAGGUGUCUCCAAAGGUACAUGUUGGGUUGGCGUAUUUCGAGAUUAGGUUUUGUCACUCCGAUUGUCGGGAGAGGUAUCUCUGGGCCCUCUCGAUAAUGCACAUCACUAUAAGCCUUGCAAGCAAUGUAGCUAAUGAGUUAGUUACGGAAUGAUGCAUUACGUAAUGAGUAAAGAGACUUGCCGGUAACGAGAUUGAACUAGGUACUAGAUACCGACGAUCGAAUCUCGGGCAAGUAACAUGCCGAUGACAAAGGGAACAACAUAUGUUGUUAUGCGGUUUGACCGAUAAAGAUCUUCGUAGAAUAUGUAGGAGCCAAUAUGAGCAUCCAGGUUCCGCUAUUGGUUAUUGACCGAGAAUAGUUCUAGGACAUGUCUAGAUAGUUCUCGAACCUGUAGGGUCCGCACGCUUAACGUUACGAUGACAGUUUUAUUAUGAAUUUAUAAAUGUUGAUGUACCGAAGGUUGUUCGGAGUCCCGGAUGUGAUCCAGGACAUGACGAGGAGUCUCCAAAUGGUCGAGACAUAAAGAUUGAUAUACUGGAAGCCUAUAUUUGGAUAUCGGAAUCGUUCCGGGAGAAACCGGGAUUUACCGGGGGGUUACCGGAACCCCCCCCCCCCCGGGGGUUAUUGGGCCUACAUGGGCCAUGAGGGAGAAGAGGAGGGCCGGCCAGGGCAGGCCGCGCGCCCCCUCCACCCCUAGUCCGUAUAGGACAAGGAGGGGGGGCGGCGCCCCCCUUUCCUCUUUCCUCUCCCCCCUUUCCUUCUCCACCAAGGCAAGAGGGGGGAGUCCUGUGCGGUGCCCCCCUCCACCAUAUUCCACCUCGGUCAUAUCGUCGUGGAGUUUAGGCGAAGCCCUGCGCCGGUAGAACAUCAUCAUCGUCACCACGCCGUCGUGCUGACGGAACUCAUCCCUGACACUUUGCUGGAUAGGAGUCCGGGGAUCAUCAUCGAGCUGAACGUGUGCUGAACUCGGAGGUUCCGUACGUUCGGUACUUGGAUCGGUCGGAUCGUGAAGACGUACGACUACAUCAACCGCGUUGUCAUAACGCUUCCGCUUACGGUCUAUGAGGGUACGUGGACAUUACUCUCCCCUCUCGUUGCUAUGCAUCACCAUGAUCUUGCGUGUGCGUAGGGUUUUUUUUUGAAAUUACUACAUUCCCCAAGAGCUGCGGCUCGAUCUCGUUCCCCGGGAGGCGCGCAGAUUCGUGGAGAAUGAGUCCCCCCUCGACUAGGUCAUCAAUGUCUUCCUGACGAAUCGCCGAGGGCAUCCAAUCGCCCUGGAUCUAGCCCCGCGGCAAGGAACACCUCGAGGAAGAUCUGCCCCGGCCAGACUUCUUCGCCUUCACCUGCGCCAUCGCCUUCUUCGCGCGCUCUAGGGCCGCCGUCUUCUCCUUCACCAGCGCUGCAGACGAAGCUCGAACGGACCGACGGCACGGGGACGAGAGCAGAGGUGGCGGAGGAAUUCGAGGAGAAAGAGGAAAAAUGAAGGCGCACUGUUCAAAAGCCCUGGGCCAGCGGCUUAUAUGGAGUUGCUUCUGAGUGACUGACCUGUAGGCCCAGACGAUCCUGUCAAAUCCCGCAACAGUCGCGUGCGCGAUACGUGGCGAAAAAGGUGGCGCGGAGAUCGAGGCGUCUCUGCCCUAUCCCGUCCGAUUACUGCGGCCUCCUCCGCCCCGCGCGCUUCCCAAAAUUUGAAUCCCGCAAAAUCCGCGAGCAGCAGAACAACUUGUCAGACGGAGAAUAUCCUCCACACCAUCACUCGGAGCUUUUCAAGUAAAGAAAUUCACUCGACUGAAACCAAGAAUGGAUCAAGGCGACUAAAAAAGAAGUUGGUGUCGUUACUUAAGUUCAUGGAUCCAGAACAAGAUACACUCAAAGCACGAAAAAUGGGUCGGAAGAGUUCUCAACUCCUUCCCCACUCAAACCUCGAUCCAUUUGGGGGCUAAUGAUGAAGCUAUGUACCUAGGGUAGGGUCAUGGACCUAUCCAAACUACCCUCCCAAAGGACAUCUCUAGAAGAAACCACCUUUCAAUCGACUCAGAAGUGUUCCACUUGACGGACUGGAAGACACUCGACCAUGAAGCCAACCACUCGACAUCUAGGAGAUCUAAAGUCACUCUGCACACGAUUGGCCGGUUAUUAAGUAGCCUUUAUGGUCAUCAUAGCACUUUAUUUGUGGCGUUACCAGUAACUCCCGAUCUUAAUGUACCUUAAACCCUACAUAACUGAGGGCCGGAGGGGUCUGGCGAACUCUAUAUAAGCCACCCCCUCCUCAGUGUAAAGCGUUCACACCCCUGUAAUUCAUACACACAUAAUCCAGUCGGCCGCCUCCGGGCUCCGAGACGUAGGGCUGUUACUUCCUCCGAGAAGGGCAUGAACUCGUAAAUCUCCUGCGUAUACAACUACUCCAUAGCUAGGAUCUUGCCUCUCCAUUCCUACCCCCUACACUACUGUCAGACUUAGAACCACGACAUCCACCGUGGCACCCGAAGACACCGUGGUCGCCGAACCCCGUUCCGCCGCCACGCCCCGCACCGGCGGACGCCAUGGUAGCUUCGAUCCGGCAGAAAACAGGCCACAAAAGGCUGCCGGAGCGCGCUCGAUUUCUCGCGGAGUACACGAAAUGCGACGGAGAGGGCUAGAGGAAAUGGGGGGCGGAUACCUUAAAUCGACUUGAAGCCUGCAUAUAUACCAGAUUGGGGGCGGUUUACGGGCCUCCGUAAACUUUUUACGGGCCGGGACUUUUUUCGGGUAUCUGCUCGGGCCUUAUUAUUUGGGUCAUCCCGUAUAACGGCCGGAAUAGCGUAGUUCACCGGCCUUAUGCGGGAUCUGCUAGAGAUGCUCUAGUAAUUAAUAAUAUAGCUUUUGUUUACUGAGGUACGGCAAGCCCUCCAUUUAGGCCAUUUUUUGGACAAAAAAGAGAGAAACGGCGGUAAUAUAUGCACAAAUAACUACAAUUUUCUGUUAAUCCAAAAUAGUAAUGAUGAAAAUAUAAUUUCAUUUUGCCAGACCAUAUUUGUCUUCGUGUAGCCAACAUGUGAUGAUUUUAAGAUACUUAUACCCAUGAUAUCUAGUAGACUAGAUUUGUUGCGCAUGCCAACAUGCAAAUGUUAGUUUAAAAAAAACUAUGAACCCUGUGUAAAUUCAUUGCGUUCCUUUUUACUAGUAUUUGAGAUAAAUUCCAAAUUGUUAGGUGUAUUUUCUUUUGAACUAGUAAAAGCCGCCAAUUAUACUCAUGUAAUCAUUGUUGUGACAUGUGGCAUUUCAACCCAAAAUUAUGCUUAAACCAGUAUACUGCUCAAUAAUAUUGUGCCCAUACUUUCAAUCGGUUUGGCUCAAGGUUAUUGUCCCCGUGACGCUUUUGCUUUGGUGGUCGUCGUUGUGGUAAGUGAGUUUGGGUCGUGUUGUUGUGGGUCGGGCUUCAACUUUCGUAGUGUAAGAGUUUUGGUUCCAUUCCUUGUGAUGUUAGGUCAUUUAGGGUGCUCUGCCUCUACCUAGUAGUGCCUCUGUGAUGUAUCAUCAUUCUUUCUUUAGGAAUUCACGUGCAGCUAGAUCUUCCGCAUGGUUCUGAAAAUAAAAAGGAAAUAAUGGGCCAAUUGUUUUUCGUUAUUAAACGAAAGAAUAUGGCUUCUUUGCCUUUUAAUUACUACUAGUGGGCCAAUUGUUCUGAAUAUGGCUUAAAAUGGGUAAUUUUCCCUUUUAGCAAAGCACACAAAAAGGCAGGGUUAUUUACUUUUUUUUGGAAUGAAAAACUCUUAAAAUUUCUAGCGGUUGACUGGUGUUUGUUAAUAAAAAGAAGAAAGGAGUAUGAAAGAAGGAAGGUGGGAGGGGAAAGCGAAGGAAGCGAGUGAGUGCUGGGUUUCGCAUCCAUGCCUUGCGAUGUCAUGUUGUUUAGAGUUUUUCGGCGAGGCACGCCCUACCGCUAUGAGCACCUCCGAAAAACUGAGUCGGCAGGAAUGUCUCCUCCCACUGAAUGCGCAUCGCCGGAAAUCCUAAAAUAAAUCCAGGAAUAAAUGCGAGCACCAGGAUUUGAACUCUGGUGGGCUGGGGAUACCACAGUCCCUCUAACCAUCCAACCACAAGUUGAUUCGCGAGUGAAAAAAGUCUUGAUUAUAUAAGAUUGAUAAUGUCAGCAGUUGACCGGUGUUUGUUUGUUUGUUAAUUAUAUUAGUAUAUAUAAAUAAAAGAAGAAAAAGGAGUAUGAAAGUAGUAAGGUGGAAGGGGAAAGCGAAGGAUGGGUUUAUUCUUCCAUUUGUGUUGUAGAAAGAAGUCGUCAUUUUCUUCUUGUUCCACUCCCGUUGCCUUUGCCUCCUUCUUGUUUCUUUCUUGUCUAUCAUCAUCAGCAUCCAUCCAUCCACCAAAAUAAAUAAAUAUUCCACCUUUUUGUUUCCAGAUUACCAGAUGAUGAGUUGAUUCAUUCUCACUAUCCACUCCAAAAUCUACUCGAGCUUCGGUUUUAGCCUGGUUUUCCAUCAAUUAACCGGGCAAUUCUCACUUCUUCUUAAUCAAUGAAAAUGGCAAGUCUUUUGCCUCGUUUCAAAAAAAAAUCAACUCGAGCUCACCACAUCCAUCCACCAAAAAGGCAGGGUUACUUACUUUUAUGGAAUGGAAAAACUCUUAAAAAUUCCAGCAAUUGACUGGUGUUUGUUAAUCAAAAGAAGAAAGGAGUAUGGCGAUUCCGCAUAUGACAAAAAUUUAAACAAAGUACUUCGCGCUAGAAACAUCUCGCCAGAGUUCAUCAACCCAACAUACCAUAGUUCACCACGCAUAGCAUAGGAGAGUUUUUACAAACCAUAAUAAUUAUACAUAGCAUAGGGGCACCGAAACAUAGCAUAGGAGAUCUACUAGUCGCCGGAGGGUGUGGGCAGGGGUCUACUUCACCGGGGUUCUACUCGUCGGAGUCAGAAUCGUCGCCCUCGUCAUUGUCGUCGCUGGAGAUGACCUCGGCGGGCAGCGGCUUCCCUCCAUGAAUGGUGUCGUAGAUGAGGUCGCAGUAGAUCCGGGUUUGGAGUUGGUACUCAUCCCAGAGCGUCAGCAGCCGCACAGCCGCAACCGCAUCUUCGGCAUCGGCGGCGGUCCUCUCCUCAAACCACGCCCACUCGGCCUCCCACUGGCACUGGAUCGCCGAGUCGAAGAGCCGGCCGCAGCACCGGAAGGUCUUCCACGCACGCGACCUCGAUCCAGCACUGAGGGACUUGGCGCCACGCGUGCACGCCACCUCCCGUUGCUUCUUCGACACCGGAGAGCGGAGGCCAGAGCCGCCGGCCUCGUUGUCGUUCUGGCGCUUGCGGGCGAAGAAGCCGCCGCGCACAUCGACUCCACAGCGACACCUGAAGCCACCGUGAUUGCCGAACCCCCUUCCGCCGCCACGCCCCGCACCGGCGGAUGCCAUGGUAGCUUCGAUCCGGCGGAAACAGGCUGCAAUAGGCCGUCGGAGCGCGCUCGAUUUCUGGCCGGAGUACACGAAAUGCGGCGGAGAGGGCUAGAGGAAAUGGAGGGCGGGUACCCUAAAUCGGCCGGAAGCCGGCAUAUAUACCGGAUGGGGGGGCUUUUCAUGGGCCGGGACUUUUUUUGGAUAUCUGCUCGGGCCGAUUAUUUGGGUCAUCCCGUAUAACGGGCGGAAAAGCCUAGUUCACCGGCCUUAUGCGGGAUUUGCUAGAGAUGCUCUAAUAACUUUUUUUUGCGAAUAAGAGAUGCUCUAAUAACUUAUACUAUAGCUUUUGUUUAUUGAGCUACUGCCAGCCCUCCAUUUAGGCUAUUUUUUUGACAGAAAAAGGAGAGAAACGGCGGUAAUAUAUGCACAUAUAACUACAAUUUUCUGUUAAUCCAAAAUAGUAAUGAUGAAAAUAUAAUUUCAUUUUGCCAGACCAUAUUUGUCUUCGUGUAGCUUAUAUGUGAUGAUUUUAAGAUACUUACACCCAUGAUAUCUAGUAGACUAGAUUUGUUGCGCAUACCAACAUGCAAAUGUUAGUUUAAAAAAACUAUGAGCCCUGAGUAAGUUCCUUCUUUUACUAGUAUUUGAGAUAAAUUCCAAAUUGUUAUGUGUAUUUCCUUUUACACUAGCAAAAGCCGGCAAUUAUACUUAUGUAAUCAUUGUUGUGACAUGUGGCAUGUCAACCCAAAAUUAUGCUCAAACCAAUAUAUUGCUCACCAUACAUACAUAAUUUAUACAAUACAAAUAGCUUUUGUCGCGGGUUAACCGAGGCUUUUGCUCAUGGCUGUUCAACUUUUGUUGCUCAAUAAUGUUGUACCUAUACUUUCAAUUGGUUUGGCUCAAGGUUAUUGUCCCCGUGAGGCUUUUACUUCAGUGGUCGUUGUUGUGGUAAGCGAGUUUGGGUCGCGCUGUUGUGGGCCGGGCUUCAACUUUCGUAGUGUAAGAGUUUCGGUUCCAUUCCUUGUGAUGUUAGGUCAUUUAGGGUGCUAUGUCUAGUCGAACCUCUAUGGCGUUGUAUGGGUCAUGCCUUUGUGGUGUUGUAGCAUAAUUCUUUCUUAAGGAAUUCAGGUGCAGCUAGAUCUUCCGCAUGGUUCUGAAAAUAAAAAGGAAAUAUGGGCCAAUUGUUUUUUCAGUGUUAAACGAAAGAAUAUGGCUUCUUUGCCUUUUAACUACUACUAGUGGGCCGAUUGUUCUGAAUAUGGCUUCUUUUCCUUGAACUCCAAAAAAAUGGGUAAUUUUCCCUUUUAGCAAAGCACACAAAAAGGCAGGGUUACUUACCCUUUUUUUUGAAUGAAAAAAACUUAAAAAUCCCAGCGGUUGACCGGUGUUUGUUAAUAAAAAGAAGAAAGGAGUAUGAAAGCAGGAAGGUGGGAGGGGAAAGCGAAGGAAGCGAGUGAUCGGUUUAUUCCUGUAGUUCCCUUCUCUACACACUCAUGCAAGUGGUUUAUUCUUGCGGUGUCCCCCUCACGCUUGUGCUUCGGCCGAUGUUGUUGUCAUAGUUGUCAUGGUGGUCGAGUUUGGGUUGCGUUUGUCACAGUAGCCAUAUUUUUUGUUGUUAACCGAAAUAAUAUGGCUCGUUUGCCUUUUAAUUGCUAGCAAAGCACACAUAGAAAGGCAUGAUUGAUUAUUUGGAUUGAGCAGGCUGGUUGUUUUUUUGUCUUGAACCCCAGAAAAUGGCCCUUGUAGCAAAGCAGAAGAAAAGACAGGGUUACUUACUUUAUUUGGAAAUGGAAAGCUCUUAAAAAUCCCAGUAGUUGACUGGUGUUUGUUAAUCAGAAGAAGAUAGGAAGAAAGGAGUAUGGAGCCGGGAAGCUGGGUGGGGAAAGCGAAGGGAGCGGUUUAUUCUUGUAGUUCCCUUUCCCACAUGCUCAUGCAAGCGGUUUAUCCUUGUAGUGUCCCCGCGAUGCUUGUGCUUCGGUCGAUGUUGUCGUCAUGGUAGUCAAGUUUGGAUUGCGUUUGUUGCGGACUGGGUGCUGGGUUUCGCAUCCAUGCCUUGCGAUGUCAUGCCGUUUAGAGUUAAAAAUUUACAAGUGAUUCGAGAAAAAGUAUAGAAGAAGAAAAAGGAGUAUGAAAACAGUAAGGUGGAAGGGAAAAGCGAAGGGAGAUACCACCAUUGGGUUAUUCUCACAUUUCUUGACCGCUCAUUUUCCUCUUCUUGUUAUGCUUCCACUUGCCUUGCCUACACGCACGCUCCUUCUCCUUCGUUCUUUCUUUCUUGUGCCGACACAGAGUAUUUAACAAAAAACUACCACAUUUAGUGGAACCGUGCCUACAAACUAUCACUUUACAAAUUUGUGUCGAAAACUAUCACUUUUUGUCUAAUCUUGGUCUAAAAACUACCAUGUCAGGAAAGUGCCCGAUUCGCCUCUUCUAAACACCUUUCUGACAGGAUGGGCCCACCUGUCAGCAUCAAUCUUCUUCCUCCUCUCUCUCUCUGGCAUUUCCUCGAACACCACACGUGCAAUGUUAUGUUGUGUUGUUUGUGGUCUGGUCUUGUGCCUGUGCAUUACGGGUCAGUCAAAGAAGAGAGAAGCAUGCAAUGGUGGAUGUCUGUUGUUGCAGUGGUUGCAUUGUUGUGCUGUCCUGCUGUCCUGCUAGCUGGUAAUAAUUGUAAUGUGUUGUGCUUGUGAUUGGGCCACCCACAUCAUCCCCAUCAUCUUGAUUUAUCUUGUUGGAUGUGGAUAAUGUAAAGUGACAACAAGAUGACCCAUAAUGCCGCGGUGGGCGGUACCACGGUGUUUUGUGCAAUACACCAAAAAAAAAC
This 95096-nucleotide long non-coding RNA is filed under the name Triticum aestivum (bread wheat). Its description in RNAcentral is "long non-coding RNA (TAES_LNC028176)". The stretch from base 39872 to 40006 matches the Rfam family "MIR1120/MIR1122 microRNA precursor family". The record is from RNAcentral. Lineage: Eukaryota; Viridiplantae; Streptophyta; Magnoliopsida; Poales; Poaceae.